UUUUUUCUUUUUGUUCAAUAAUUAUUUCAGCAUAUUUUUCAUUACAUAAAUAUCAAUUUGUAUAAAUUAAGUAUUUUUUGGUUAAUAAAUAGUUAUCAACUUUCCCGCUAUGCUCCGGAGAUGGUUGCUGACAUGAGGAGCAGGAUGAGUCUAUUUGUUGCUGGGUUGUCUCGUUUGUCAAGCAAGCAAAGCAAGGCAUCUAUGGUGAUAGGGGAUAUGGACAUACCAAGGCUAAUGAUUCAAGUGCAACAAGUUGAGGAGGACAAGAUGAGGGAUAGAGACGAGUUUAAGAAUAAGAGGGUUAAGACAUUAAGGAAUGAGUCCGGGCAACAGAAGAAAAAUGCCAACCGGUUUUCCUUCCAACAGAAACAAAAGGGACAUGCUCCAUUAUCUGCUAGUGCACCUACACCAAAGAACAAAAGUGAGUACAAUAGUCAGAAUUUCAGAGCUAAGCAUGUACUCACUUCAUUGAAGCAAAUAAUUAGUGUGGAUAUAUAUUUGGAGUUUUCUCUGGUUUUGAAGUAACACAUCUCACUUGAAGCAUGAUGAAUAUUCUUGAUUAUCAUACUAGGAUGACUGACUGAACUAACAAUACCAUACUAGGAUUUGAAAUGAGUCAGAUCGAUUAUCAUUAUAGUAAUAUCAUCUGAACUAACCCUUGACACAACAAGGUUUCCAAGUUUUCUGCAAGCAGACAUAAGAGCAUUGGAAUGUUGCCUCUUCUUCAAACCACUCAUGUUUUCUUGAUUUGGGCAAUAAAUUUUCAUAUUCCUCUUUGUUUGGUUCACCAUUGAAACUCGCCUAGCCUUUUUCAAUGGAUAAAUCUAUCAUUUUCAUUGCAAAAUUCAUCCUCACUUGUCAUCCAGCCUUUGAUGGUUUUCUUACAGCAUGGAGAAUGAUUUUUCACUCUAUUUGACUUGAUUAGGGAAACUUGUCGUAGAUUUAGUGAAGGACUUUUACUUACACAAUCAAUUUUGUCUUCUUCCUUUUCAUUUGAAGUAGCCACUUAUUGCAUGCUCUUUUCCAUCAGACAUGAUUGCAUUAUGAAAUCGAUGGUGGUUUCCUGAUUUCCCACCUAAACAACAACUUACAUUAGAAUCAUUAAACAAUAUGAGUUGGUCUCAUCAAAAGCUACACUAGAAGUUUUCAUUUUCUAACUUUAUCCCAAAGACCAUCAGAAGCUAAAAUAAGGUAUUCCAUAUCCGGUGUCAAAGUGAGUGAUGGUACCCAAUCCUUCAAAUGAGCAUCUCUAAUGCUUCGGGACACAGUGAGAACACCAUGUACCAGCCAACCUCCUUUUUGAAGUUCUACAUAUCCUCUGUGCAUCACUAAAGUGAAGUUACUUACACAAUCAAGAGAGACGAGAGAUGUAUCUUCGAUCUCUUUUUAAAUUCAAGUAAUGGUACCUUAUCCUCUAUGUUCUUUUUCUCUCAUCCUCCCUUUCAGAUCUAUGAUCUCUUGUGAGGGCUUCGGCAACUCCAUUUCUACAUAGAACAACUCUACAGUCUCCCAAAUUUAAAAUUAUAAUCUCCUUUCCUUCAAUUAACGUCGUCACACAGCAAGCACCACUGCCUACACCCUUUUAUAAAUCUCAGUGAGCAUGUACAUUGUUAAAUGAACAACAACUAUGCCUCAAAAUCCCAACCAGACUGAGUAGUAUCAGAAAUCUUUAUAUGAACAACAACUAUGCCUCAAAAUCCCAAGUACAUUGGUUCUUUAUUUGGGCAGGAGACGACAAUGUUCAAUUGCACAAGAAAAGGAACAAAAUUUCUCGUCAUAAAAAUUUAAUAGAUUCUAAAUAACCAGAAUGUUUGCAGUUCGGACUCCAACAGAAGCAAUUACUUAUUCAGAUUGUUCAAACUGUUAGAAUCUCUAGAAUGUUAUUGUUUUCCUUCAUUCUUCAAAGAUGCGAAUCAGGGUAGAGUGAACGCUCUCAAACUAAAUCAGCUAUGAAUAUGUAUGUAUGUGUGCCGUUAUAAUUUAACAAUUUAUUAUUAUUUCAGACCUGUUGUUGUUCAUUAGCAAUUCAUUCUUGUUUCCCGUCUAUUUUCCCGCUUUGCUUUAGCUGGUUGUAGUUUGUUAUUGAUUGUUUCACUUCUAAAACUUUGUGCUGGGCAUUUUGACAUUCCUUGGAACCUCUUUUGUGGUCGGCUUAAAAUGACGACUAAAGCAAUUCACCAUUUCUUGGUGCUGAAAAAAUAAAAUAAAUAAAUCUCUUGUUUCCUUCUUUCUCCUGAACGUUCUUCUUCUCUUUUCUUUUUUCUUUGUAUUUUUUCAAUCUCAACCUCUUCUUCACAUAUCAUUAAUAUUUCAACCUCUCUGUUUUUUUUUAAGUUUCCAGAAUCUCUUUGUUCUCCCUAAGGAUCAAAUUAUUGUUUUCCCAACUUCAUAAACAAUAAAAAUUACAAUAAUCUCUUGGGUUAUAAUUUCAACAGAAAUUUCUAAGAGGGAAAAACUUUUAAAAUUUCUAUACAUUAUAAGAGGAUUGCAAGAUGUCUUGCUUUUGCUCUUUUGAAAUUGAGAGAUCAAAAAGGAAAGGAAAAGAAAAGAAGAAGAAGAAGAAGAAGAACUCUUAGGAGACAAGAGAGAAUGAUUUGAGGGAAUAAAUGAUAAAAUAAAAAGUUCAAUAUUUUACUUUUAGCAGGUCGGAUUGAAUGGGGCUGGUCAUUAAAUGGUUUAAAUGGAUAUAUAUUUGGUUCUUAAAAUUUUGGCUAAAAAUAAAAAUUUCACGUCAAAAAAAUUUAGUGAAAAAAACAAUUAAAUAGGUUGAGUGACUUUCCGUGCAAAGAAGUCAUAGUUGAGUGACUUUCUGUUAAAAUAGUUGAUGGUUGAGUGACCAUCAAAGUUAUUAACUCUUGAAUGAUUAUAUGAGAAAUCAAACAGUACUAAAGAGAUAGACAUGUUACAUGAUAGCCAGAAAAGGAGCAAUAGAAUGGACAUUCCCCAUCAUAGAUUCCUUAAUGUCUUUUGCAAACUUAAAAAGCGGAGUCACAAACCAAGGAAACACUAUAAGGAUACAUUUAGGCGUUUGUCCAUGGGGAAUAAAUAUUAGAUAGUGAGAAUGUGAUUAGUACAUGUUUAGCUUUAUUGAGAAGUCUAUGGCCUAUCAUUAGCAUAUUUCUUGAUGCUUUCAUGUUCUUUGGCCUAGUCCAACAUUCAUGAGAAUUCGCAGUCGAGGCAGCGGUAGAGGAAGAGCUAGGGGUAGAGGCCGUGGCAGAGUAGAACCUGCUGGAAAUGGAGCUCCUAUUGAGAAUGCUCCUAUGAAUGAGAACCCUUAUGCGCAUCAUGAAGAAAUAGAGGAGAAUGUUGAUGUUGAUGUUGAGGAUUUAGGAAAAGAGGGAGAGGUGAAUGUUGAGACUACAUGUGUUCCUCCUUUAGAUCCAGUGUUAGCUCAACAGAUCAUGUUGUUCUUUAAAGGAUUGGUUGGUCCUGGAUUGCUUCCUUCUGCUCAAGCAACUCAAGCUCCUACUAAUCUUCCUAUUGCUAGCACUAUGCCCAAGGUGGGUGGGACCGGAGGUAAUGAUACUUUCUUCCGUCCUUUGUUGGGUUCUGUUAUGAAUGGUAAUGAGCAUGAAAUGUUGACUAAGUUUCUAAAGCUAAAGUCUCCUAUGUUUCUUGGUUCUGAGAAUGAGGAUGCUUAUGAGUUCAUUCUGGAUUGCUAUGAGAGGAUUCAUAAACUAGAUAUUGUUCAUCAGCAUGGGGUUGAGUUUGUGUCCUUUCAACUUCAAGGUGAGGCUAAGCAGUGGUGGAAAGCUUAUCUGGAAUGUAGAUCUUCAACUUUACCUCAACUUACUUGGACCCAAUUUUAUGCUCUAUUUCUAGAGAAAUAUGUGCCUAGCACUUUGAGGGAUCGCAAGAAGGAUGAGUUAAUGGCUUUGGAGGAAGUUGGUAUGACUGUGGCUGCUUAUCAGGCCAAGUUCCAUGCUUUGUCUAGAUAUGAUACUCAAUUGGUGAUGACUGAGCAAGAGAGAAUCCGUUAUUUAUGAGGGGGCUAAAUUUUGAGUUGCAAGUAUUAUUUGUUCAUAUGACUUCUGCAGGGAGAAACUUUAAUGAGGUGACAGACUAUGUUAAUAAAGUGGAAGGGGUGAGGCGAGACGGUCAAGCUAAGGCAUGGGCAAAAAGGCCAAGAACUCGGGUAACUUUCAAGGUUCUUAUUCUAAGGGGUCCAGAAGGCCAACGCUUGCAGCCUAGCUAAUUCGGUCUGAUAUGCCUGUCUCUACAGGUAGUUACUCGGAAACUCCAUCUCAUAAUUUCAGGAUAGCCAGGGAGUCGCGCCUUCGACGGGCGGCAUGCCAUCUUUUAAUCGUACUUGUUACCACUGUGGAGAACCUGGGCAUAUGAGGAUAGAUUGUCCCCACCCACGUGUGUUAGAUUCCACGCAGCAACAGUCUAGAGCAGUGGUACUCGCGGGGAAUGGUAAUUAUGGUAGAGGACGUACACAAAGUGGGUGAUGAGGUAAUCAACGAGGCUGAUGAGGUAGAGGAAAUGGUAAUACAGGCAGAGGUAAUGUGCAACCAGGCAGGGAAGUAGUUCGUCAAGAUGAUAGAGCUUAGUGUUAUGUCUUUCUGGGCAAGAAUGAGACAGAGGCGUCUGACGCGGUGAUCACAUGUACUAUUCAUGUCUAUGACAGGAUGACUAAUGUGCUAUUUGAACCGGGUUCUACCUAUUCAUAUGUAUCUGUGAGACUUGCCUUAGAUUUUGAUAUGAUUUAUGAUAUUCUUGAUGCCCCUAUUCGUGUUUCCACCCCAAUUGGAGAAUCAGUCAUAGUUACCCAUGUCUAUCGUGCUUGUCCUAUUUUCUUUAUGUUUUUUCAGACUUGGGCUGAUUUUGUGAUUUUGGAUAUGACUGAAUUUGACAUAAUCUUAGGCAUGACUUGGCUGUUCCCUUAUUAUGUUGUGCUUAACUGUAAUACUAAGUUCGUAACUCUAGAAAUUCCGGGAAGGGAAAAAUUAGAGUGGGAAGGGGUGUACAAGCCUAAGCGAACUAAGAUCAUAUCCUCCAUUCGGGCUAAUAAAUUGAUAGGGUAGGGUUCUUUGGCUUAUUUGGCUCAUAUUAGGGAUGCUAAGAUUGAGGCUCCAUCCAUUGGGUCUAUUCCUAUUGUGUUGGAAUUUAUAGAAGUGUUUCCUAAUGAUUUGUCUGGUAUGCCUCCGGAUAGAGAUAUAGAUUUUUACAUCUAUUUAGAGAGUGGUACGCGUCCCAUUUCUAUUCCUCCAUAUCACAUGGCUCCGACAGAAUUAAGAGAGCUUAAGGCUCAAAUCCAAGAGCUUCUUGAUAAGGGAUUUAUUUGUCCUAGUGCUUCCCCAUGGGGUGCUCCAAUUUUGUUUGUUAAGAAAAAUGAUGGUAGUAUGAGAACGUGUAUAGAUUACCGGCAAUUGAAUAGGGUCACUAUUCGAAACAAGUACCCUUUGCCUCGAACAGAUGAACUUUUUGAGCAAUUGCAAGGUGCAUCAGUUUUCUCUAAGAUUGAUCUAAGAUCCGGUUACCAUCAAUUGAAAAUUAGGCCUCAGGAUGUGCCCAAGACGGCGUUUAGAACUCGCUCUGGGCACUAUGAGUUUUUGGUUUUACCAAUGCGCCUGCAGCUUUCAUGAAUUUGAUGAAUGAGGUGUUCAAACUGUUCCUUGAUUUCUUUGUUAUAGUGUUUAUUGAUGAUAUUUUGGUCUAUUCGAAAAGUGAGGAAGAGCAUGCCGACCAUCUUCGUAGUGUUUUGGGUCGUCUUGGGAAGAAAAAGCUAUAUGCUAAAUUUUCUAAGUGUGAAUUUUGGUUGAAAUCGGUUGCAUUUUUGUGGCAUGUAGUUUCUAAAUAAGGGGUAAUGGUAGAUCCCCAAAAGAUUGAGGUGAUUAAGAAUUGGGUUAGGCCUAGCUCUGUGACGGAAGUUAGGAGUUUUAUUGGGCUCGCUAGCUAUUAUCAUCGAUUUGUGAAGAACUUUGCUUGUAUCACCACACACUUGACUAAUUUAACCAAAAAAGAGAUACCAUUUGAAUGGACUGAAAAGUGUGAGGAGAGCUUUCAAAAGCUCAAGACUCUUUUGACCACCGCGCCUAAUCUAGCAUUAUCGGUUGAAUGUAAGGAUUUUAUUAUUUAUUGUGAUGCUUCUCAUUCUGGGUUGGGUGUUGUGUUGAUGCAGGAUAAGAAUGUUAUAGGUUGUGCCUCGCUUCAAUUGAAGGUGCAUGAGAGGAAUUAUCCAACCCAUGAUUUAGAGUUGGCAGCGAUAGUGUUUGCUCUUAAGAUAUAGCGGCAUUACCUUUAUGGUGUUAAGUGUGAAGUGUUAACUAAUCAUCGUAGUUUGCAGCAUGUGUUCACUCAAAAGAAUCUGAAUUUGAGACAGCGAAGGUGGAUGGAUUUAUUUAAGUAUUGUGAUGUGACCAUCCAAUACCAUUCGGGCAAGGCUAAUAUGGUGGCAGACGCUUUGAGUUGAAAAAUGGUGAGCAGGGGUAGUUUAGCUUGCUUGAAUGUAUCCAAGCGACCUUUGGCUAAAGAAAUUCAGACCUUAGAGUCUAAGUACAUGCAGUUGGGCAUCUUAGAAAGAGGUGAGGUGCAAGCUAGUAUUGAGGUGAGGGCCACUUUCAUUGAAGAGAUCAAGGCCAAACAAUUUGAAGAUGAGAAUUUGGAGGAACUUAAGAAAUAGACUGCGAUUAGUAAGGCAUAAGAGAUAACUCUUGAUGCGGAUGGUGUGCUAAAUUUCAAGGGGAGAAUAUAUGAUCCUAGAGUAGAUGACUUGAUUGAGAAAUUGUUGGUUGAGUCUCAUGGUUCGUGAUAUUCUAUUCAUCCGGGUGUGACCAAGAUGUAUAGAGAUCUUAAGCGAAUUUAUUGGUGGUUGGGCAUGAAGAAAGACAUAGAGGAGUUUGUGGUGAAAUGUCAAAAUUGUCAACAAGUGUAGUAUGAACAUCAAUGGCCUGCGGGUUUGCUUCAAAGAAUGCCAAUUCUGGAAUGGAAGUGGGAAAUAAUAGCCAUGGAUUUUGUGGCUGGUCUUCCUAAGACUUUGGGGAAGUUUGAUUCUAUUUGGAUAGUGGUUUAUAGAUUGAUUAAGUAAGACCACUUAAUUCUGGUAAUAAUAGAUUAUAAUGCUGAACAAUUGGCUAAAGUUUAUGUGAAAGAGAUAGUGAGGUUGCACGGGGUGCACCUUUCUAUCAUUUCAGACUGUGGUACCCAAUUCACAUCCAAGUUUUGGAGGAAAUUGCAUGAUGAAUUGGGCACACAACUCACUUUUAGUACAGCCUUCCAUCCACUGACAAACGGGCAGUCAGAGAGGACUAUUCAGGUGUUAGAAGACAUGUUGAGGGCAUGUGUGCUUGAUUUUGGAGGGCAUUGGGAUAAAUUCAUACUUUUGUGUGAGUUCUCCUAUAAUAAUAGUUAUCACUCAAGUAUUGAUAUGGCACAAUUUGAGGCAUUAUAUGGGAGGGGAUGUAGAUCACCCAUAGGAUGGUUUGAGGCUGGAGAUGUGAAACCAUUGGGGGUUGAUUUAGUGAAGGAUGCCCAAGAUAAGGUUAGGAGUAUUCAAGCUAAGCUUCUAGUAGCCCAGAGUAGACAAAAGAAGUAUGUGGAUCAUCAUAAGGUAAGAGACAUGGCAUUUCAAUCUGCUGAAAAUGUUCUUCUUAAGGUAUCACCCAUGAAAGGGAAGGGAUGAUGGGAUUUGGUAAGAAGGGUAAGCUAAGUCCUAGAUGCAUUGGUCCAUUUGAAAUUCUUGAAUGUGUGGGACCGGUAGCAUAUAGAUUGGAUUUACCUCAUAAUUUAUCAAGUGUUCAUCCGGUAAUUCAUGUGUCCAUGUUGAAGAGGUAUCAUGGUGACGGGAAUUAUAUCAUAAAGUGGGACUCAAUUGUGUUAGACAAGGACCUCCAACAUGAGGAGGAACCGAUUGCAAUUCUUGAUUGUGAUGUGUGUAAGUUGAGGACCAAGGAGAUUCAAUUCGUGAAAAUUCAAUGGAAACAUCGUCCAGUUGAGGAAGCCACUUGGGAAACCAAUAGGGACAUGCGAGACAAGUAUCCCCAAUUGUUCGUCGAUUGAGGUACUACUUCAUUCCUUCCUUAGCCUAUGUUCCUAGGUUUUGCCAUUCGGGGACGAGUGAUAGGUAAAUUGGUAUCUAUUGUAACGACAUGUUUCCGUCGUUAUAGAAAAGCCAACGGGGGAAAAUUUGGGUCUGGAAAACUUUUUCGUAGUAGUUGGAUUUUUCCAACUUUGUCCACAUUUGGACGAAAUCGGAGUCUUUGAGGUGAAGGGAAAUCUGGUAACAAUCAGGUGAAGUAUUUGUGUUUUUGAUUACAUAAGUAGUUAGAUAACUCGUUAAAGAAUUCGUACGACUUUACGGAAUUGAAUUCGGGUGAGUAGAACUCCCGGAAUCGAUCUUAGCAUAAGUGUAUUUUCUGAGCGUCAUGGGUUAGAGGUGUGUUGUGAAAUGGGAAUUUUGGAAUUCUUGAAUUAGCUCUCUGUCUCGCGUAACCCGCUUUGGCACUUGUUUGCCGCUCAGGCGGGGCCACUACAGCAGGGUGACGGCCGCUGUAGUGGGCUCAACGCGAAUUAAAGUCAUUAAUAAACCCCUAAACGACCUCAUUAUACACUUUUUGAUUUUUAGAGCUAAUGCACGAACCCAGGCGACUCCUACUCGUCUUUCACCAUUCUUUAGGCUAAAAGUAAGCUUUUCACUCCCCGUAUCCAUUUAUUGAUCCGUAGAACGGAAUUGAAUGGGUGAAUAUUGAUGGAGGAGGGUUUUAUUAUAGAUUCUAUGGUGGAAACAACCCAAAUUUGGAUAAUUGGGAUCAUGGGUUUGAUCUAGGGUUCAUAGAAUUGUUGGUAAUCCGGGUAAUUAAUGAUUGUUUAUUGAUUCCCAUAUUAUAUUGAUUAUUUAUAAACCAAGAACAAGAGGAACGAAUCUGGAAAGGGAAGGAUCAAGUUUCUUAGAGUUUCAAGCUUGUUUCGAGGUAGGUGAUGGUUGUGAUUCUAUGAUUGUGUGAUGUAAGCUUGUUCUUGCUUCAUUAUGAUACUUGUAUAUGUAUGAAUGUUGCAAUGUUGAUCGUACUUGUUGCAAAUGAGAUAGAGGAAUGAUGAUUACCAUGAAAUCAUAACUUAAAUGUAUGAUCUUGUUGAUAUACUUGUGAUUGUCAUUAUGGUGUGUUGAAUGGAUCGGCUGCCACGUUUCGGCAUAACUAACUCGGAUCGGUUGCCACGUUCCGGCAUAACUAUGGGAUCGAUUGCCACGUUCUGGCAUAAUUAUGGGAUCGGAUACCACGUUCCAGUAUGCUAACUGUUUGGGUUUGGCUUCAAUAAGAGGACCAAUGAUUUAAUAUAAUUGUGUAUCUUGAGAAAUGUGAAGUUGUCCAUUGUUCGUAUAUGUUGAUGAUAUUGUAUAUGUUCGUUAUAUGCAUGUGAUUAUAAUGUUGUCUUGACUUGCUUAUGUUGCACUAGUGGGAUAGCCGCGUGAUCCUACCAGUACACUGUGGUAGUGUACUCUUACUGCACUUCCUCUUAUUUUUGUUGAGUACAGGGCAUCUUCAAGUGGCUACUGACAGACCUCGCUUAGGAUAUUAGUGAUCGUUCAAAUUUAAGGGAGAGCCAAUUCUUCUGGGCUGCCAUGAAAUUCUCUUUUGUCUAUGUCCACCAUUUUCAAACUUAGACUUAUGUUAAAGUUAGUUGAUUAGUUCAUUAGUUUAGGGUUGUAUCCCUUCUUGUUUAGACUUGGUUCAUUGUUAGAUGUUUUGGUACAUUGACUUUCAAGUUCUAAGUUAUUUCUUCCGCAUUGUUAAUUGUUAGAUCUCUUGUUGAAGUUUAUGUGAACUUCAGUUUUAGCUAUUAUUUCUGCUUUCAUAUACUGAAAUGCCUUAGUUUUUAGAUUAGUUGCUUGGUUUGGGUUGUAGUAGUGGUUUUCCCACUUGAGUGUUAGUGUGGGUGCUAAUCAUGAUGGUCUGGGUCGUGACAACUUUGCUGGCUAAUUUACCCAACCUCGAACGGUUUUAUGCAUUUGUUAGAACAGAUUGGACACUAAAUGAAGAUGUUGUGUUUCACAAAUUAAAAUAUCUACGAAUUGUAGAAGCAAAUCUGCAAAGGUGGGAAGCGGGUAAUGAUAAUUUUCCAAUGCUUGAGUAACUAAUAUUGCAUGGGUUGCAUAAUCUAGAGGAGUUUCUCGAGAGUAUUGGAGAAAUAAAUUCUAGCGCGAUAUAUGAUAAUACAUGCAUAUCGCGUUCUUUUUCUAGAAGUUUGUAAUAUGUUGAUAAAGAAGAGAUUAUAUGUUAUGCAAUUCAAAGGAUAAAAUCAACAUGACAAUGGACAAAGAACAUAACAUAUAUAAUUAAAAUUACUAACUUCAACUGAAUAAUAACUGAUGACCACAACACUUAGUACUGACUUCGACUGAAUCAUAACUCAUGAACAUUUCAUGAUGAACACCUAAAAUGACGAAUGAAUCUAGAAACUUAAUAUAGUAUUUAAGUUUUUAAUUUUAAUUUUGACAAUUACAUAACACGCACACUAGUAAUUGGGAACUAUGUAAGAAGUAGAUCCACUAACCCUAUUAGCAAAGGGUCCACCAACAUUGAGUCCUUAUGAAGAACUUUAGUUAGCACAAUUAGGAGGAGUCCAGGCACUUCCCAAUGUCUGAAAUGGUAAUGCAUUAUUAUUCACCAUUUAUGCCUCUUUUUCAACCUUUUGUUUUAGAAUUUUCACUGCCUUCUUCAAGUGUUGAAGUUGGAAUAAGUUAAGUUCUUCCAUAGGAGAUUCCCACCAUAGACCAUUAGCUCUCUUCCAAAUUUCUCGAAGGAAUUCUCCGCGAUUUUUCUCCAUCUGGAGAACCCCCUCGAGGUUCAUGAGCUUGGUAUUGAGCUCACGAAUACCAUCUUCUCUACGAGCCACAAUUUGUUGAUUAUGGACAUCGUUAUUUGGUGGAGAGAGGUUCCUCCCAAGGAACCUCUCCACCAACGUGUUCACGCUAGGGUGACUAAAGGAGAAAAACCCUUUAUCACCCGGGGAAAAUACCACAAUGACAAUUUCAGCACCACAUAGCGUACAAAGUUCACUAGCCUUUUUGAACAUACCAGCACAACGUUUAGAAAACGUAACUUGUAAGUUCCUCGCAUUCUUCAUUUUCACCAUGUCAACCCUUUGACGACCCUUGCUGAUCCUUGUUGUCAUGUCUAAACUAUCACUAUGUAAUUGUGAAAGUAAAAUUGUCAUUUUUGGUCUUAACACCAACAACUUUUUAUAGCAAAUUGUGUUUUAAAAUAACUUGGGGAGCCUAGAAAUUUAUGUACUCUCCUUUUUUUGCAUUGAAGAAAAGUAUUGAAAAUGAAAAACCUUAGAUUCACUUGCCCUUCAUUCUUUGUCUCGGUAGAUAUAGACCUUAUUAUCAUAGAUUCACUUGCCCUUCAUUCUUUGUCUCGGUAGAUAUAGACCUUAUUAUCAUAGAUUCACUUGCCCUUCAUUCUUUGUCUCGGUAGAUAUAGACCUUAUUAUCAUAGAUUCACUUGCCCUUCAUUCUUUGUCUCGGUAGAUAUAGACCUUAUUAUCAUAGAUUCACUUGCCCUUCAUUCUUUGUCUCGGUAGAUAUAGACCUUAUUAUCAUAGAUUCACUUGCCCUUCAUUCUUUGUCUCGGUAGAUAUAGAUCUUAUUAUCAGAAUUAGACUAUAAAUAUUUUUCCUAAUUAGAAUUAUAUUAUUGGAUUGCACUUGAACACCAUUUUAUUUGAGAACAAUUUUUUUAAGAAAAUAUAUUAAAUGAUUAAUAAAACCCUUAAUGUUUUAAUACUAAACCGAAUUUUUCAUUUACCAUUGAAUUUUCCUAGUUAAUCAUCAUGUAGAGACCUACAAUGUAUCACAUCAAGCAUAUGCAGGUGUUUGGAUUUAUAAAUAUAUCAACACUACUACAUUCAAUAAAGAUUUCAAACUCUGUGUAGUGAUAUAUUUACCUUUUUAAUUAGUAAAUGUUAAACAACUCACAUUUCAAAUAAUAUAUUGAUUUGUAUUGGAUUUAUUUAACAACAAACAACUCUCUCUAAAUAAUAAAAUUUGUAAGCUAAUUAUUUGAAUAAAUUUAUUAGUACAAAUAUAGAACAUAAAAUACAGAAAAUAAACAAAACCGUUAAAAGAAUUUGACGGAUAUAUUUUUUGCUUUACAUAGAUUUAUACGGUGAUAUUAAAUUCUAUGUAUUCCAAAUAUCACCAAAAGUAAGGUAUUAGUUAUACAUCAUAUACCAUGUAGGGCGUAUAACUAAUCUAUGAAUUAAUUAUACAUAGGCCUUAAAUUCCUACCAAACAUAGUACUAAAUAAUACCAUACAAAUACAUGGACUAUUUCUCCUAUCAUCCCUUCCAAACGACUCAUUAGUAUUUUUCAGUUUUUUUAUGUUUUUACAACUUAUAUAAACUUUGUCCUAAUUAAACUUUCUUCUGCUUGUCUCUUCCCAACCUAUGUGUUACCAUAAUCUGGUAUUCCAUUAGUGAUGACCUACCAAAGGAAUUCGUACCAAAACCUAAAUAUUCAUUAGAUUAACUUCGCUGGUAGGCGUCAUUGUCAACGCCAGCGAUAGAUGGCCUAUGCUCCAUGGUGGUGAACCACCACCAAAACCACCAUUGAACUAUGCAACGAAUUUUAAUAAAGUAGAAGACAAAAUCACAAUGCCUAUCCCUGUCAAAGAUAUUACUUACAUCCAUGGAAACCCAACUGUAUUAUGGAAAGAAGAAGAGGUUCAGAUCAUGAUCAUUACUGAAGGUUUACAGUAUGCCAUAACUGAAAUUUUUUCUUACGGCUGGUCAAACCUAAAAAUGAUUCGUAAAUUGAUCCUUUACGGUGUGAGAUUCAAGCCUGAAUGUAAGGAAGGAUUCUUGAGUGAUAGACACAUACUAAUUCGGCUUACCAAAUAUGAAAGAUUACGUACAUAUCAUGUCAAAACCAACAUAUUUUUUGAAGGCUAAAGACCGAUAUAAUAUUAGAUGUGACCUCUAAAGUGGGACCGCUGGUUCAACCCAGAGGCAGAAACUACUACUGCCUUAGGGUGGAUCUCUUUUUCAUCCCUAUCACCUAACUUUUUCGUUAAAGAAUCCUUGUUUACGAUAGCCAAAGCAGUGGGAAAACCGUUACAUGUUGUCGUGGCUACAAUAAGCAAAUCUAGACCUAGUUUUUUCAAGGUAAAGGUUGAAAUAGACUUAUUGAAAGAAUUUCUCAAAUGGAUCGGUGUUGGAGUUAAGAAGACAUAUUCUGGGGAAAUCAUAUCAACAUGGAUAAAAAUCUUAUACGAUUGCAUGCCAAAGCAUUGCAAAUAUUGCGUAUUUCUAGGCAGAGGCAUGGUUUUCAUCGAGGGGGUUCAAAAAUAUAAGUAAGCGUACUAAUAGAAUUCAUAAAUAAGAGGAUCGGGGCGGGUCAAAUAUAAACAGGUCAGAUUCGACAUAACCAACUAAAUAAAAUUCAACUCUACUUCAAUACAAACAAUAAAAUCGAGGAAGUAUGUGUUUGAAAUAAUAUUAAAAUGAGUACGAGAGAAUGUAUUUUUAAAAAUUUUAGUCAUGGUCUUGUCUCCAUCAUUGUUCUAUAUAUAUGUUACUAGCAUACGUACCCGCGUAAUGCGUAUAUAAUAUUAAAAUAUUAUUUUUAAAUUUUUUUAUUGUGAUAUCUUGUUCGAGUAAAUUAAAUCAUACAAAAGCUCAACUAUCGUAUUGUUCAUCAUUAAUGAAAUGUAAUCCCUCCCCCUCCCGUUAUUAAUAUUAUAUUGUUCACUAUUUAAAAUCAUUAAAUUGUUAGUAUUGAUUUUUAUUAGCUUAUCAUUAAGCUUAAUAUAAUCAUUAAAUAAUUUUAUAAUUAAUAUAAAACAUAUAUAUUAUUGUGUUUACUCGUGAUUUUUAAAUUUUUAUUUUAGUGUUCACAUCUCUCUAAUUUAAAGUUUUAUGGACAAUAAUAAGAAUAUUAUUUAACUAUUCUACUGUAUUCUCAAAAUUAUUCAAAAUAUUUUCCCCACCCCUCUUUCCCCUUCUUUUUUUACUGUAUUUUUAUUACUUUUCGCUAAUAUAAUUUUAAUGAAUUUUUUAUGUUAAACGUCAAAAGAAGUUGACUGUUUUUUUUAUUUUAAUAUAAAGAAUACUAAGCUUAAAUUUGUUACUUAAAUUCUAUACUUUCAUGUGUCAUUAUUUAUUGAGAUUUUAGUUAUAUGAUAUAUAGAUUUUAAGUCUUUUCUCGUUAUAAUUGAAAAAUAUUUUCUCAUCUAAAAGCCCUUCAACUUUUUUUACAUUAUAAUUUAUAAUUUGUUUCCUAGUUUUGUCCUAACUUAAUAGUUAUUCUAUUAUUCAUAAAAUAGUAUCCUUACACUAAUAUGUAAAUUUUUAUUAGCUUGUCACUUUACCUAAUAUUCUUAUGGUGCGUAAGAUAUUAAUAAGGAUAUCAGUUAGUUAUAUCUAUUUACAUUUUAUAAUGGAUAAAUUUUGUAUAACAUGAAAUUAAAAUUUAUAAAAUUCACUAAUAAAGUUAGUGAUCAAUAACUUAAAGAAAAAUAAAAAAGAGAAGUAAUCUUAACAUUAUAAAUCAUUGCAGAAGUAUAUGUAAGAGAGGCUCAGAAAGUAAAACUCCAGUACAAAUCAAAUUUUAUUUAAGUUUGAAUUCAAAUAUCAUUUUAAUUUAUUCUUUUAAAAUCUUUUUAUCGCUCAUCCUUAUCCUUGAUUUUAUGAAUACAAUCAUAUUUUUAUAAGCUAUAUAUUUGAAUGAAGAGAAAUAUUUGGAAUAAUAAGAUAGUUGAUAAUUAAAUUGACUAAAGGGUCACUUGGUGUAAUUAUACCAAAGAAUUAUUUGAAGAAGAAAAAACAGAUAUGACUAAUAUUACAGCAUUUAUAAUUUCACAAGUUAAAAAUAUACCUCUUCACUCUCAGCAAGACAAAAACACUAAUUAUUUAUGUUGAACUUAAUUCAUAUAUAUAUAUAUACUUAAAAGUGGAAAACUUCUAUCUUCAAAGUUGGAUUUUAAUUGUGCUCCUACAUCAUAUUAAAAUAUAAUAAGAAUACCUAUUAUCAUGCAUGCCAACUAUUUUUGCUGCUUGGAAGUUCCGCCGGUGUUUGUCUUGGAGAAGUUAGAGGCAGACAUAGAAGGAACUCGUUUUGUUAGGCCGACUAAAGCGCAUACUAAUCCAGAUAGAUGUAUUAGUACUACUACUAUAAACCCUCCUAGUAGUUUAACUAAGAGACACGCUCUGCCACUAUCUUGUAUGGCCAAAUAUUAAGCUAUAAAUAUUAUUUUCUUGUUAACCAAAAAAAAUAUUUAUUUGAAAUUGACUGUUCAUGAUAAACGUAUUUAUUUAAUACCUUAACUCUAUUUUAAUACCUAAAAAAAUAUUAUAAACAUGAGUAAAUGUGUAUCGUUGAGAUCUUGGUCAUAAUUCAAGGGUACUUAUGUGUCACGAUCUAGACCGUUGUGAUUGACACCCACACUAACCCUCCGGUGGAAGAACCAUUACUACAACCCGUCUAACAAAUUUUACAAAAAUUAAGGCAUUUAAUGAUACGGAAGCACGUUUAAUGCAGAAAUAAACUGGAGUUCCCAUAAACUUUGAAACUUUGACAAAAAAUUACUAAACAUAUGCGGAAAGAACGCCUAGAACCUCAAAGUCAAUGUACCAAAACUCUAAAGUUCAACAAGCCUACGAAAAUGGGCACAACCCCGAAACUAAACAAAUAAAUAUCUAAACUACUAAUCUAAGUCCGAAGAAAAUGGACUAAGAAAAUGGAGAACUCAUGGAAGCCUGGAAGAACUCGCUCACCCUUGAAUUCUGUCUCGAUCACUAUUAAUCUCUUAGUCGAGGCCUAUUAGUAGCCGCCUGAAGAUGCCUUGCACUUAACAAAGAACGAGCAAGUGUAGAAUUAGUACACAUUACUAGUGUACUGGUAGGAUCACGUGGCUAUUCCAGUAAGCGAAACAUAUAUAAUCAGUAUUAACAUAGUAAAUAUGAUACAUAACAUAUAUACACAUUGGUUAUCAUUUCAGGAGCAAUGUACGAUUACAUAUUCUCAAUAACAAGUAGACAUGACAAUUUAAUGGUCCUCUCAUAGAACCCAUACUCAAACUGUUCGUGUGUCGGAAAGUGACACCCGAUCCCAAUUAGUGUGUCGGAACGUGACACCCGCUCCCAUAUAAGUGUCGGAACGUGACACCCGAUCCCAGUUAGUGUGUCGAAAUGUGACACCCGAUCCAUUCAACAAAACCACAAUCACAAUCACACUCAUAUGUACAUACUCAUAAUCAUACAAUAAAGUGUUGAAUCAUGACAUACUUUUGUUCAUUCAUACUCAUUUCAUUAGGUUUGACUAACAAUUAUUCAUUCACAUAGAUACAUGCAUUACAAUGAAGAAAUUACCAACAUACAUCAUGCAAUACAUGAAAUCAAACCAUAACCUACCUCGAAACCAAGCUUGAAUUCCCCUAAGGCACUUGAAUCUCCCUUCCAGAUUCUUCAGCUUGUUCUAGGUCUACAAAACAAUUAAUAUAUGCAAGGAUCAAUAAUUUAAGGUCUAAUUAUGUGGAAUAUAGAAAAACCAAUAACCCAAUACCAACCCAUGAUCCCAAUCCCCAAUUUAGGGCUUUUUCCACCAUUAUCUUUAGAUCAAAAGCUUCCCCCAAUAAUAAUUACCACAUAAUCAAAAUUCUAUGGAUCGAAAAAUGGAUUAGGGGAGUAAAAUCAUUACCUUUAGUGCUAGAAGAGGUGGAAAACCUUCAAGAGAUAUCCCUUCGUCGUCUCUUAUCUCAGCAAGAACGAAACUUGUAGAAAAUAACGUGAUUAAGGUUUAAUCCUGACUUAAGUCGCAACUAGCCCGCCGUAGCGGGACCCAACCCGCCACAGCGGCCCUGCCCUGGCGGGCAUAAUCCUGACCUAGUGCCUUACAUGGAGACAGAGAGUCAAAAAUUGAGUCCCAAACCCCCAUUUAACAACCUUCAACCCAUGACGUUCAAAGACUACCCUUUCAUGCUAAGAUCAAUUUCGGGAGUUCCACUCGCCCGAAUUCGAUUCUGUAAAGUCGUACGGGUUCCUUAACGUCUUGGCUAUCUAGUCAUGUAAUCAAAUUCAUUAUUAAAUCUCUUAUUCAUUACCAGAUUUCCCUAGACCUCGCAUGACUCAAAUUUCGUCCAAAUAUGGACUAGGCUAGGAAUUUUCAAAUCACUACUUAAAAAUUUUACGGUCCAAAUUAUUUCCCCAUUGGCUUUUCUAUAACGACGGGAACAAGUCGUUACAAUAGAUACCAAUUUACACAUCACUCUUCCCCGAGUGACAAACUAGGAAAAACUGGCUAAAGUAAGAGUAGAGUAGUACCUGAAUCGUUGAACAACUGGGAUACUUGUCUAGCAUGUCCUUCUCAGUUUGCCAAGUAGCUUCCUCAACUAGACGAUGCUUCCAUUGAACUUUCACCAACUUUAUUUCCUUGGUCCUCAACUUCUGGAUAUCGCGAUCAAGAAUUGCCACCGGUUCCUCCUCAUACUGAAUAUCGUUGUCUAACAAAACUGAAUCCCAUUUUAUAAUGUAAUCCCCGUUCCCAUGAUAUUUUGAAAAUCGAUACAUGAAAUACCAGAUGAACUCCCGAUAAGCUAACAGGUAAGGCCAACCUAUAAGCCACUCGCCCUGCACAGUCAAGAAUCUCAAAUGGACCAAUGUAUCGAGGACCUUCUUGCCAAAUCUCAUCACCCCUUUCAUGGUUGACACUUUAAGAAGAACUCUCUCAGAGAUUUGAAAUUCCAUGUCUCUUACCUUAUGGUUUGCAUACUUCUUCUAUCGACUUUGGGCUGCUAGGAGCUUAGCUUGGAUACUUCUUACCUUAUCAUGAGCAUCCUUCAGCAAGUCAACCCCCAGAGGUUUCACAUCUACAGCAUCAAAACAUCCUAUGGGUGAUCUACAUCCCCUUCCAUAAAGUGCCUCGAACAGUGCCAUGUCAAUGGUGGAGUGGUAACUGUUAUUAUAGGAGAACUCACUGAACAGUAGGAACUUAUCCCGAUGUCCUCCAAAUUCAAUCACACAUGCCCUCCACAUCACUUCUAGCACUUGAAUAGUCCUCUCUAACUGCCCGUCUGUUUGCGGAUGAAAGGUUUUGCUAAAGGUGAGUUGAGUGCCCAAUUCAUCAUGUAAUUUUCUCCUAAACUUGGAUGUGAACUACGUACCACGGUCUGAGCUGAUAGAAAGGGUCACCCCGUGCAGCCUCACUAUCUCUUUCACAUAAACCUUAGCCAAUUACUGAGCAUUAUAAUCUAUUCUAACUGGAAUAAAAUGGGAUGACUUGGUCAAUCUGUGAACCACUACCCAAAUAGAAUCAAACUUUCCCAAUGUCUUGGGGAGACCAACCACAAAGUCCAUGGCUAUCCUUUCCCACUUCCAUUCCGUAAUUGACAUUCUCUGAAGCAAACCUGCAGGUCUUUGAUGCUUGUUGACAGUUUUGGCACUUAGCCACAAAUUCAGCUAUGUUUUUCUUCAUGUCAGGCCACCAAUAAAGUUGCUUCAAAUCUCGGUACAUCUUGGUCACACCCGGAUAAAUAGAAUACCGUGAGCCAUGAGACUCUGUAAACAAUUUCAAAAUCAAGUCGUCUACUCGAGGAACACAAUUCAUUCUUUUAAAACUGAGCACACCCACGCAUCAAGAGUUGUAUCUUAUGUCUUGCCAGACACUGUGUCCUUUUUUAGCUCAUUCAAACUGUCAUUCUUAAACUCUUUGGCGUUGAUCUCCUUAAUGAAUGUGGCCCUAACCUCAAUUCUAGCUAACACCCCACCUUUUUUUUAAGAUGCCCAACUACAUGAACUUAGAUUCCAAUGUUUGAAUUUCCUUAGCCAGAGGUCGCUUGGAUACACUCAAGCAAGCUAGAUUACCCAUACUCACUGCCCUUCGGGUUAAUGCGUCUGCCACCACAUUGGCCUUACCCGGAUGAUACUGAAUGGUCACAUCAAAAUCCUUGAGUAACUCUAUCCACCUUCCCUAUCUCAAAUUCAGAUCCUUUUGAGUGAAUACAUGUUUUAGACUACGAUGAUUAGUAAACACUUCACACUUGACACCAUACAGGUAAUGUCGUCAGAUCUUAAGAGCAAACACUACCGCAACCAACUCUAAAUCAUGUGUUGGGUAAUUCCUCUCAAGCAGCUUCAACUGCCGCGAUGCAUAAGCUAUAACAUUCUUAUCCUGCAUCAACACAACACCCAAACCCGAAUGUGAUGCAUCACAAUAAACAAUAAUAUAUUUACCUUCCACCGGUAGUGCCCAAAUAGGUGUUGUGGUCAGAAAUGUUUUGAGCUUUUGAAACUCUCUUCACACUUGUUAGUCCACUCGAAAGGUACCUCCUUCUUGGUCAACCUUGUCCGAUGCGUGGCAAUAGAGCAAAGUUUUUCACAAAUCGAUGAUAGUAGCUAGCGAGCCAUACAAAACUCCUAACUUCAUUCACAGAGCUAGGCCGAACCCAAUUCUUAACCGCUUCAAUCUUUUGGAGAUCUACCAUUACCCCUUCCCUUGAAACUACAUGCUCCAAAAAGGCGACUGAAUCCAACCAGAACUCACACUUGGAAAAUUUGGCAUAUAACUUUUGUCUCCCAAGAAUACCCAGAACAAUAUGAAGAUGGUCGGCAUUCUCUUCCUUACUCUUUGAAUAGACAAAAAUGUCAUCAAUAAAUACAAUCACAAAAGAAUCCAGGAAUGGUUUGAACACACCGUUCAUCAAACUCAUGAAAGUUGUAGAUGCAUUUGUCAACCCAAAUGACAUUACUAAAAACUCAUAGUGCCCGUAGCGGGUCCUGAAUGUCAUAUUUGGUACAUCCUCAGGCCAAAUCUUUAACUGAUGGUAACCAGACCUUUAGAUCAAUCUUAGAGAAAACUGACACACCCUGCAACUGGUAAAAAAGAUCAUCUAUUCGAGGAAACAUAUACUUAUUUUGAAUGAUGAUCCUAUUAAACUGUCGGUAGUCUAUGCACAUCCUCAUACUACAAUUUUUUUUAAUAACAAACAAGACAAGAGCACCCACGAGGAGGAACUAGGACGAAUGAAACCUUUAUCAAGAAGUUCCUCAAUUUGAGCCUUAAGCUCACUUAACUCCGUCGGAGCCAUGUGAUAAGGAGGAAUGGAGAUGGAGUAGGUACCAGGUUCCAAACCAAUGCAGAAAUCUAUAUCUCUAUCUGGAGGCAUACCAGGCAAAUCAGUAGGAAACACUUUUCUAAAUUCUGACACCACAAGAAUAGACUCAAUAGAGGGAGACUCAACCUCAACAUCCUGAAUAUGAGCCAAAAAUGCCAAACACCCCUGCCCCACAAGUUUCCUAGCCCGAAUGGAGGAUAUGACCUUAGCUGGCUUAGGCAUAUACACCAUUUCCCACUCUAACUUUUCCCUACCCGGGAUCUCUAGAGUCACAGACUUGUAUAACAAUUUAAUACAACAUAAUAGGGGGAUAACCAAGUCAUGCCUAAGAUUAUAUCAAAGUCAGUCAUAUCCAAAAUAACCAAAUCAGCCCAAGUUUGGAAACCCAUAAACAUAACAGAACAAGCACGAUAAACAUGGGUGACUAUGUUAGACUCUCCAACUGGGGUAGAAACAUGGAUGGGGGCAUCAAGUACAUCAGAAACCGCAUCAAAUCCCAAGGCAAACUGAACCGACACGUAUGAAAUGUAGAACUCGGAUCAAAUAAUACAUUAGCUAUCCGGUCACAGACGAGAAUAGUACUUGUGAGCACUUCAUCAGAUGUCUCUGCCUCAGUCUUACCUGGAAAGGCAUAAAACUCAGCCCUGUCAUCUUGACAGACAACCUCCUUGCUUGGUUGCGCUGCUCAUCUACCUGCAUUACCAUUACCUCAAACUCAACAGCCUCAAUGAUUUCCUCCUCGCCCACCUUGUGAUCUUCCUCUACCAUUAUUACCGUUUCCCGUGGGUACCAUUGCUAUAGUCUGCUGCUGCGCUGGAUCCAACAUGCGCAGUUGGGGAUAAUCUCUCCACAUAUGCCUAGGUUCCCCAAAAUAAUAGCAAGUACGAUCAAAAUACGGUAUGCCGGUAGCCAAAGAUACGGCUCCCUAGCUAUCCAAAAUAAAAUUCUACUUUGGAAUUCCCGAGUAACUACAUGUAGAAGCGGGCAUGACAGACUGAAUUGGCCUGGCUGCAAGCGUUGGCCUACCUGAACCUCUAGAGUAAGAACCCUGAAAGUUACAUGUGCUUUUGGCUUUCUUAGCCAAAUCCUUAGCCUGCCCAUAACGUCUAACUCCCUCUACUUUCUUCACAAAGUUGGUCACCUCAUUAAAGUUCUUUCCUGCAGAAGUCAUGUGAACAAACAAUACCUGAAGUUCGGGGUUCAGUCCUUUGACGAAUAGAAGAAUCAUCUCCUCCUCAGUAGUCACCAAUUGAGUAGCAUAUCUAGACAAUGCAUGAAAUUUAGACUCAUAAGCAGUUACAGACAUACCACUCUGCUCCAAAGACACAAACUCAUCCUUCUUACAAUCCUUUAAAGUCCGAGGCACAUACUUUUUCAAAAACAGAGCAUUAAACUUUUUCCAAGUGAGUGGGGGUAAAGCUGACGAUCUGUAUUCCACAUAAUCUCCCCACCACUGCUUAGCCUCACCCUGAAGCUGGAAAGUCACAAAGUACUCUACUACAUGCUGAUGGCCAAUACCCAACUUAUGCAACCUAUCAUAACAAUCCAAAAUGAACUCAUAGGCGUCCUCACUCUCAGAACCAUGGAACACACACGACUUCAAUUUGAAAUACUUAGUCAACAUUUCAUGCUCAUUACCAGUCAUCACCAGACCCAAGAGGGGAUAGAAAAAGGCAUCAAUGUCUAUGUUUCCACCCAUAUUUGGAGCGGUGACAACAAUAAGGGGGGUUGACGCGAGUUUGAGUUGCUUGAACUGAAGGAAGAACUCCAAGACCAACCUAUCCCUUCAAAAAAGUUAUAAUUUUUUUAGCUAACACUGGGUCAAAGGGAGGAAUAAUGUAAUCUCAGCUUGCACCUCUUUCUCUUGUCCAACAUUCUCCUUAUUCUCAAUCUCUACAUUCUCCUCUAUCUCUUCAUGAUGCACAUGAGGAACCUUAUUUCUAAAAGCAUUCUCAAUAGGAGCUCCACCCCUAGUGAGUGCUACCCUUCCUCGGCCUCUACCCCUUGUUCUUCCUCUACCCUUGCCUCAUCCGCGGCCUCCUGCUGCGGAAUCUUCAGCGGGCUUAUUGACGGGAGCUACGGGCCUGACGCCGUUGAAUCUAGUGUUAACCAUCCACAGACAAAAGAGUAAAGGAGAUUAGAUGCCAAUUUAGAUUACCAUAUACCAAUUGGAAUCAAGUUAUAGCACGAAAGGAGACAAGAGAAAACAGAGAGAUUUCCUAAAGUACUAUAGCCUUUUGAAGAAAUGUACAGACGUCUCUGUAUCAUUCUACAACACUCUACUAGACUUGUUUUGGUACACCGAGAUCAAUGAACCUAGGGCUCUGAUACCAACUUUGUCAGAUGUGUGGCAAUAGAAGCAAUGUUCUUCACAAAUCGAUGAUAACGGGUACAACCCCGAAACUAAACAAACGAAUAUCUAAAGUACUAAUCUUAGUCCGAAGAAAAUGCACUAAGCAAAAGGAGAACUCAUGGCAGCUUGGAAGAAUUGGCUCACCCUUGAAUUGGGUCUCAUGUCCAAGUUGAGGUCUAUCACUAGCCGUUUGAAGAUGCCAUGUACUCAACAAAGAACGAGCAAGUGUAGUAUCACUACACAUCUACAGUGUACUGGUGGAUGACACGGCUAUUCUAGUAAGCGAAACAUAUAUAAGCAGUCACAACAUAGUAAACAUGACAUGUAUAGAGCAUAUAUACACAUUGGUUAUCAUUUCAGGAGCAAUGUACAAUUACACAUUCUCAAUAACAAGUAGAUAUGACAAUUCAAUGGUCCUCUCAUGGAACCCAUACCAAAACUGAUAGUGUGCCGGAACAUGCCCGGUCCCAAUUAGUGUGUGGGAACGUGACACCCGCUCUAAUAUAAGUGUCGAAACGUGACACCCGAUCAUAGUUAGUAAUUCGAAACGUGACACCCGAUCUAUUGACACAACCCCAAUCAUAAUUACACUCAUAUGUUACAUACUCAUAAUCAUACAAUCAAGUAUUAAAUCAUGGCAUACAUUUGUUCAUUCAUACUCAUGUCAUUAGGUUUGAUCAACAAGGCUUAAUUCACAUACAUACAUACAUGCAUUACAAUGAAGCAAUUACAAACAUCAAUCACGCAAAACAUGAAAUCAAACAAUCACCUACCUCGAAACCAAGCUUGAAUCCCCCUAAGAGAAUCUUCCUUUUCCAUAUUAUUUCCGCUUGUUCUAGGUCUACAAACAAUUAAUAUACGCAAGGAUCAAUAAUUUAAGGUCUAAUUAUCCGGAUUAUAGCAAACCCAAUAAACCAAGACCAACCCAUGAUCACAAUCCCCAAUUUAGGGCUUUUUCCACCAUUAGCUUCAGAUCAAAACUUCCCCCUAGUAAUAAUUACCCAAGAAUCUAAAUUCUACGGACUGAAAAAUGGAGUAGGGGAGUCAAAUACUUUCCUUUAGUGCUAUAAGAGGUGGAAAACCUUCAAGAAAUAUACCUGGGUCGUCUCUUAGCUCUCAAGAAUGAAACUUGCAGAAAACAAUGUUUUUGGGGUUUAAUCCCAACUUAUUUCUUGACUGGCCCGCCGUAGAGGGACCCAACCCGCCACAGCGGCCUCGCCUUGGCGGAAAUAAUCCUUCCCCAGUGCCUUACACAUAGAUAGAGAGUCAUAAAUUGAGUCCCAAACCCCCAUUUCACAACAUACCUUCAACCCAUGACAUUCAAAGACUAUCCUUUCAUGCUAAGAUUAGUUUCGGGAGUUUCACUCGCCCGAAUUUGAUUCCGUAAAGUCGUACGGGUUUCUUAAUGUUUAGCUAUCUACUCAUGUAAUCAAAUUCAUUAUUAAAUCUCUCAGUCAUUAUCAUAUUUCCCUAGACCUCGCAUGACUUAGAUUUCGUCCAAAUCUGGACUAGGCUAGGAAUUUUCAAAUCACUACUCAAAAGUUUUUUUGCCCAAAUUCUUUCCCCGUUGGCUUUUCUAUAACGACGGGAACAAGUCGUUCCAUUAAGAAUUAUUUCUUUUAAUAUGUAUGCAAUUUUAUAAAUUUCCCAAAAUAUAUAUAUAUCAACAAUACGACAUAAUAAGGAUCACAAACGUCAUGUAGUGAUAUAUUUGUCUGUACAAUUAGUAAACGUUAAACAACUCACAUUUCAAAUGUUAUAUUGAUUUGUAUUGGAUUUAUUUAACAAAUAACAACUCUCUCUAAAUAAUAAAAUUUGUAAGCUAAUUUAUUUAAAUAAAUUUACUAGUACAAAUAUAAAACAUAAAACAUAGAAAAUAAACAAAAUUGUUAAAAGGAUUUGAGAGGUAUAUCUUUACACAGAUUAAUACCAUGGUAUUAAAUUUUAUGUAUUUCUAUAGCACCAAAUGUAAGGUAUUAAUUAGACAUUCUAUACCAUGUAGGGUGUAUAACUAAUCCAUGAAUUAUUUAUACAUAGACAUAACAUUAAAAUGAGUACGAGAAAAUGUAUUUUUUGAGAUUGUGAUCAUUAAAGAAGAGUUACAGUUUUCCAUAAUUGGAAAUUUUACUUAUUGUUGGUUAGAACUACAAGAGAUUCGUAAAAUUAGUCCUUUAUGGUGUGAGAUUCAAGGCUGAGUAUAAGGUAGGAUACUUGAGUGAUAGACACAUCCUAAUUCGCCUUACCAUUAUGUAAGAUUAUGUACAUGUCAUGUCAAAACCAAUAUAUUUUUGAAGGCUAAAGACGGGUAUACUUUUAAAUGCACUCUAAAGUGGGAAACCUUGUUCAACCCAAAGGCGGAAACUUCUACUAUCUUUGCAUGAAUCUGAUCUUUUCCAUCCCUAUCACCUUUAUUUUUCAUUAAAGAAUUCUUGUUUACGAUGGCCAAAGUAGCGGGAAAAUCGUUACAUGUUGACAUGGUUACAAUAAGAAAAUCUAGACCUAGUUGUGUCAAGGUAAAAGUUGAAGUCAACAUAUUGAAUGAAUUUCCCAACUGGAUCAAUGUUGGAGUUAAGAAGACAUCUUCUGAGGAAAUAUUCUCAACAUGGAUAAAAAUCUUAUGCGAUUGCAAUAUUGCAAACUUCAAGAUGGAGGCAUGAUUUAUGUCGAACGGGUACGAAAAGAUAAGUAAGCAUACUAGCAGUAUGCACAAAUGAAUAGAUCGGGGCAGGUCAAAUAUAAACGGAUCGGAUUCGAUAUAAGAAACUAAAUAAAAUUCAACUCUACCUCAACACAAACAAUAAAAUCGAGGAUGUAUAUGUAACAACCCAAAAAUUUCUAAGCUAAGACCCGAACUAUUUUUCAUUUACAUGUAGGGUCAAAUCAGGUGAUUCUUCAAUUGCCCAUAUAUGUGUAAAGGUAAAUUAUUUAGUAUGGGAAUGAUUUUGGAUAUCAAUUAAGGUCACUAGAAGCUCCUAGCACAAAGUUGAGUUGAAAGUUUUCUAAUCGAUUAAGUUUUGAUGUAAGAUUUUCUUUGGGUCAACUUCAAAUGACCAUAUCUCUUAGAAUAUAAAGAGUUAAAUGAUCCAUAACCUAUCAAAUUAAAGGUAUUUGAAUUUUCUUUCCAACGCCACCAAUUUCGCAACUAAAUUACCUGCGAAUUUUCUAAAUUUGCAAGUACUAAUUACCUACGAAGGUUUUUCCAUCAGAUUUUAAUUGGCCAAAUAAUUCGCAGGUAAUCAAAUUACUUGGGGAUUUUACUGUAUUAUCCUUAUGAAAAUCCCCACGUAAUCAACACUUUUCUUGUAGUGUGUGUGUCAUGGCUUUGUUGAGGAUAUUAUAGUGACAACAAUAAUAUAAUAAAAAUAAGCUUUCAAAGGAUUAAUUUUACAACUUAUUUCAUUCGUGUGACUAAUUAGUUAGCAAUUAUCCAGUGCAAGCAUCCAAGUAUAUUUGUUGAAAUCAUUUAUGAUUUGGUAAAGGGUAAAAAUAUCCUUAAUUAUGUAAAAUUGAAUAAAAAUGUCAUUACUUAAUAGUUUCAUUUAAAAGUACCUUUAUAGUUAAAAAAAAAGGGAAGUUUAAAGAUGAUACUCAUCCAUAAGACCAUAACUAGGGACUAGCACAUCAUAUUCAUCCCACAAAUUUAUUUUCUUACGCUAAAGAAAUAGGCAAUGUGUGCUUAAGUUUUCUUAUUGAGUAAAAGUGACACAAUUAGAUUAUUAAUUAAUGAGUUGAAAUUCAUCUUCACUUGUUCUUAACUUUUUUUCUUUCCUUUUUUUUUUGGAUAAAUAUCAAAAACUCACCUAAACUAUCUCAUUUUUUUUAGUUUCAUACUUAAACUAUUGACAAUGUGAGUUUUAUACCUAAACUAUCACUUAUUAUUUUGAAAAAUCACACCCCUCUCUUUUAUUACAUUCUCUUCAUGGUGUGUGUACCACACUCUCUCUUUUAUUUGAAAAAAUUUGUCACAUCACACUCCACAUGGACAAAACAUUUCACCUUGACAAUAAAUAAAUAAAUUAUUAGCUUAAUUUAAAUUAAAUAUUAAAAAAUUAAUAACCCAAAAUAAUAAUAUUUUUUUAUAAAAUAAAAUGUAAAAUAUUUUUCUUACCCCACUCCCAUCACUUCCUCUCACCGUACCGGCGUACCCCUGCCAUUUUUUAGUUUUUUUUUUGUUUAAAUUUCUUUAUAAAAGUAUUUAAUUUUUUUUACUUCAUCUCCCCCUACCCCUCAAAUUAGAAAUUAUUUUAUUUUUUUAAUAUAAAUAAAAUAAUAUCAAUUAUUUUUUUUUGGAAUGAGUGGGUGGUUUUGGGGGUGGGGGAGGGGAAGGGAGGGGCUGAAGUAUGAAAUUUUGAAAAAUAUUUUAUAAAAGAUAUUUUAUAAAAUAAAAGGACGGGGGAUUUCCGCACGGGGGUGAGGGGGGAGGUGGUGGAGUGGUGUAAGAAAAAUAAUUUGUUUGGGAUAUUAAUACUUUAAUCUUUAAUUUUUAAUUAAUAUUAUUAGUUUAUUAUUUAAUUUUUGUCAAGGUAAAAUAAUUUAUCCAUGUGGAAUUUCAUGUGUCAAUGUUUUUGAAAAUAAAAGAGAAUGUAUUACACACACCACUGAGGUGUGUUUCUCAAACUGAUAAGUGAUAAUUUAGGCAUGAAACUCACACUCCUAAGUAUUUAGGUAUGAAAUUCAAAAAAAGUAUAUAGUUUAGGUGUGUUUUUGGAUGCUUCAUCUCUUUUUUUUUUUAAAAAAAACAUUUAGACCCAUGUUAUAUAAAAUUCUAAUUAUAUGUAAUAGGGAGUGAAACAAAGUGGGAACAACCACCACGAUAGUCGAUUUUGGCGUAAAAAUAUAUCAAUCAAUCCAUGCCUAUAAUAAAAUCAAAGUGUAGCAUCUCUAGUUCUAUCAAGUCUAUAUGGGUCUAAUGAACAACAAUCUCUACUAUACAACCUCGGUAAAGCCACUUGGAAAUAAAAGAGUCACCAACUAGGGCAGAUAUUGUUGAGUUUGAAAGAAUCAAAGCGUCAUGUAGAAGCUUACAGUUGCAAAUAUGUAACGACAUGUUCCCUUUGUUAAAGAAAAGUCAACGGGGGAAAAUUUGGGGCUGGAAAACCUUUUUCGUAGUAUUUGGAUUUUCCCAACGUAGUCCAGAUUUGGACGAAUCGGAGUCUUUGAGGUGAAGGGAAAUGUGGUAACAAUCGGGUGAAUUAUUUAUGAUUUUGAUUACAUGAGUAGUUACAUAACUCGUUAAGGAAUCCGUACGACUUUACGAAAUUGAAUUCGGGUGAGUAAAACUCUCAGAAUCGAUCUUAGCGUAAAGGGUAUUUUUUGAGCAUCGUUGGUUAGAAGUGUGUUGUGAAAUGUGGAUUUUGGAAUUCUUUGAUUAGCUCACUGUCUCGCGUAACCCGCUUUGGCACUGGGUUUUGCCGCUCUGGCGGGAUCCCUACAGCGGAGUGACGGUCGCUGUGGUGGACUUGACGCAAAUUAAAGUCGUUAAUAAACCCCUAAACGACCUCAUUAUGCACUUUUCGACUUCUAGAGCUAAGGAACGAACCAUUCUUGAGGCUAAAAAUAAGUUUUUUACUCCCCGAAUCCAUUUUUCGAUACAUCGAACGUAACAGAAUGGGUGAAUAUUGAUGGGGGAGGUUUUUGUUAUAGAUUCUAUGGUGGAAACAACCCUAAUUUGGAUAAUUGGGAUCAUGGGUUUGAUCUAGGGUUCAUAGAAUUGUUAGUAACUCGGGUAAUUAGUGGUUGUUUAUUGAUUCCCAUAUUCUAUUGAUUGUUUGUAGAGCAAGAACUAGCGGAAUGUAUCCGGAAAGAGAAGGAUCAAGUUUCUUAUGGUUUCAAUCUUGUUUUGAGGUAGGUGAUGGUUGUGAUUCUAUGAUUGUGUGAUGUAUGUUCGUUCUUGCUUCAUUAUGAUACGUGUAUACGUAUGAAUGUUGCAAUGUUGAUCACACUUGUUGUAAAUGAGAUAUAUGAAUGAUGAUUUCCAUAAAAUCAUGACUUAAAUAUAUGAUCUUGGUGAUAUACUUGUGAUUGUGAUUGUGGUGUGUUGAAUGGAUCAGUUGACACGUUCGAGCAUAACUAACUUGGAUCGGUUGCCACGUUCCGGCAUAACUAUGGGAUCGGUUGCCACGUUCCAGCAUAAUUAUGGGAUCGGAUACCACGUUCUGGUAUGCUAACUGUUUGGGUUUGGGUUCCAUGAGAGGAAUAAUGAUUUGAUAUAAAUGUGAAGUUGUUCGUUGUUCGUAAAUGUUGAUAAUAUUGUAUAUGUUGAUAUAUAUGCAUGUGAUUAUAAUGUUGUCUUAACUUGCUUAUGUUGUACUUAGUGGGAUAACCGUGUGACCCUACCAGUACACUGUGGUUGUGUACUGAUACUGCACUUGCUCUUAUUUUUGUUGACUAUAGGGCAUCUUGAAGCGGCUACUGACAGAACUCGCUUAAGAGAUCAGUGAUUAUUUGAAUUCAAGGGUGAGCCAAUUCUUCUGGGCUGCCAUAGCUUCUCUUUUGUCUAUGUCCACCAUUUCUGAACUUAGACUAUGUUCUAGUUAGUUCAUUAGAUUGGGGUUGCAUCCCUUCUUGUUUAGACUUGGUUCAUUGUUAGAUGUUUUGGUACAUAAACUUUAAGGUUCUAGGUUAUUUCUUCCACAUUAUUAGUUGUUAGAUCUUUUGUUGAAGUUUAUGGGAACUUCAGUUUUACCAAUUAUUUCUGCUUUCAUGUACUUAAAUGCCUUAGUUUUUAGAUUAGUUGCUUGGUUUGGGUUGUAGUAGUGGUUCUCCCACCGGAGUGUUAGUGUGGGUGCCAAUCACGGUGGUCUGGGUCGUGAUAAAGUUGGUAUCAGAGCCUAGGUUCAUUGAUUUUGAUGUACCAAAACGAGUCUAGUAGAGUCUAGCGGAACAGUAUGGGGACGCCUUUACUUUUCCUCCACAGGCUAUAGGACCUUAGAAAAUCUCUAUAUUUUAUCUUAUCUCCUUUCGUGCUAGGACUGUAUUCCUAUUGGUAUCUAGCCUCUUUCACUCUUCUGUCAGCAGAUGGUUAAUGUUAGAUUCAACGGCAUUAGGCUCGUAGCUCCCGUCAAUGCUCCGAUUGAGGAAUCUACAACAAGAGGUCGCGAUCGAGGAAGUGGUAAAGGAAGAGCUAGGGGUAGAGGUCGUGGAAGAGUAGCGCCUGUAGGAAAUAGAGCUCCUGCUGAGAAUGCUCAUAUGAAUGAGAACCCUCAUGUGCAUUAUGAAGAGAUUGAAGAUGAGAGUGCUGAUGUUAAAGAUGUUGAGUAUGCGGGAAAAGAGGAAUGGGUGCAGGCUGGGACUACAGGUGUUCCUUAUUUGGAUCUACUGUUCGCUCAAUAGAUCAUGUCAUUCUUAAAGGGAUUGGUUGGUACUAGAGUACUUCCUUCUACUCAAGCAACUCAAGCUCCUACUAAUUCUCAUAUUGCUAGCACUGCGCCCAAGGUGGGUGGGAGGGAGGUAAUGAUGCCUUCUUCCGUCCUUUGUUGGGUACUGGUAUGACUGGUAAUGAGCAUGAAAUGUUGACUAAGUUUCUAAAGCUAAAGCCUCCUGUGUUUCUUGGUUCGGAUAAUGAGGAUGCUUAUGAGUUCAUUCUGGAUUGCUAUGAGAGGCUUUAUAAACUGGGUAUUUUUCAUCAGCAUGGGGUUGAGUUUGUGUCCUUCCAACUUCAAGGCGAGGCUAAGCAGUGGUGGAGACCUUAUAUGGAAUGUAGAUCUUCUACUUUACCUCCACUUACUUGGACCUAGUUUCAUGCUCUUUUUCUAGACAUAAAUAUGCCUAGGACUUUGAGGAAUCGCAAGAAGGAUGAGUUCAUGGCUUUGGAGCAAGGUGGUAUGAUUGUGGCUGCUUAUAAGGCCAAGUUCCAUGCUUUGUCUAGAUAUGCUACCCAAUUGGUCACUACGGAGGAAGAGAGAAUUCAGCUAUUUAUUAAAGGAUUAAAUUCUGAGUUGCAAGUAUUAUCUGUUCAUAUGACUUAUGCACGGAGAAGCUUUAAUGAGGUGGCAGACUAUGUUAAGAAAGUGGAUGGGGUGAGGCGAGACGGUCAAGCUAAGACAUGGGAAUAAAGGGCCAAGAACUCAGGUAACUUUCAAGGUUCUUAUUCUAAAGGAUCCGGAAGGCCAACGCUUGCGGCCAAGCCAAUUCAGUCUGCUAUGCCCGCCUCUACAGGUAGUUAAUCGGAAACUCCAUCACAUAAUAUUCAGGAGAGCAAGGGAGUCUCUCCUUCGACGGGAGGCAAACCAUCUUUUCAUCAUACUUGUUAGAUCUGCGGGGAACCUGGGCAUAUGAGGAGAGAUUGUCCGCACCCACGUGUGUUAGAUUCCGUGCAGCAGCAGUCUAGAUCAUUAGUGGGGAAUGGUAAUAAUGGUAAAGGGCAUCCAUAAUGUGGGCAAGGAGGUAAUCAGCGAGGUUGUGAAUUUAGAGAAAAUGGUAAUGCAGGCAAAUAUAAAGUGCGACCAGGCGGCGAAGUGGUUCGUCAAGAUGAUAGGGCUCAGUGUUAUGCCUUUUCGGGCAAGAAUGAGGCAGAAGCUUCUGACGCGGUGAUCACAGGUACUAUUCUUGUCUGUGACCAGAUGGCUAAUGUGUUGUUUGAUUCGGGUUCUACUUAUUCUUCUGUAUAUGUGCGGUUUGCCUCAGAGUUUGAUAUGAUUUGUGAUAUACUUGAUGCCCUAUCCAUGUUUCUACCCCAGUUGGAGAGUCAGUCAUAGUUACCCAUGUCUAUCGUGCUUGCCCUUAUUUUUGUUUAUGGGUUUUUAAAACUUAGGCUGAUUUGGUGAUUUUGGAUAUGACUGACUUUGACAUAAUCUUAGGUAUGACUUGGUUGUCCCCUAUUAUGAUGUGCUUAAUUGUUAUACUAAGUCUGUAACUCUAGAAAUUCCGGGAAGGGAAAAAUUAGAGUGGGAAGGGGUGUACAAGCCUAAGCGAACUAAGAUCAUAUCCUCCAUAUGAUUUUGAUGAUAUACUUGUGAUUGUGAUUGUUAUUUUGGUGUGUUGAAUGGAUCGGUUGUCACGUUUCGGCAUAACUAACUUGGAUCGGUUGCCACGUUCCGGCAUAACUAUGGGAUCGGUUGCCAUUUUUCGGUAUAGUUAUGGGAUCGGAUACCACAUUCCAGUAUGCUAACUGUUGGGGUUUGGGUUCAAUGAGAGGACCAACGAUAUGAUAUAAAUGUGAAGUUGUUCGUUGUUCGUAAAUGUUCAUAAUAUUAUAUAUGUUGAUAUAUAUGCAUGUGAUUAUAAUGUUGUCUUGACUUGCUUAUGUUGUACUUAGUGGGAUAACCGUGUGAUCCUACCAGUACACCGUGGUUGCGUACUGAUACUGCCCUUGCUCUUAUUUUUGUUGAGUAUAGGGCAUCUUGAAGCGGCUACUGACAGAACUCGCUUAAGAGAUCAGUGAUUAUAUGAAGUCAAGGGUGAGCCAAUUCUUCUGGGCUGCCAUAGCUGUUCUUUUGUCUAUGUCCAUCAUUUCCGAACUUAGACUAUGUUCUAGUUAGUUCAUUAGAUUGGGGUUGCAUCCCUUCUUGUUUAGACUUGGUUCAGUGUUAGAUGUUUUGGUACAUAAACUUUAAGGUUCUAGGUUAUUUCUUCCUCAUUGUUAGUUGUUAGAUCUUUUGUUGAAGUUUAUGGGAACUUCAAUUUUAGCUAUUAUUUUUGUUUUCAUGUACUUAAAUGCCUUAGUUUUUACAUUAGUUGCUUGGUUUGGGUUGUAGUAGUGGUUCUCCCACCGGAGUGUUAGUGUGGGUGCCAAUCACGGUGGUCUGGGUCGUGACAAAGUUAGUAUCAGAGCCUAGGUUCAUUGAUUUUGAUGUACCAAAACGAGUCUAGUAGAUUCUAGCGGAACAGUAUGGGGACGCCUUUACUUUUCUUCCAGAAGCUAUAGGACCUUAGGAAAUCUCUAUAUUUUCUUUUAUCUCCUUUCGUGCUAGGACUGUAUUCCAAUUGGUAUCUAGCCUCUUUCACUCUUCUGUCCGCAGAUGGUUAAUGUUAGAUUCAACGGCAUUAGGCCCGUAGCUCCCGUCAAUGCUCUGGUUGAGGAAUCUACAACAAGAGGUCGCGAUCGAGGAAGAGGAAAAGGAAGAGCUAGGGGUAGAGGUCAUGGAAAUAUAGCGCCUGCAGGAAAUGGAGCCCCUGCUGAGAAUGCUCGUAUGAAUGAGAACCCUCAUGUGCAUUAUGAAGAGAUUGAAGAUGAGAGUGUUGAUGUUAAAGAUGUUGAGUAUGCGGGAAAAGAGGAAUGGGUGCAGGCUGGGACUACAGGUGUUCCUUAUUUGGAUCUACUGUUCGCUCAAUAGAUCAUGUCAUUCUUAAAGGGAUUGGUUGGUACUAGAGUACUUCCUUCUACUCAAGCAACUCAAGCUCCUACUAAUUCUCAUAUUGCUAGCACUGCGCCCAAGGUGGGUGGGAGGGAGGUAAUGAUGCCUUCUUCCGUCCUUUGUUGGGUACUGGUAUGACUGGUAAUGAGCAUGAAAUGUUGACUAAGUUUCUAAAGCUAAAGCCUCCUGUGUUUCUUGGUUCGGAUAAUGAGGAUGCUUAUGAGUUCAUUCUGGAUUGCUAUGAGAGGCUUUAUAAACUGGGUAUUUUUCAUCAGCAUGGGGUUGAGUUUGUGUCCUUCCAACUUCAAGGCGAGGCUAAGCAGUGGUGGAGACCUUAUAUGGAAUGUAGAUCUUCUACUUUACCUCCACUUACUUGGACCUAGUUUCAUGCUCUUUUUCUAGACAUAAAUAUGCCUAGGACUUUGAGGAAUCGCAAGAAGGAUGAGUUCAUGGCUUUGGAGCAAGGUGGUAUGAUUGUGGCUGCUUAUAAGGCCAAGUUCCAUGUUUUGUCUAGAUAUGCUACCCAAUUGGUCACUACGGAGGAAGAGAGAAUUCAGCUAUUUAUUAAAGGAUUAAAUUCUGAGUUGCAAGUAUUAUCUGUUCAUAUGACUUAUGCACGGAGAAGCUUUAAUGAGGUGGCAGACUAUGUUAAGAAAGUGGAUGGGGUGAGGCGAGACGAUCAAGCUAAGACAUGGGGAAAAAGGGCCAAGAACUCGGGUAACUUUCAAGGUUCUUAUUCUAAAGGGUCCGGAAGGCCAACGCUUGCGGCCAAGCCAAUUCAGUCUGCUAUCCCCGCCUCUACAGGUAGUUAAUCGGAAACUCCAUCACAUAAUUUUCAGGAGAGCCAGGGAGUCGCGCCUUCGACGGGAGGCAAACCAUCUUUUGAUCAUACUUGUUAGAACUGUGGGGAACCUGGGCAUAUAAGGAGAGAUUGUCCCCACCCACGUGUGUUAGAUGUCGUGCAGCAACAGUCUAGAUCAUUAGUGGGGAAUGGUAAUAAUGAUAAAGGGCAUCCAUAAUGUGGGCAAGGAGGUAAUCAGCGAGGUUGUGGAGGUAGAGAAAAUGGUAAUGCAGGAAAAUAUAAAGUGCGACCAGGCGGGGAAGUGGUUCGUCAAGAUGAUAGGGCUUAGUGUUAUGCCUUUUCGGGCAAGAAUGAGGCAGAAGCUUCUGACGCGGUGAUCACAGGUACUAUUCUUGUCUGUGACCAGAUGGCUAAUGUGUUGUUUGAUUCGGGUUCUACUUAUUCUUCUGUAUAUGUGUGGUUUGCCUCAAAGUUUGAUAUGAUUUGUGAUAUACUUGAUGCCCUAUCCAUGUUUCUACCCCAGUUGGAGAGUCAGUCACAGUUACCCAUGUCUAUCAUGCUUGCCCUAUUUUGUUUAUGGGUUUUCAGACCUAGGCUGAUUUGGUGAUUUUGGAUAUGACUGACUUUGACAUAAUCUUAGGUGUGACUUGGUUGUCCCCCUAUUAUGAUGUGCUUAAUUGUAAUACUAAGUCUGUAACUCUAGAAAUUCCGGGAAGGGACAAAUUAGAGUGGGAAGGGAUGUAUAAGCCUAAGCGAACAAAGAUCAUAUCCUCCAUAUGAUUUUGAUGAUAUACUUGUGAUUGUGAUUGUGAUUUUGGUGUGUUGAAUGAAUCGGUUGUCACGUUCCGGCAUAACUAACUUGGAUCGGUUGCCACGUUCCGGCAUAACUAUGGGAUCGGUUACCAUUUUUCGGUAUAGUUAUGGGAUCGGAUACCACAUUCCAGUAUGCUAACUGUUGGGGUUUGGUUCAAUGAGAGGACCAACGAUAUGAUAUAAAUGUGAAGUUGUUCGUUGUUCGUAAAUGUUCAUAAUAUUAUAUAUGUUGAUAUAUAUGCAUGUGAUUAUAACGUUGUCUUGACUUGCUUAUGUUGUACUUAGUGGGAUAACCGUGUGAUCCUACCAGUACACUGUGGUUGUGUACUGAUACUGCACUUGCUCUUAUUUUUGUUGAAUAUAGGGCAUCUUGAAGCGGCUACUGACAGAACUCGCUUAAGAGAUUAGUGAUUAUUUGAAUUCAAGGGUGAGCCAAUUCUUCUGGGCUACCAUAGCUUCUCUUUUCUCUAUGUCCACCAUUUCCGAACUUAGACUAUGUUCUAGUUAGUUCAUUAGAUUGGGGUUGCAUCCUUUCUUGUUUAGACUUGGUUCAUUGUUAGAUGUUUUGGUACAUAAACUUUAAGGUUCUAGGUUAUUUCUUCCGCAUUGUUAGUUGUUAGAUCUUUUGUUGAAGUUUAUGGGAACUUCAAUUUUAGCUAUUAUUUUUGCUUUCCUAUACUUAAAUGCCUUAGGUUUUAGAUCAGUUGCUUGGAUUUGGUUGUAGUAGUAGUUCUCCCACCGGAAUGCUAGUGUGGCUGCCAAUCACGAUGGUCUGGGUCGUGAUAAAAUAAUAUUGGCGAGAAAUAAAUGAAAAAACUUACAAAAAAUGAAAAUAUUAUUAUAUGAUUUGGCCAAUUAGCCUACAUAUUUUUCAAAAACCAAUAAAAAACAUAAAAAUUGUAGACAGAAAACCUCUCCAUAAACAAAACUCUUAGUGCCUGUUUGGAAAGUCAACCUAGUAAUUGGAUUUUGUGUAAUUGGGUGUAAUUACAUUGUUUGACAUGUUUGGUUGGUCGUGUAAUUACCUGGUCAAUAGGUAAUUGAGGGUAAUUGGAAAGGGGGGCUUGUGAAUUCCUGGUAAUUACAUGGUGUAUUUACAAGUGGUGAUAUUUUGUAACUCGAUAUGACUCACAUUCCAAUGAAGAAAUAUUCUGAAACCGAGGACACAAUUUCUUUAAUUGACGUAGAGAGGGAUGUCUUAAUCGACAAUGUGCAGCAAAUUGAGACACAAAACUAGAGCAAACAAUAGACAAAAGGCCCGUUUGGCCAUGCGAUAUGGUAUCGUGAUAUGGAAUCAUGAUAUGGUAUCAUAAUAUGGAAUCAUGAGAUGAAAUUGAGGUUUUGUUUGGACAUGCGAUGUGGAAUUUUUGUGUUAUAUAUUUUCUCAUAAACAUAAGAAUCUCAUAAGUUGUAAAACUAUUAAAAUAGUUCCAAUUGUUUAUUCAAUCUUACCGAAUAAACAAAAAUUAUAAAAUCGCAUAAUAAAUUAUUAUAAAGCUAUUUGUUUCCCACUUAAGUAACUAUUUUAUCAAACUUUAAUUCAAUAAAAAAAUUGAACAAUAAUUGUAGUGAACUAGUCUUAAUAUAAUCCUCCCACAUAAUAAUGACAAUUUCCUCACGUUGAACUUGCAUUUCUCGAUCAUGUAACCGAGAAGACGAACUAACAUUGUUGCUUUGAGUCAUUUUUUGGUUAAUAUCAUACGCAACUAUAUUUUCAUGAUCAUAGACCAUAAAUAUUUCAUUACUCCUUUUCGCAAAUAAUUACAUAACACUGCACAAGCUAUGACAAUUUUUUACUUGUGUGUCUAUAUCAUAAUGGUUCAUACCUUGUUUCAGUAUUUUGCUAUUUUUCCAAGCUCCAAAAGUCGGUAGGGGUUGUUUUAACAAAUUAUAAACUUGUGGAUUAAUUUUUGUGUUUAAAAAAUCUCAAAUCAUGAUAUGGUAUUCCAAUAUAAUUCCAUAUCAUGGUUUUCGGAGAAUAUGUAAUCACAUCUCAUGCUAUGGAGUCGUAAGAUGGAAUCAGCGUAAAUUCGCAUGUCCAAACGCUGAUUCCAUCUCAUGAUACCAUAUCGUGAUAUGGUAUCGCAUGGCCAAACGCCUAUUAAGAUUCCCACUCAUCAAGGAUGUACAUAUCAUUAGAUACAUGUCAUUUACCAAUAAUUACCUGAUUUGUCCUAAGAUCACGAAAUAGGCAAUGAUCGAGAAAAAAUAAAAUAUAACAACUAAGGUAUAUGUAUUUACGGACAAAGAUCAAAUAAAAUGUCAAUUUUGAUAGGCUUAAUACAUAUGAUAGGGCAAUAAAGGAGGCUGACUUAACAAUUCCAAAUCCAACACUUGUACAAAUAGUUCAAUCAGCUACAGUGACCAGAAAGGGAGCUUUGUGUGAUUGAAUGCUAGAAAAAUGUAUUGGAAUUAACAGUUAUAUGAUUUGUGCACCUAAAUCAAUCACCCAUUCAUUUGAAGAGGUGAUACAAUAUCUUUCAUCCAACUUAGCAAUUUUAAUAGCCGAAGUGAAUUUAUUCAAUGAUUCUUGAUAUUGAGAUAAUAUUGCAAACUCAUGUGUUGAAAUUGAAAUUAUUUUAUCAAAAAUGAAUUAUCCGUAGUAACAAAAUUCAGUCUCUUAUUGAUCAUUCUAUUAAUGAAAUAGUAGUACCACUUAUCCUGAACAAAUAUUUUUUAAAAGAAACCAAUUCAGUAAUGCAAUUUCUUAAAAGAAAGCAAUCAAAACAUGGAUGUAAUAAAGGUCAAAUGCAAAUCUUUGACCAAUGAAACAAAACCUUGUACUUUCACGAUAUCAGACCGAAAUUUCAAGAAGACGCAAACUACAUAUUAAAGAUGAAACCAAGAAAUACCAAAUAUCAAUUGAAAACACCAUAAAAUAAUUUACCAAACUCCUCAGAUGUUGGAGACAAUAACCAGAUCUGUUAGCCGGAAACAAGUGACUUUCUCGGAUGAUGGUUAGAAAUAACAAUAGAUGACAGAAAAAACAAGAUCGACAUAAAGCAACCCCAAUCUAGACAGAUAUACCACUUGCCUUCACACACACGUCGAGAAACUGUGAAUAGAAUGUAGUCACCAAAAUGUGAGACUCACUAAGAUAAUUCUAAUGUAAUUGUCAUAAAACAAUUACUAUUAACUUCUAGCGAAAAAACAAUGUCUCCUGGCUAUGAAGAUGACUCAACUCCAACUAGGUAGGGCUCGCUCAGUUGAAGCUAUAACCUUCACUCUGAUACCAUGUUACAACAAAAGUAUGGACUAAUUUCAAUGUAUAUGAAGGAAUACAAUGGUUAUAAUUGAGGUAUAGAAAAGAAUAAUUACUAUUACAAUGUGAGACUCACUAGGAUAAUUUUAAUGUAAUAGUAAACAAUGUCUCCUGGCUAUGAAGAUGACUCAACUCCAACUAGAUAGGGCUAGCUCAGUUGAAGCUAUAACCUUCACUCUGAUACCAUGUUACAACAAAAGUAUGGAGUAAUUUCAAUGUAUAUGAAGGAAUACAAUGGUUAUAAUUGAGGUAUAGAAAAUAAUAAUUAAGGUAAAUAGAUAUCUGAAUCCCUAAAAAUCAGCUAGAAUACUAUGUACAAAAAAAUAUACUCCCUCCGUUUCAAAAAGAAUGACCUAGUUUGACUUGGAACGGAGUUUAAAAAAAGAUAGAAGACGUCUUAAUCUUGUGGUUCUAAAUUAAAGUUAUAUCAAAUGUACCAAAAUGUCCUUUAAUCUUGUGGCCUUAAACAUACCAUGUAGAAAGUUGAAGUUAAAGUGUUGCAAAAAAAGGAAAAGGGUCAUUCUUUUUGAAACAGACUAAAAAGGAAACUAGGCCAUUCUUUUUUAAACGGAGGGAGUAUAAUUUUAUGAUUCUCUAACACGUAUGUUCCCGCUUUCCUAUAUUAAGAAUUAUCCCUCAUUUUUUCAUUCCAAGUUUUUCUUUCUUUAUCUAGGAGUUCAUCAAUUGUUGUAGUUCUUUUUUUAAAAAAAAAUCAAAACACAUAAAUAUGGUUCAAGAUAUCUUUCUUAUUUUUACUUAUUUUUUUCCGACAAAGUUGUGUGUUGUUAAGCACUUUACACUACAAGAAACACACUUAUUUAAGACCAGCGUUUAGGGACGAGUUACUAUUUCUGUCUCUAAAGAUAUAUGUAUUGGGACAAGAUUAUAUUUUGGUCCUUAUUUGUAUAUUCUGUUGUGAAGAUACUUAAUCCGGUCCCUAAAUGACAUAUUAAUUGAUUCCAAAUUCUAAUUAAAAAACUUAUAGCAGCGCGCCUCUUCCAGCCAAAAUUUAGGCGGCAAUAAUUUUUUAGCCAAAAAGAAAAAACCCUGUUUUUCUAAAAGCAAAUUUAGGUAAAACGUAAAAAGGAAAAAAACCCUUUGGCUUCUGUCUUCUUCAUCGUAUAGUUGUUGCUCAGCUGCUCGUUGAAACAGAUACAAAUUUGCUUCUUCUUAUAAUCAAGUUUCUAUUGUUUCGAAUUCCAUAAACUAUAUUGAUGGAUGUUUUAUUUUUUUAUUUAAGUUACUCUUCUUCUUGUUCUUCCAAUUUCGUAACAUUAGAUAGGUUAAAAGUUUCUUAAUUUGAUAUGUUUUCUUAUGUACAAUCAGUGAAAUAUUAUUGGGUUGAGUUUGUAAUAGUGACUAGAUUUUGUUAACCGUUGUAUGUGCCUAAAGAUUCAUAUUUUGUAUAGAUUGCAUAAUUUAUUUGGAAAUUCUAAUUAUUUCGCUAACAACAUAUACUAAUUUUUUGUCUUCGAUGUUGAUAUUUUGUGAGCGAAAUAAGAACUAGACCUGCUACAUGUAACUUUUAAAGUAAGAUAUACUUACAUAAUUGUAAUGCUUCUGUUAAGUAGGGGAGGCGAGACUCGCAAACAGAUGUAUUGUAUCUAUAAGGUCCAUACCUUUUCCAUAUAACUUAUUAAGCAAGAGAAAUAUUGGCAUGUGAAAUUCUUCUUUUGCAUCAUGUUAACUAUGAUAUCGAAGUCCAUUUCAAUUGUGCACUUAUCGUAUCCCUUGCCCUUUAAAAUUUGUGUUGCAAACUGGGCUUCUAAAGCUUAUGCAAUGUUGUGAUCCUUGCAUUGGAAAGGUACAACAAAGUCAAAUUAGAAGUUUCCAUCUGCAUUUCUCGCUAUACCCCCACUACCAGCCUUGCCACUUUUCAAAAAACUACCAUCGACGUUGAGUUUAAUCCUUCCCACCUCUAGUUUCUGCGAAGUGACUGUUUUGAGACUCACUUUUGGUCUGAGUUUUUCCACCAGUUCACAAGUAUCUUUCCAGUGUAUAUCUAGUUACAUAUAUUUCAGGUUCAAUUUUUAACUUUUGACUCUUUUUGCAUGUUCAAGAUGAAACCAUUGAAAACUGAAAAUGAGGUCAGUUCUAAUAUGAAGAGUACUAUCAGAUAUACAUUUGUCGCUCCUGGUACUAUCAGAUAUAUAUUUUUUUUUUAAAUACCACCCCCACCCCAGGUAACCUCCCACCCACACCCAAAAAAAAUUAUUAAAAAAAUUCCAAAUUUUUUUUUGCCCCCACCCAUCCUAUCCCCCACCCCACCCCAAUUUUUUUAUUUUUUAUUUUUUAAAAAAAUAGUGCAAUUAGAUAUUUUUAUGAUAACUGAGUGAUAUAUGGGUAUAUAUGGAUUCUCAAGUUAACCAUUUUAUUUUAUCCAUAUUUGUAUGAACUUAAAUAGGUUGAAGUCCAUAUUUACCCUUUUAAGAAAAUAUGAGUGAUCCAUUUAAUUUAAUAUGGGGAAAAUAGAUAUGUUUCACUUAUAUGGGCUAGAAUUACCACCCCUACCGUCCUCUUUCGAGUGUUUGAUUCAAAUCCGGUUUUAUUCCUUUGGGGUUGUGUUCCUUGUUCUUUCGGUUUUUAGCUACUUCAUACUUGUCCUUCCUUUUGGGUAUAUAGCAGGAGUUAAUGGGAAAUGGAGGGAAGAUGAAAAGAGGAAUUUGAAAGGUUCUCUUAUGCUUUAUUAAAGAGGCAUUUCUUCCUCAUUGGUGGUGGAAAGAAAAAUUGAAGUGUUUAAAUAGAGAACACUUCUAUUAGUUGUUAAAAGGGUUAGAAAGAGGGACCCCCUCGCGCCGUCGUCAUCGCCGCUCACUCGGCUUCGGCUUUGGAAAAUUAUAGAUCGAGAGAGUGAUUUAAAACAUCUUUCCCGUUUUAUUUGAAUUUCCCACCAUUGGAGAUAACUAUUCUGAAUGGUUACAACUUUCAGGAACGACCAUGACCGUUUGAAAGGUUGCAAACUUUCAUGAAUGGUCAUGUGGUUUCUGAAAGGUUGCAACCUUUCGGAAGCAAUGUUUCUUGGCUAUAAAUACCUCUGAAUCCUCAAAUUUAUUCACUUGCGAAAUUUCUGACUUCUUCUUCUUCUGCAAAGAUUUUUAUUCGUGUACUUUACUGCCGUGAGUGGCUCGCUGACACCAUUGUUUUGGGUAUCAAUACCGUGGUGAAUAAAUUAUUCUAUCCUGGGAGGAUAUAUUCCAAUUCAAACCUCAUAUACUAGAGGGGAAUAUUUUCUUGAAGGGGACACUAUGCAUUCGGUAGGCUCAAUUUUCUUUACAUUCUAUUUCAUACGUCUAUUACAGAUUCUGGUACAUUUUACAGUAAUUAGUUUUUGAUAUUUAAUUUAUGUUCUUCACUACGUGAUUUAAACUUUGGAAUUUUACUGUUUCUGCAAUGUUUUUUUUAUCAGUAGUAUUUUUUAGAAUAUAUAUUGCAUAACAAUCUUUAGGAAAUUAUAUUUUAAUUGUUAAUCUGCGUUUCUGGUGGAGACAAAGACCUUCGUGGUUUUAUACUCCUUUUAAGUUUGCAAUUUAAGUUAUUGCUUACUAUAUCAGUUGUAUCGAUUUUUGUUUAUCAAAAAUGGCAAUUGAAAAUGCUACGACUUCGGGGGUUGUUGCUGCACCAACCCAAACUAUUGUACCACCAACAGAGAAACCGGAAAAAUUCUCUGAUGUGAAUUUCAAAAGAUGGCAGCAAUAAAUAUUUUUCUAGCUUUCCACUCUUGGUCUGCAGAAGUUUACCAAUGAAGAAACUCCAGUGCAUGUUGUUGAUAUGCCAGACAAAGAAAAAAUCAUGAUUAUUGAAGCAUGGAAACAGGCAGACUUCCUAUGUAAGGAAUACAUUUUAAGUGCUUUAGAGGAUGACUAGUGCAAUGUUUUCAAUGCAUUGAGAACUUCAAAAGAAUUGUGUAAUGCACUUAAGAAGAAAUAUAAGACAAAAGAUGGAUGCUUGAAGAAGUUUGUGGUCGCAAAGUUUUUAGACUAUAAAAUGAAAGAUAGUAAAACUGUUGGAUCACUAGUGCAGGAGCUUCAACUUAUUUUCCAUGAUCUGAUCACUGAGGACAUAGUAGUUAAUGAAGCUUUUCAAGUGGCUACAAUGAUUGAGAAGUUACCUCCUUCCUGGAACGACUUCAAGAAUUAUUUAAAGCACAAACGCAAGGAAAUGGAGCUUGAAGGUCUUGUGAUUCGGCUCAAGAUCGAGGAAGAUAACAAGACCGUCCAAAAGAAAUCUCAUGGGAGUUCGACAAUAGUGGGAGUUAAUAUUGUUGAAGAAGCUCCCACCAAAGGAAAGAAGAGAAAAAAGUCCAACAGACAGAAGUCAUAAUAGGCCAAAAAGAAAUUCAAGGAACCUGUUAAAAUUGUGGUAAGGCUGAUCACAAGUCUUUUGACUGUCGUGCUCCAAGAAAGGACAAGGACAAAGGAAAAAGUCAAGCAAACAUUGUGGAGGAGAUGGAAGACGUAGAUAACCUCUGUGCAAUAAUCUUGUAGUGCAACUUAGUUGGAAAUCCCAAGGAGUGGUUUCUCGACUCAGGUGCCGCUCGACAUAUUUUCUUUGCAAAAGAAGCCAUUUUGACGUAUACUCCUGCUGAGUUCGAUGAAGAUGUUUUCACGGGGAAUACAAUAACAACAAGGAUUGCAAGAAAUGGGGAAGUAAUGUUGAAAAUGACAUUCGUCAAGGUGUUGACUUUGAACAAUGUUCUACACGUUCCUACUAUUAGGAAGAAUCUAGUUUCUGUUGCACUGCUCAUUAAGAAUAGGUUUAAGUGUGUCGUAGUUAGUGACAAAGUUGUAAUAAGUAAGACUGAGAUGUUCUUAGGAAAGGGUUACCUCACUGAGGACCUUUUCAAACUGAAUGUAAUGGUUGUUGACAGUAUUAAUAAGAAAUCUGCUUCUGUUUACUUAUUGGAGUCAAAUGAUUUAUGGCAUGCCCGUUUGGAACAUGUAAAUUACAAAGCCUUGCGAAAAUUGAUUACUUUAUAAGUAUUUCCUAACUUCAAGUGUGGUAAAUCGAAAUGUGAAAUUUGUGUUGAAUGUAAGUUUGUUAAACAUCCUUAUAAGUUUGUUGACAGGAUCUCAAAUCCUUUAGACUUAAUUCAUACAGAUAUAUGUUAUAUGAAGUCAAUACCAUGUCGUGAUGGGAAAAAGUAUUUUAUAACUUUUAUUGACGAUUGCACUCAAUUUUGUUACGCAUAUUUUCUUAAUAGUAAGGAUUAAGCAAAUGAUGCAUAUAGUCAAUACAAAAAAAUGAUGUGAAGAAUCAAUUAAAUCGAAAGAUAAAAAUGAUUCUGAGUGAUAGGGGUGGAGAAUAUGAAUCUACUUUUGCAGAGAUAUGUUUGCAAUAUAGUAUUAUUCAUCAAACUACUGCACCCUAUACACAACAAUCAAACAGAUUGGCGGAACGGAAGAACAGAACAUUAAAGGAAAUGAUAUUUUUAAUCAGUUAUGGUUCACCGCGAAACUUGUGUGGUAAAGCUAUCUUUCUGGCUAACAAGAUACUCAAUAAGGUACCCCAUAGCAAAACACAAUCGAUUUCUUAUAAGUUAUGGAAAGAAAGGAAACCCAACUUAAAAUACUUCAAAGUGUGGAGGUGUUUAGCCAAGGUAGAGGUUCCUUUACCUAAGAGGGUGAAAAUAAGACCUAAAAUAGUGGAUUGUGUUUUUAUUUGAUAUGUUGUGAACAGUAAGGCCUGUUUGUUUUUGGUUCACAAAGUUGAGUUCAUGUUAAUACGGUAAUAAUGUUUAGUUCUGUGAACACAUUUAUCCGUAUAAAACUGAAUGUGAGUCGACAAGUGAAAGACCUAAACGACUAUGGGAAAAAUCAACAGAAAAUACACUACCUAACGAGGAUCCCAGUCGUAGUAAUCGUCAACGGAAAUUCAUUUCUUUCGGACCAGAUUUUGUGGCAUUCUUGUUUUAAAAUGAGCCUCAAACAUUUAAAGCAGCGAUGUUUUCGUCUGAGUCAACUUAUUGGAAAGAAGCAGUCAAUAGUGACAUCAAAUCAAUUUUAAGUAACCAUACUUGGGAAUUGGUUGUUCUUCCUCCAGAAAAUAAACCUUUAGGAUUAAAGUGGAUCUCCAAAAGGAAUAUGAAAGCCGAUGGGACUAUUGACAAACAUAAGGAUAGACUUGUAGUCAAAGGGUAGAAACAAAAAUAAGGUUUGCAUUACUUUGACACAUACACUCCAGCAACAAGGAUAACAUUUAUUAGGAUGUUAAUAGACCUAGCGGCAGUGCAUGAUCUUAAAAUCCACCAAAUGGAUGUUAAGAUAGCCUUCUUAAAUGGAGAGUUGGAUGAAGAAAUUCACAUGGAACAACCUGAGGGGUUUUUAGUUCCUGGUAAAGAAGAGAAAAUGUGCAGACUUGUUUAGUCACUUUAUGGGAUCAAACAAGCACCUAAACAAUGGCAUGCUAAAUUUGUCCAAACAAUAUUGGCAAAUGGAUUCAUGAUUAACGAAUGUGAUAAAUAUGUUUACAUUAAAAAUAUUCUGAAUCAUGAAGUCAUUGUUUGUCUAUAUGUUGAUGACAUGUUAAUAAUGAGUAAAAAUAUUGACGAUAUAAAUGCUACUAAACGCAUGUUGUCCAACAAGUUCGAUAUGAAAGACUUAGGAGUUGCUGAUUUGAUCUUAGGGAAUAGGAUUCUCAAAACUCCUCUAGGACUAGCCUUAUCUCAAUCUCAUUAUAAUGAAAGAGUAUUGGAAAAGUUCAAGUACUUGAAUUUCAACGAUGUCAAAACUCCAAUUGAUAUAAGUCUUAUAUUUCAAAAGAAUUAAGGUGAAAGUGAUUCUCAAUUGGAAUAUGAAAGAUUGUUGGGAAGUUUGAUGUAUAUUAUGAAUUGUACGCAACCAGAUAUAGCAUGUGCUAUUAGCAAGCUGAGUCGGUUCACUAGUAAUCCUAAUCAAACUCACUUAAUGACAAUGAAACAUGUGUUGAGGUAUCUAAAACAUACACAACAUUAUGCUUUGCAUUAUAAUAAAUAUCAUGUCGUGAUUGAAGGAUAUAGUGAUGAAAAUUGGAUCACCGGGUCAAAUGAAGUAAAAUCCACAAGUGGUUAUAUGUUUAUACUUGGUGGAGGAGCAGUCUCUUGGAAAUCGUCCAAACACACAUGUAUCGCUCGCUCCACAAUGGAAUUUGAAUUUAUUGUCUUAGAUAAGGACGGUGAAGAAAUUGAAUGGCUCCGCAAUUUCUUAGAGGACAUUCCAUUCUGGCCCAAACCUGUGCGACUUAUAUGCAUACAUUGUGAUAGUCAAGCAGCAAUAGGUAGGGCAGAGAGCGUCAUGUACAACGGGAAGUCUCGUCAUAUACGAUGGAGACAAAAUGUCGUAAGACAACUGCUCUUUAGUGUAAUCAUCACAAUUCACUAUGUGAAGUCAAGAGAUAAUGUGUGAGAUCCACUAACAAAAGGCCUAGUGAGAGAGGCAGUUGAAAGAUCAUCUAAGAGAAUGGGUUGACGACUUCGGACAAGUCAUCAUAGCGGUAAGCCUACCUAGCAAACUGGAGAUCCCAAGAGCUAGGUUCAAGGAGAAAAACAAAGUUGUGCCUAACAGUUCGACAUUGUCAAUCAACUCAAUCCAUUCUCACAAUGAAGACAAUGUUUAGGAACGAGGUUAAAACAUUAAGGCUUGUUAAUGAGCUAAUAAAUCUUAAUGUUUUUUUAAUGAUUUGUUAUGUUUGGUAGACUUGACCAAAUAGUGUAUCUACCCGAUGACAAGGUUAGAAAUCACCUAUGUGAGUGUGAAAUGUAAGCCGCUUCAAAGAGAAUUAUUGUAAAAACCCUAUUUUUUAUACACUCAUGAAAACAGGAGGUGUUCAUGGCUGAACUGGACACAACCGUAAGAACCAUAAAUGGUAUAGGGUUAAUUGUGUGACAUAUCGUUGUCUAGGUAUACACCGAAGCUCGACGUUUCAAAGAUAUCACAUCUAUCAAUUGACCGAGUCUAUCCGACAUAUGUUCACUACGGAAAGUUCAACGGAAAACCUACUAAUCCAGAUGCAAUUGAUCCUUGCUUGUAAAGUAUACACUCGUCCGUGAUUUCCUGUAUGUUAUAACCAUUCCCCAUUCAUAUGGGGGAUUGUUGGGUAUAUAGCAAUAGUUAAUGGGAAAUGGAGCGAAGAUGAAAAAAAGAAAUUUUAAAGGUUCUCUUAUGCUUUAGUAAAAAGGAAUUUCUCCCUCAUUGGUGGUGGAAAUAAAAAUUGAAGUGUUUAAAUAGAGAAACACUUCUAUUAGUUGUUAAAAGGGUUGGAAAGAGGGGGGUCCCUCGCGCCGUCGCCAUCGCUCGCUCGGCUUCGGCUUCGGAAAAUGACAGAUCGACAGAGUGAUUUAAAACAUAUUUCCUAUUUUAUUUGAAUGUCCCACCGUUGGAGAUGACUGUUCUGAAAGGUUGCAACUUUCAGGAAUAACCAUGACCGUUUGAAAGGUCGUAAUCUUUCAUGAAUGGUCGUGUGGUUUCUGAAAGGUUGCAACCAUUCGGAACCAGUGCUUCUUGGCUAUAAAUACCUGUUAAUCCUCAUAUUUUUCACUUUAGAAAUUUCUGACUUCUUCUUUUGCACAAACUUUUAUUCGUGUACUUAACUGUCGUUGAGUGGCUCGCUGACACCAUUGUUUUGGGUAUCAAUAUGGUGGUGAAUAAAAUUGUUCUGUCCUGGGAGGAUAUAUUCCAAUUCAAACCUCAAAUACUAGAGGGGAAUAACUUCCAUAAGGGGACAUUGAGCAUUCAAACGACUAAUUAGUAUUUUUCUUCUUUUUUUUAUGUUUCUACAACUUAUAUAAACUUUGUCUUAAUUAAACUUUCUUCUGCUUGUCUCUGCCCAACCUAUGUGCUACCAUAAUCUGGUAUUCCAUUAGUGAUGACCUACCAAAGGAAUUUGUACCAAAACCCUAAAUUUUCAUCACAUUAACUUUUCUGGUAGGCGUCAUUGUCAAAGCCAGCGAUAGAUGGCCUACGUUCCAUGCUGGUGAACCACCACCAAAACCACCAUUAAACUAUGCAACGACUUUUAAUAAAGUAGAAGACAAAAUCGCACUGCCUAUCCCUAUCAAAGAUAUUACUUACAUCCAUGGAAACCCAACUAUAUUAUGGGAGGAAGAAGAGGUUCAGAUCAUGAUCAUUAAAGAAGGUUUACAGUAUGUCAUAACUGAAAUUUUUUCUUACGGCUGGUCAAUCCUAGAAAAGAUUCGUAAAUUGGUCCUUUACGGUGUGAGAUUCAAGCAUGAAUGUAAGGAAGGAUUCUUCAGUGAUAGACACAUACUAAUUUGUCUUACCAAUAUGAAAGAUUACGUACAUGUCAUGUCAAAACCGACAUAUUUUUUGAAGGCUAAAGACCAAUAUAAUAUCAGAUGUGACCUCUAAAGUGGGAACCCUAGUUCAACCCAGAGGCGGAAACUACUACUGCCUUAGCAUGGAUCUCCUUUUUAUCCCUAUCACCUAACUUUUCGUUAAAGAAUCCUUGUUUACGAUGGCUAAAGCAGUGGGAAAACCGUUACAUGUUGUCAUGUCUACAAUAAGUAAAUCUAGACCUAGUUUUAUCAAGUUAAAGGUUGAAGUUGACUUAUUGAAAGAAUUUCUCAAACGGAUCAAUGUUGGAGUUAAGAAGACAUAUUCUGGGGAAAUCAUCUCAACAUGGAUAAAAUUCUUAUACGGUUACAUGCCAAAGUAUUACAAAUAUUGCGAACUUCAAGGCAGAGGUAUGAUUUUCGUCGAGGGGGCUCAAAAAGAUAAGUAAGCACACUAAUAGUAUUCACAAAUAAGUGGAUCGGGGCGGGUCAAAUAAAAAAAUGUCAGAUUCGACAUAAACAACUAAAUAAAAUUCAACUUUCAACACAAACAAUAAAAUCGAGGAAGUAUGUGUUUGACAUAAUAUUAAAAUGAGUACGAGAGAAUGUAUUUUUUAAAAUUUUAAUUAUGGUCUUGUCUCCACCAUUUUUCUAUAUAUGUGUUAUUAGUAUAUAUAUCUGUGUAAUGCGUAUAUAAUAUUAAAAAAAAUUAUAAUAUUUUUAUUGUGAUAUCUUGUUCGAGCAUAUUAAAUCAUACAAAAGUUCAACUAUCAUGCAAAUGGACAAUUCUAUGUAAUCAUAAAUUUUAUAUAUCAUAUUUUAUUAUUACAAUUAUAUUGUUCACUAUUUAAAAUCAUUAUAUUGUUAGUGUUAUGUCACGACCCAGACAGUCGUGAUUGGCACCCACACUAACUCUCCAGUGGGAGAACCACUACUACAACCCAAAUCAAGCAACUAAACCAAAACUAAAGCAUUUAAGUUAUGGAAGCAAGUUAAAUACUAAGGAAAGAAAUAGGGAGUUCCCAUAAGCUCUAACAAAGGUCUAACAACGAACUAAACAAUGUGGAAGAAAUAACCUAGAACCUGAAAGUCAAUGUACCAAAACAUCUAAUAACGAACCAAAAGUCUAAACAAGAAGGGAUACUACCCCAAACUAAUGAACUAAUAACUAACUAGAAAAGUUUAAGUCCGAAAUGAUGGAUAUAGACGAAAGAGAGCCCAUGGAAGCCAGGAAGAAUUGGCUAACCCUUGAAUUCGAACGAUCACUGAUCUUCUAAGCGAGGUCUAUGAAUAGUUGCUUGAAGAUGCCAUGUACUCAACAAAGAAAGAGCAAAAGCAGUAUCAGUACACAACCAUAGUGUACUGGUAGGAUCACGCAGCUAUCCCACUAAGUGCAACAUAUAUAAGUCAUUACAACAAUAUAAUCACAUGCAUAUAUCGUACAUAUACAAUAUUAUCAACAUUUAUGAACAACGAACAACGUCACAUUUCUCAAGAUACACAAUUAUGACAAGUCAUUGGUCCUCUCAUGGAACCCAAACCCAAACAGUUAGCAUACCAAAACGUGAUACCCGAUCCGGUGUUUAUGCCGGGACGUGGCAACAGAUCCCAUAAUUAUGCCAGAACGUGGCAACCGAUCCCAAUUAGUUAUGCCAGAACGUGGCAACCGAUCCAUUCAACACACCACAAUCACAAUCACAAGUAUCUUCUCAAGUUCAUACAAUUUACUCAUGAUUCAUGGCAUUCAUCAUUCCUCUAUCUCAUUUACAAUAAGUGUGAUCAAUAAUGCAACAUUCACAUACAUACAAGUAUCAUAAUGAAGCAAGAACAAACAUACAUCACACAAUCAUAGAAUCACAACCAUCACCUACCUCGAAACAAGCUUGAAACCCUAUGAAACUUGAUCCUUCCCUUUCCGAAUUUGUUUCUCUUGUUCUUGGUCUACAAACAAUCAUAAUAAUACGGUAAUCAAUAAGCAAUCACUAAUUACCCGGAUUACUAACAAUUCUAACAACCCUAGAUCAUACCCAUGAUCCAAAGUACCCAAUUUAGGGAUGUUUCCAUCAUGGAAUCUAGAUCAAAACCCUCCCCAAUCGAUAAUUACCUAUUUUAUCAUGUUCUACAGAUCGAAAAACGGAUUCGGGGAGUGAAAAGCGUACCUUUAGCCUCAAGAAUGGUGGAAAACUGUCAAGAGUCGCUUGGAGUUCGUUCCUUAGCUCUGAAAAUCGAAAAGUGCAGAAUAAAGUUGUUUAGGGGUUUAUUUACGACUUUAAUUCGCUUCUGGCCCGCCACAACGACCCUCACCCCGCUACAGCGGCCCCGCCAGAGCAACAAAACCCAGCGGCUUGUACGAAACAGUGAGCUAUUUUAAUAAUUCGAAGACCCCCAUUUCACAACACACCUCUAACCAACGACACUCGGAAAAUCCCCUUCACGCUAAGAUCGAUUUCGGGAGUUCUACUCGCCCGAAUUCAAUUCCGUAAAGUCGUACGGAUUCCUUAACGAGUUAUCUAUCCCCUCAUGUAAUUAGAAUUAUAAAUAAAUCACCCGAUUGAUACCUGAUUUCGCUACACCUUAAUGACUCGGAUUUCGUCAAAAUCUAGACUAGGUUGGGAAAAUCCAAAUACUACGAAAAAGUUUUCCGGUCACAAAUUUUCCCCUGUUGGCUUUUCUAUAACGACGGAACCCAAUUGUUACAUAUUGAUUUUUAUUAGCUUUUCAAUUAGCUUAAUAUAAUCAUUAAAUAAUUUUCUAAUUAAUAUAAAUCAUAUAUAUUUAUUGUGUUUACUCGUGAUUUUUUCUUUUUUAGUGUUAACAUCUCUCUAAUUUAAAGUUUUAUGGACAAUAAUAUGUAUAUUAUUUAGCUAUUCUAUUGUAUUCUCAAAAUUAUUCAAAAUAUUUUCCCCACCCCUCUUCCCCCUUCUCUUUUUACUGUAUUUUUAUUACUUUUAAUUUGAAUGAAUAUUUUAUGUUAUACAUCAUAAGCAGUUGAGUGCUUUUUUUUAUUUCAAUAUAUAGAAUACUAAGCUUAAAUUUGUUACUUAAAUUCUAUAUUUUAAUGUGUUAUUAUUUAUUGAGAUUUUAGUUAUAUGAUAUAUAGAUUUUAAGUCUUUUCUCGUUAUAAUUGAAAAAAUAUUUUCUCAUCUAAAAGCCCUUCAACUUUUUUUACAUUAUAAUUUAUAAUUUGUUUCCUAGUUUUGUCCUAACUUAAUAGUUAUUGUAUUAUUCAUAAAUUAGUAUCUUUACAUUAAUAUGUAAAUUUUUAAUAGCUUGUCACUUUAUCUAAUAUUCUUAUGGUGCGUAAGAUAUCAAUAAGGAUAUCAGUUAGUUAUAUCUAUUUACAUUUUAUAAUGGAUAAAUUUUGUAAAACAUGAAAUUAAAAUUGAUAAAAUUCACUAAUAAAGUUAGUGAUCAAUAACUUAAAAAAAGAGAAAGAAAAAAGGGAAGUAUUCUUAACAUUAUAAAUCAUUGUAGAAGUUUAUGGAAGAGAGGCUAAUUAAAUUGACUAAAGGGUCACUUGGUGUAAUUAUACCAAAGAAUUAUUUGAAGAAGAAAAAACAGAUAUUACUAAAAUGACAACAUUCCUAAUUUCACAAGUUAAAAAUAUACCUCUUCACUCUCAGCAAGACAAAAACACUAAUUAUUUAUAUAGAACUUAAUUCAUAUAUAUAUAAAAUAUUAUCCAUUUUCCAUUGAAAAAUUGGAGGGGCCGUUUUUAAUCCGGAAGGCAUUACUAGUCAUUCGAAUUACUUCUUCUAGAUCCUAGUUUCUAGUUUAUCUAGAAUUACAAUUACUUCUUCUAGAUCCUUUUGAUUUUUUAUUACUCCUAUUUGUUGUAAACCCAUUUUAAAGUUGUAAAGCUUUGUAUUUAUUUCUAUUAAGGUGUAAUUUUUCUCUACAUCGUCUGUAUCUGAAACGCUAAGUUCUAAUAGUUCAAUUUCUUCUUUUUCAUCUGUAAUAUGUAUCUUGGUACAAGUGCACUCUUCUCCUUUGUCGCAUUUUUUUGGAGAAUCUGGGCUAAGUUCAUUAUUGUCUGUAAGAUAUCUAGCUUUUGUUGGAAUAGAUUCGGUUGUUAUUGUGGUUUUAGUAGUGUUUUUCUAGAAUAUUAUCCCAUCUCUAGUAAGGAGACAACUUCCAUUAUUAUGUAGUAAGAAAUCUAAUCCUAAAACAAAGUCUACCCUAAUAUUUAGAUCUCUUACCCAGAUUUUUUCUAACUUAUAGGUAGGUUUAUAGAAGUCUACACAAGUGUUUAAAAAACUUAUUUUUGCAUCACUAACGUAAUGCUCAUAUAUAUUAGAGGAUCCGUCCAUUUGCAUGGCACUUUGUGGCUCUGGGAAAUCUUUUAUUACUUCUGGAAGCAGGAUGCAUCUAUUUAAUAUACUCUACGUACAUACUAAAUCUACUAGAGUGAGGGUCUCUAUUUCAUAGUCUUGAAUUUUUAUUCUAGUCAAAAAAUUUAUGGUAUUAAUUUUUUUUGUUUUCGUUACAAAUUAAUCCUUCAAAUGACGUGGCUUCUUCCUUUUUGUUUAAGAGUUCUAUUUCUAGUUCGGGCGGUUUAUUGUUGAUUUGGCUAGUUUCCUCUAUUUUUACGUCUUUCCCAUUUUCUAGUUUACCCAUUCUUUCCUCUACAUUAUCAAUCCUAUCUUCUACUGCUUUUCGCAAUUUUUCUUUUGUGAUAACUUGUUCGUCUUUGACGUUAAUGUUGAACACCUUAUGAAUGCACCAGAUGGAUCCUUGUAAGUAGAAGUUCAUGCAUUUUGCUCUUCUAUUUUUACUUGGAUAUCCUGUGCAAUUAAAACAUCGCUGUCUAUCUAAACCUUUUCCCUUGGAAAAUUCGUGGUCACAUUGUAUACUGACAAAGGUGUGGUUAUUUAAGUCUAGCUUCUCUAAUCCUAUUUCGUUUAUUAAUGUUUUUCCUUCUGAGUUCGAUGAGUCUUGUCUUUCUCCUUCUAUGGCAUUUAUGUUUAUUACUGAAUAUAUACUUUUGUUAUCUAACAUAUAUUCGUCUACAUUUAUCAGGGUUUCUUGGAAAUCUUCUAAUCGCUGGGCAUUUCUUGUCCUACUGUUGUUUCUUCCUGGACAAGUAUUGGCUAGAUGUUCUUCACUUCCGCAUGUGAAACAAGCUAGUCUAUUUUUAUAAAUCCUGUUAUUAAUCUGUUUUCUUACAUGACUGUCUUUAUUUAGAUAAGGUUUUCUUGCAGUUGAUUUUCUUAACUAGUACUUUCUCUUAGGUUUGUAUUCCUGUCUACUUUGAUAUGGCUUUUUAUACUUUCUUUGUGGUUUACUUUGAUCGUAAUUUUACGUUGUAUAUAUAUUUUUACAGAAAUCAGUCUUGCUUUGUUUCAACCUUUUCUUUAUUUGUAUGUUUGUACAUUUUUCUUGUAUUAUCUCCAUUACAUGUUGUACUUUAUGUCCUAUUGACCAAUUCGCUGUUGGAUUUUUCAUCACUCCUUCUCUUUUAUUCCAUCUUUCUUCUAUUUCUCUUCCUAGGACUCUAGGGAGCUUAUUGAAAAGUUUCUUUCCUAAACUUUGGUCAAACGUGUUACCGCUUAUGGUGCAAUAAUAGAAAAAGUCUUUUAUGAAGUUCUUUAUAUGACACCAAUUAUUUAUGCUAAGUUGUUCUAGUUUUAUUAACGCAUUAUUUUGUAAUACUACUAAUCCACUAUUUGGGUCUUCUCCUGUUACUAGGUUGUGUAUUUUAUUAGUAAAGUUGUACGGGUUUGCUCCCAUGUAUACCAAUUUUUGGAACUCUUGAGGGUAAGCUACUUUGUAUGCUUCCCAUACUCCUUUAAUUGAUUCUCCUAAAAAGGUCUCCAUAUACCUAUACAUGGUCUAUGCAUCUGUUUCACUGUAAUGAUGUAUGUAGUCUGCUACCACUAUACCUUUCCAUACAACUAUUAUUGAAUUCCAUAAUUGGGGGUCAAGUGCUGCUAUGUUUAGUAUUUUUCCUCUAUCUCCCCCUUCUUGAAGUUUGACAGGACCUUCUUUUGACAUUCUUAUUCCUAUUGGUCUAACCAUUUCUGGUUCUGUAGCUGGGUCUUGCCUAAAAACUUUGUGCCUUGGUAAGUUACCUAUGGUAUAUUCUACCAGUGGUACGGGUGUGGUUUUUUUGGCAAGUAAAAAUCAAUAAAAAGGUCGUUUAUAUUAAAUAAAGGAAUUAAAUAAAGGUGGUGAGACUGAAAAUGAUGAGUUUGUGAAUUAUGUGUGCUUGUGAAUUAUGUUGUAUAAUCCUACUUAGUACUCCCUCUUCCGGUUCCCUUAUCUAGUUUAGUAGUUUGUUGUUUCUAAAUCUAUGUAAUUUCUCCCAAAAAUUUUAAAUUACUUUUCUUUUUACUCUGUUCAUCUCUUUUCUUUAGCCUAUGUUCUUAGUAACUUCUUCUUUAACCAAACCAUGGGAUACACAGUCCUUCGGUUCUCUGACCAUGGCGGACUUUCAACUUCCCUAGAUAUUUGCAGGUUAAUCCAUCGUUGUUACUAAGAGGGUAGAGAACUUACAAUUUACUAAGAGUAAGUAAUAACCCAUUAUAUGGGUAUAAAUAGUUCAUGUAUGAACAUUAUAUUAUAUAACAAGUGUACUAUAGUACAUAAUAUCAAUAUACAUAAACUGGGAGAAACUACUAAGAUCUAGAAAACACAUAACUACUUACAUUGAUAGUGGUCGGAGAGAGGUUUCCCUUUCGGGAGUCCCCGAGUGACUUUGCAGCUACUUAAAAAACUAAACACUCACUCUUUUUACAAACUCACUUCACUCUUUUUUUUUUUAAGGGAACGGAAAUAUGUAAAGCUAACUCUUAAAACUAAUUCUUCUUCUUUGCUAUGCUCCGCUUGCUCUUGCUCUCUACUUUCCUCUUGCAAAUAGUUUAGUAUUUAUUGGCGAGGAUGGCUUUUUCCAAAUUUGAAAUUCGGAUUUCAAAAUGUUGAAUAGUCUUUCUUUUACCUGUCAGGGGCUCUUUGGGCCCCAUCGUCACAUGGCUUUGAAAAAUGUUUCAAAAUUUUUGUCCUCUUUCUUGUCAGCUUUAGACUAAUGGUGUCGCUUUCUUGUCAGCUUUAGAUUACUAGUGUAUUACAUCAUGGCUUACCUAUUUUUCUUUGUCUUUUCUCUUGAUUCGUCAUUGCUUACGUAUUUUCUACAUGUCCAAGUUGUGUAACAUUAUAGAGUCGAAACUUAUCCCUGAGUCGUCGUCUUCGUUUAGGUCUUGGGAAAACUGUUCCAGGGAUGGAUUGUAUUCACUUCCGUAAUCGUUACAUCCUGAAUAUUCUGUGUCUUGAGUUUCUGGUUCGGGUUUUGGAUUUUCACUUCUGACUUCUUUGGUCUUUUCACUAAGUAACUUCUGGAUGGAAUUUUGUAUCAUUUGUUCAAUUCUUUUGUUUUUCUUUCUUCUUAACAAGAAUCCUUUAGUCUUUUUUCCUUGUUCUGUAGUUCUUGUUAUAUUAAAACUACUUGGUAAUAUUCUUACACUUUUUGGCAAAGUGUCAGCCAUCAACGGAUUUGAUAAGUCUUUACUCGCUACCGUUUGAAUGGGACGAACUCUACCUUUAGCUGGUACAAUAACUUCUUCUACAUUCUUUGGGGAAUGUACACCCUUCUUAUCCAUUUUAGACUAAGAUGGAGAACUCAUUUGUUCUUUUGGAUGAUCCUCUGUUUGUAAUGGUUGGGUCUGAUUGAUUUCGAAAUGUAAAAUUUUGAUUCUUUCUUGUAAAAGGUAGAUGUGUUGCGUCAUUUUUUCUAUUUCGUUUUCGAGCCUCUCAAUGGUCUAGUUUUGUCUUUUGAAGCCGUCUGUCAUUGUAGAGCAAUGGUCGCAAAAUAUUAUUUUGUCUGUGUCUUUCUGGAUAUUAUAUUGUGGGAAAGGAUUUGUGAUUUGUCUUAAGGCUGGAAUUAGAAAAUAAUUUGGUCCAAGAGUCCCCCUUGCGUAAUCCAGAGCUUCGUUUAGGUCAUUGAAUCCUUUAAAGAGGGGAGUGGGGAAGUCUUUUAUUGAGUAUAUUACUUCCGUCCAUGUUUGAAAAAUUCCGGCCAGUCUUCCUUGGACAAGCACAUAUAACUUGAUUUUUUUGUCUUCAUUUUUUUCUGUAAAAUAAUGGCUUAGCGAAUUCAUCAGAGAAAUGAAGUAACUAUUGUCUCGUGGCACUUUGUUAUAUGCUAUCCAUAAAUUGUCUAUCAGACAUCUCUGUGGUCUAUCUAUCUUUGAUUCUGGUUUUAUUCUGAAACUUAAGUUGGAUGGGGGGUAAAAUAUUAAUUUUUGUCUUCCGAAAUGCAGUCUCUCAAUGCUUGGGGUGUUCAAUCUUGCUUUAUUUAAUUUCGUUCGGGGUUUGAAUAAGGUAUUCUUUAGUAAAGUCUGGAGAUAUAAGUCUUUGUCUAUUCCGUCUGUAGUGUUGCUUGAGCUGGAGGCCCUGGCUUUGUCUUUCCCUGUAGUGCUCAUGCUGAAAAUAAACAGUUAGUCUUCAUGAGUCUGCUAAGCUGAUAUGCUAACGAUUAUCUUUCCCUUUGAUAUGUUCCAGGGAUAUAUUAUAUAUUUACGUGGCAUCUAAAACAUUUAACCAUCUUCUUUUACUACUACUUUUUCCAUCUAUCUUUUGAUUAAAUUUUACAAUAGCUUCGCAAUCAGUUCUUACUAAAAUUUCCUUUUUAUUAAUAAUAUAUAGUUUAAAACUAUUUAGGCCAUAGAUUACCGCUAAUAUUUAUGCGUCUAUACUACUCAUGUUUCCCUUUUCUUUAUAUUUUCCGCUUUGGUAGGCGCAAAUUCUUUCAUUUUUUUUGUCUUCGUACUUAUUUUUUCUUGUUUUAAGUAAUGCUCCCCACCUUUCUGGGCUUUCGUCCGUUCCGACUAUUGGGUAGUCAAUUUCUAAUGGGAGUGAUAAGUCUGGUAUGGUUCUAACCAUAUGUUUUGAGUUUUUGCACUAACUUUAUAUCUUCCAUGUUGAAUGUCUUUUAUCCAUUAGUUCCUGUUUUUGAAUAUAGGGGUCUUGUUAUUUUUCUUAGGUCUUUUAUAAAAUUCCUUGCAUAAUUUAAAAUCCCUAGAAUUUUUUGUAAAUCUUUAGUCUUGUCUAAUUUGUCUGGCAUGUCUAGGACUUUCUUUGCUACGUGAGGUUGUAAUUUAAUUUUUCUGUCUCCAAUUUCUACUCCUAGAAAAUUUAUGAGGUUUUUACGUAGAUCCAUUUUUUUCUGCUAAUUAUGAUACCGUUGUCUACAAAUAGCUUAAAGGUUCUUUGUAAGUGACCUAGAUGUUCUUUAGUAUUGUUAUUAAAUACUAAAAUAUCGUCUACGUAUACAAGAAUAAAGUUUUUAUAAUCUCUGAAAAUACUAUCCAUUUUCCUUUGAAAAAUUGGAGGGGUUGUUUUUAGUCCAAAAGGCAUUAGUAGUCAUUCGAAAUGUCCUUCUGGACAUGUAAAAGCAGUCCAUUCUAUACUAUCCUCAUGCAUUUUUACUUGCCAGUAUCCGGACUUACAAUCGAACUUACUAAAAAUCUUUCUUCCUUGUAUUCUAUUUAUUUGCUCUGUUUUAUCUAAUAGCUUAUAUCCGUCCAUUCGGGUGUUAUCAUUGAGUCUUUUGUAAUUUAUAACUAUUCUUCCUUUUCCCCUUACUAUUUCUCUAUGAUUUCUUACCAUGAACGCUACUGAUCUAUGCUUUGAUGUUGAUCUUCUGAUUACUCCUAACUUUAGUAACUCUUUUAUUUGAUCUUUGAAUUCCUUUAGAUCUUCAUUUGUUGAUUCUAUAGAGGUUGUUAUUACUGUGUAUUCUAGGUUAAUUAUAUCUAGUCUGUAGGUUAUGUGAUUGGCGUCCCAAUGUUUCAAGGGUCUUUCUCCAAUUAUUUCUAGUUUAUCUAGAAUUAGAAUUACUUCUUCUAGAUCCUUUUGAUAUUUUACUACUCGUAUGUGUUGUAAUCCCUUUUUAAAGUUGUAAAGCUCUGUAUUUAUUUCUAUUAAAGUGUAAUCCUUCUCUACAUCGUCUGUAUCUGAAAUGCUAAGUUCUAAUAGUUCAAUUUCUUCUUUUUCAUAUGUAAUAUGUUUCUUGGUACAUAUGCACUCCUCUCCUUUGUCGCAUUUUUUUUGAGUAUUUGGGCUAAGGUCACUAGUGUCUGUAAGAUAUCUAGAUUUUGUUGGAAUAGAUUCAGUUGUUAUUGUGGUUUGAGUAGUAUUUUUUGAGAAUAUUAUUCCAUCUCUAGUAAGGAGACAACUUCCAUUAUUAUGUAGUAAGAAAUCUAAUCCUAAAACAAAGUCUACCCUAAUAUUUAGAUCUCUUAUUCAGAUCUUUUCCAACUUAUAGGUAGGUUUAUGGAAGUCUGCACAAGUGUUUAAAAAACAUAUUUUUGCAUCACUAACGUAAUUCUCAUAUAUAUUAGAGGAUCCGUCCAUUUGCAUGGCGUUUUGUGGCUUUGGGAAAUCUUUUAUUACUUCUGGGUGCAAGAUACAUCUAUUUAUUAUACUCUUCGUACAUCCUGAAUCUACUAGAGUGAGGGUUUCUAUCUCAUAGUCUUGAAUUUUUAUUCUAGUCAAGAUUUUUAUGGUAUUAAUUUUUUUGUCUUCGUUACAAAUUAAUACUUCAAAUGAUGUGGCUUCUUCCUUUUUGUUUAAGAGUUCUAUUUCUAGUUCGGGCGGUUUACUGUUGAUUUGGCUAGUUUCCUUUAUUUCUACGCAUUUCCCUUUUUCUAGUUUACCCAUUCUUUCUUCAAAAUUAUCUAUCCAAUCUUCUAAUUCUUUUAGCGAUUUUUCUUUUGUGAUAACUUGUUCGUCUUUGACUUUAAUGUUGAACACCUUAUCAAUGCACCAGAUGCAUCCUUGUAAGUAGCAAUUCAUGCACUUUGCUCUUCUAUCUUUACUUGGAUAUCCUGUGCAAUUAAAACAUCGUUGUCUGUCUAAACCUUUUCCCUUGGAAAAUUCGUGGUCACAUUGUAUAUUGACAAAGUGGUUAUUUAGGUUAUUUAAAUCUAUCUUCUCUAAUCCUAUUUCGUUUAUUAAUGUUUCUCCUUCUUAGUCCGAUUAGUCUUGACUUACUCCUUCUAUGGCAUUUAAGCCUAUUACUGAAUAUAUACUUUCGUUAUCUGACAUAUAUUCGUCUACAUUUAUCAGGGUUUCUUGGAAAUCUUCUAUAAGCUGGGCAUUUCUUGUCCUAUUAUUGUUUCUUCCUGGACAAGUAUUAGCCAGAUGUUCUUCAUUUCCCCAUGUGAAACAAGCUAAUCUAUUUUUAUAAAUCCUAUUAUUAUUAUGUUUUCUUACAUGUUUGUCUUUAUUUAGAUAGGGUUUUCUUGCAGUUGAUUUUCUUAAAUAGUACUUUCUCCUAGUUUUGCACUCAUGUCUACUUUGAUAUGUCUUUUUAUACUUUCUUUAUGGUUUACUUUGAUCGUAAUUUUGCGCUGUAUAUAUAUUUUUACAGAAAUCAGUCUCUCUUCGUUACAACUAUUUUUGUAUUUGGAUGUUUGUACAUUUUUCUUGUAGUAUCUCCAUUACAUGUUGUACUUUAUGUCCUAUGGACCAAUUCGCUGUUGGAUUUUGCAUCACUCCUUCUCUUUUAUCCCAUCUUUCUUUUAUUUCUCUUCCUAGGGCUCCAGGGAGCUUAUUGACAAGUUUCUUUCCUAAACUUUGAUCAAACAUGUUAACGCUUAAGGCGCAUUAGUAGAAGAAGUCUUUUAGGAAGUUCUUUAUAAGGCACCAAUUAUUUAUGCUAAGUUGUUCUAGUUUUAUUAACGCAUUCUUUUGUAAUAAUACUAAUCCACUAUUUGGGUCUUCUCCUGUUAUUAGGCUGUGUAGUUUAUUAGUAAAGUUGUAUGGGUUUGGUCCCAUGCUUACCAAUUCUUCGAACUUUUGAGGGUAAACUACUUUGUAUGCUUCCCAUACUCCUUUAAUUGAUUCUCCUAAAAAGGUCUCCAUAUACCUAUGCAUGGUUUCUGCAUCUGUUUCACUGUAAUGAUGUAUGUAGUCUGCUACCACUAUACCUUUCCAUACGUCUACUGAAUUCCAUAAUUGGGGGUCAUGUGCUGCUAUAUUUAGUAUGUUUCUUCUAUCUCCCCCUUCUUGAAGUUUGAUAGGAGCUUCUAUUGGCAUUCUUAUUCCUUUUGGUCUAACCAUUUCUGGUUCAGUAGCUAGGUCUUGUCUAAAGACUUUGUGCCUAAAUUCUUUUGGAAGGGACUUGAACUAGUCGAGGCGGUUUCCCUAAAUUCUUUUAAACUACGUGCUGUCUCGUCAUCACUUUCUUAUUGUGUAUCUUCCUCCUGUCUAUACUCGUAAUUGUCUGUUCUAGAUCUGUAUUCUUUAAAGUGUCUUUCUACACUUGAGAAGUUUAUUCCUCUUAGUUUGCAGCCUUUACAUCUGAAGAUUGCUUUUGUAUCUGAUUCGUGUAUUUCUUUAGCUUUCUUUAUUGAUUUAUCUACUUCGUAGUCGUCUUCUUUUACGAUCUGAAUAUUCAUUCCUUCCAUGUUUAUUAUUGUUUCGGUGGUGUUGUCUUCGAGGUAUUCAUCUAUUUCUUUUUGGUCUGAAUAUUUAUAGUCGGUAAAUCUGAUUGAGGUUUGUCCUUUGUUAUUAGUAUAUGUAAGGUGGUCAUUGGGUCUUAAAACUUCUUUUUUACAUAAUUUCCCUAAAUUCCAUUCUCUACCAGCAUAUUAUUCCGAGUUUAUUUUUAACGGUUUCAUUAGUUUUAUUCCCUUAUUUCACAUUAAACCUACCACAUCGUCUAUUUUGAUUUUAAACUUGGAGCUGCUGCUAGUGGCUAAUUUUCCUAUGAAGCCUAUGCUUACUAGCAAAUUAUUUUCACAGUUCAUUUCUUCGUAACCUUUAGUUUGAAUCCCUAUUUUUAUGUACUUACCAAAUUCGGUUGAAUUUAUCAUAAAGUCUAGGCUACAGUAAAAUAUUCCUCCGUUGUUGGUCAUAUCUACUUCUGUUAGACCUAUUUUAGAUCUUUUUUAUUCUGCCCAUCUAUCAUCAUAUAAAGUAAUUAGCACUUUUGUUCCUAGAUUUUUUCUAGUUAAUCCUUUAAGUCCAAUUACAAUUAAUCCCAUAUGCAUGAGAUUCAUCCUUCUUUUUUGUAUUUCUUUCAUAGAUUAUUUGCUAAUUAAACUUUUACUUUCACUAUUGUCUCCUGAUAUGCACAUCUGUUUUUCUCUAUUGUGUCUGUAUAAUUGUGCUUUUGAAGAGAAUAGUCCUGUAUUAUAAAGUACUUGUGGGUUUAGAAGUUUUAAUCUAUUUUUCUGAAAAAUUUCUAUACCUUUGUCUAUAUUAUUUCAUCUAAUUGUUGACUGCUACUAGGUCUGGACGAGUUCAUUAUCCUGGCUAACACAUUAUUUCCUAAUCUAUCUUGAAAGAAACUGGCCCUUUGUCAUUCUUGGGGAGCUCUACUCCUGUUUGAAAAAAGGUCCAUGCCUUGUCCUUUUUUGUCACUUUAGGUCUAUCCUUUAGGGGCGUCAUUUCUGUUUUCUUUAGUUGUUCUAUCAGGUCUUGUAUAUUUUUAUCUAUUUUGUUUUUUCUUCAAGGAUUUUAUUUUCUAAUAAAAUAUCUAAUUUUUUAUUAAUUUCUGUGAUCUUAUCUUCUAGUUUUCUGUUUAAUUCUAAUAGCGCGAAAAUUAUUAUAUUAUUCUGUUUCACUUCUAUUAGGUCUGUUUUUCCUGGUGGUGUAUAUUCUGAUAAACAUUCGGGAUUGACUUGAAAUUGUGCUGCCCUUUUUAAAACUUCUUGGUAAAAAGGAUCGUUCAUGAAAGGGUUAAGUCUUUAAGUUAGUUUAAUUUUUCUUUUAUUUUUAUAGAUUUUGGUGGAGAUGUUUUAGUCUUUUAUUUAUAUCUUCUAUUGUACUAUUGUUAUUUCUGUUAUUAUUAUUUGCUAUAAUCCCUUGUAAUUUUAUAUUUAUAUCUAAUUGUUCCGUUUUUAAGAAAUCAAAAUUAAUUUCUUUUUUUUCUAAUAAUUUUUUAUGUUGAUUUUGCAGUCUUUCUAAAGUUUCUGUUGACUUUAGUAUUCUAUCGUCUUCUAACUGAGUGUGUUCUGCUAGAUUUAUUAUAAGGUCUGUAAUAGUGUUUAAGUGAUGAUUAUCGUUAUGUAAGAUGUGGUCUCCUUCUGUAAAGUUAUACCUGAUUACUGAACCAUGCUUUAGCGUUCUAUAUUUCUUUUCAGAAAUUAUUUCUAAGUCUAAAUAUUCUAAAUUCUUAGUACUUCCUAUUGUAGUAUUUUUAAGCAAGAUACCAAGUUUUUUAUUUCUAUCGUAUUGUUCUUGUCGGAUUUGUUGGAGGUAAUGGUCAAUUCUAGACCCUAUUCUUGGUAAUUGUAAAUCUAUUUGUCUAAUUUUUUGGUUUAUUGAAUUUAUUUUUACAAAUGAUAUUAAGCUGGGAUAUAACUGUUGUUGUUCUAAAUAUAGUUGUCUUUGUUCUAUUAGAAAGUCAUAUAUACUUGAAUAAUUUUCUUUUAUUUUUUAAAGAUACCAGUGAUAUUCUUGGUCAAUUAUUAUCUAUCUUUCGUAAGGUCGAGGCUUUCUUUUGGCUAUUCUGGUUGGCAUAUAUUUAAAAUAUUAGAUGUUUUUAUCAAAUGUUCUACUGGUCUCAUACAAGAUUGUAACAUAAGCUUUGAUACCAAUAAAAAGGUCGUUUAAAUUAAAUAAAGGAAUAAUAACACAAAUAACAAUAGUACAAUAGAAGAGAUAAAUAAAAAAACUAGAACAUCUUCACAAAGCAUCUAAAGAAAUAAAAUAAAAAUUAAACUAACUUAGAGACUUAACCCUUUCAUGAACGAUCCUUUUUACCAAGAAGUUUUUAAAAUGGCAGCACAAUUUCAAGUCAAUCCCGAAGGUUUAUCAGAAUAUACACCACCAGAAAAAACAGACCUACAUCGUCGUUACUAAGAGGGUAGGGAACUAACCAUUUACUAAGAGUAAGUAAAGACUCAGUAUAUGGGUAUAAACAGUUCAUGUAUAAACUGUACAUUUUUCUUGUAGUAUCUCCAUUACAUGUUGUACUUUAUGUCCUAUGGACCAAUUCGUUGUUGGAUUUUGCAUCACUCCUUCUCUUUUAUUUCAUCUUUCUUCUAUUUCUCUUCCUAGGGCUCCAGGGAGCUUAUUGAAAAGUUUCUUUCCUAAACUUUGGUCAAACACGUUACCCCUUAUGGCGCAAUAAUAGAAGAAGUCUUUUAGGAAGUUCUUUAUAUGACAUUAAUUAUUUAUGCAAAGUCGUUCUAGUUUUAUUAAUGCAUUCUUUUGUAAUACUACAAAUCCAUUAUUUAGGUCUUCUCCUGUUACUAGGUUGUGUAUUUUAUUAGUAAAGUGGUACGGGUUUGGUCCCAUGUUUACCAAUUCUUGGAACUCUUGAGGGUAAGCUACUUUGUAUGCUUCCCAUACUCCUUUAAUUGAUUCUCCUAAAAAGAUCUCCAUAUACCUAUACAUGGCCUCUGCAUCUGUUUCACUGUAAUGAAGUAUGUAGUCUGGUACCACUAUACAUUUCCAUACGUCUAUUACUGAAUUCCAUAAUUUGGGGUCAUGUGCUGCUAUGUUUAGUACUUUUCCUCUAUCUCCCCCUUCUUGAAGUCUGAUCGGAGCUUCUAUUGGCAUUCUUAUUCCUAUUGGUCUAACUAUUUCUGGUUCUAUAGUUGGGUCUUCUCUAAAGACUCUGUGCCUUGGUAAGUUACCUAUGGUAUAUUCUACCGGUGGUACGGGUGUUGUUUUUUUGGCAAGUAAAAAUCAAUAAAAAGGUCAUUUAAAUUAAAUAAAGGUGGUGAGAUUGAAAAUGAUGCGUUUGUGAAUUAAGUUGUAAAAUCCUACUCGGUACUCCCUCCUCCGGUUCCCUUAUCUAGUUUAGUAGUUUGUUGUUUCUAAAUUUAUAUAAUUUCUCCCAAAAAUUUUAAAUUACUUUUUUUUACUCUAUUCAUCUCUUUUCUUUAGCCUAUGUUCUUAGUAACUUCUUCUUUAACCAAACCCUGGGAUACAUAGUCCUUCAGUUCUCUUACCAUGGCGGACUUUCAACUUCGCUAGAUAUUUGCAAGUUAAUCCAUCGUUGUUACUAAGAGAGUGGAGAACUAAACAUUUACUAAGAGUAAGUAAUGACCCAUUAUAUGGGUAUAAACAGUUCAUGUAUGAACAUUAUAUUAUAUAACAACAGUACUAUAGUACAUAAUAUCAAUAUAUAAACUGGGAGAAACUACUAAGAUCUAGAAAACACAUAACUACUUACAUUGAUAGUGGUCGGAGAGAGGUUUCCCUUUAGGGAGUCCCCGAGUGGCUUUGCAGCUACUUCAAAAACUAAACACUCACUCUUCUUACAAACUCACUUCACUCUUCUUCUUCUUUUAAGGGAAGGGAAAUAUGUAAAGCUAACUCUUAAAACUAAUUCUUCUUCUUUGCUAUGCUCCGCUUGAUCUUGCUCUCUACUUUCUUCUUGCAAAUAGUUUAGUAUUUAUAGGCGAGGAUGGCUUUCUCCAAAUUUGAAAUUCGGAUUUCAAAAUAUUGAAUAGUCUUUCUUUUACAUGUCGGGUGCUCUUUGGGCCCCAUCGUCACAUGGCUUUGAAAAAUGUUUCAAAAUUUUUGUCCUCUUUCUUGUCAGCUUUAGACUAGUGGUGUCUCUUUCUUGUCAGCUUUAGACUAGUGGUGUAUUGCAUCAUGGCUUACCUAUCUUUCUUUGUCUUUUCUCUUGAUUCGUCAUUGCUAAUGUAUUUUGGAUGGAACUUGAACUAGUCGAGACGGUUUCCAUAAAUUCUUUUAAACUACGUGUUGUAUCGUCACCACUCUCUUCUUGUGCAUCUUCCUCCUGUCUAUACCCUUAAGUAUCUGUUCUAGCUCUGCAUUCUUUAAAGUGUCUUUCUACCAUAGAGAAGUUUAUUCCUCUUAGUUUGCUGCCUUUACAUCUGAAGAUUGCUUUUGCAUCUAAUUCGUGUAUUUCUUUGGCUUUCUUUAUUGAUUUAUCUACUUCGUAGUCAUCUUCUUUUAUGAUCUGAAUAUUCAUUCCUUCCAUGUUUAUUGUUGUUUCGGUGGUGUUGUCUUCGAGGUCUUCAUCUAUUUCCCUUUGGUCUGAAUAUUUAUAAUCGGUAAAUCUGAUUAAGGUUUGUCCUUUGUUAUUAGUAUAUGUAAGGUGGUCAUUGGGUCUUAAAACUUCCCUUUUGCAAAAUUUCUCUAAAUCCCAUUCUCUACCAGCAUAUUCUUCCGAGUUUAUUUUUAAGGAUUUCAUUAGUUUUAUUCCCUUAUUUCCCAUUAAACCGACUGCAUCGUCUAUUUUGAUUUUAAACUUGGAGCUGCUUCUAGUGGCUAAUUUUCCUAUGAAGCCUACGCAUACUAGCAAAUUAUUUCCGUAGUUCAUUUCUUCGUAACCUUUAGUUUGAAUCCCUAUUUUUAUGUAUUUAUCAAAUUCAGUUGAAUUUAUCAUAAAGUCUGGGCUACAGUAAAUAUUUCUCCGUUGUUGGUCAUAUCUACUUUUGUUAGUCUUAUUAUAGAUCUUUUUGAUUCUGCCCAUCUAUCAUCAUAAAAGUAAUUAGCACUUUUGUUCCUAGAUUUUUCCUAGUUAAUUCUUUAAGUGUCUCAUGAUAUGCACAUUUGUUCUUCUCUAUAGUGUCUGUAUAAUUGUGCUUUCGAAGAGAAUAGUCCUAUAUUAUAAAGUACUUGUGGGUUUAGAAGUUUUAAGCUAUUUUGCUGGAAAAUUUCUAUAUCUUUGUCUAUAUCUAUUAUUUCAUCUAAUUGUUGACUGCAACUCGGUCUGGACAAAUUCAUUAUCCUGGCUAACAUAUUAUUUCGUAAUCUAUCUUGAGAGAAACUGGCCCUUUGUCUUUCUUGGGGGGCUCUACCCCUGUUUGAAAAAUGGUCCAUGCCUUGUCCUCUUUUGUCACUUUAGGUCUAUCCUUUUGGGGCGUUAUUUCUGUUUUCUUUAGUUGUUCAAUCAGGUCUUGUAUAUUUUUAUCCUGUUUUGUAUUUCCUUCAGGGAUUUUAUUUUCUAAUAAAAUAUCUAAUUUUUUUAUUAAUUUUUGCGAUCUUAUUAUUAUUAUUAUUAUUAUUAUUAUUAUUAAUAAUAAGAAUAUCUAUUAUCAUGCAGGCCAACUAUUUUUGCUGCUUGGAAGAUCCGCCGGUGUUUGUCUUGGAAAAGUUAGAGGCAGACAUAGCAGGGACUCGUUUUGUUAGGCUGACUAAAGCCUAUAAUAAUCUAGAUAAAUGUAUUAGGACUACUACUGUAAACCCUCAUAGUAGUGUAAGCCCUCCCAUUAGUGUAAACCCUCCUAGUGUAACUAGGAGACACGCUCUGCCACUAUCUUGUAUGGCCAAAUACUAAGCUAUAAAUAUUAUUAUCUUGUUAACCAAGAAAAAAAAUAUUUCAAAUUUACUGUUCAUGAUGAACAUAUUUAUUUUAUACCUUAACUCUAUUUUAAUACCUAAAAACUGUUAUAAACAUGAGUAAAUGUGUAUCAUUGAGAUCUUGGUCAUAGUUCAAGGGUACUUAUGUGUCACGACCCAAACCGUCGUGAUUGACACUCAUACUAACCCUCUGCUGGGAGAACCAUUACUACCACCCGUCUAACAAAUUUUACGAAAAUUAAGACAUGUAAAGAUACAAAAACAGUUUUAAUGUAGAAAUAAACUUGAGUUCCCAUAAACUCUGAAAGUUUGACAAACAAUAACUAAACAUUUGCGGAAACAACACCUAGAACCUGAAAGUCAAUUGGGAAACAUGUAAGAAAUUGUAUUAACUUUUGUUGAACCAUAUGCAUUUACUAUCUUGAAUAUUUUAGUAGCUUUAAACAAAUGAUCUUAAUAAAUAAUGUUUUGUCACUCUUUUAACAAAAUUUUAUUUUAUCAUUAAUUUCCUGAAUCAUUCUCUUGUUUCCUGUCUGUUUUCCCACUUUGCUUUAGCUGGUUGUAGUUUGUUAUUGAUUGUUUCACUUUUAAAACUUUGUGCUGGGAAUUUUGACAUUCCUCGGAACCUCUUUUGUGGGUGGCUUAACAUGACAACUAAAGCAAUUCACCAUUUCUUGGUGCUGAAGAAAAAAAUAAAAAAAAAUCUCUUGUUUCCUUCUUUCUCCUGAACGUUCUUAUUCUCUUUUAUUUUUUCAUUUUAAAUUCUCAAUUUCAACCUCUUCUUCACAUAUACAUAACAUAUCAACCUCUCUGGGUUUUUUUUUUGAAGUUUCUAUAACCUCUUUGUUCUCCCUAAGGAUCAAAUUAUUGUUUACCAACUUCAAAAACAAUAAAAAUUACAAUAAUCUCUUGGGUUACGAUUUCAACGGAAAUUUCUAAGAGGGCAAAACUUUUUAAAAUGAUAUACAUUAUACGAGGAUUGCAAGAUGUCUUGCUUUUGCUCUUUUGAAAUUGAGAAAUUAAAAAGGAAAAGAAAAGAAAAAGAAGGACGCUUAGGAGACAAGAGAGAAUGAUUUGGGGAUUUAAUGAUAAAAUAAUAAGUUCAAGAUUUUAUUUUUAGCAGGUCGUAUUAAAUGGGGCGGGUCAUUAAAUGGUUUAAAUGGAAAUAUAUUUGGUUCUGAAAAUUUUGGCUAAAAAUAAAAAUUUCAUGUCAAAAACUUUUAGUGAAAAAAAUUAUUAAAUAAGUUGAGUGACUUUCUGUGCAAAGAAGUCAUUGUUGAGUGACUUUUGAGUUGAAAAUGAAAGUUGAGUGACUUUCUGUGAAAAGACUUAAUAGUUAAGUGAGUUGAAAAUGAAAGUUGAGUUGUGAAAAGAGUUGAUAGUUGAGUGACCAUCAAAGUUAUUAACUCUUGAAUGAUUAUAUGAGAAAUCAACCAGUACUAAAGAGAUAGGCAUGUUUCAUGAUAGCCAGAAAAGGAGCAAUAGAAUGGGCAUUCCCCAUCAUAGAUUCCUUUGUGGCUUUUGACAAACUGAAAAAGCUGAGUCACAAACCAAGGAAACACUAUAAGGAUACAUUUAGGAGUUUGGCCAAGUGGAAUAAAGAUUAGACAGCGAGGAUGCGAUUAGUACCUGUUUGGCUUUAUUGAGAAGUCUGGCCUAGUCCAACAUUCAUGAUCAUUCAGUGGAUCCCCAACCUUAAAAAAUAAUGCACAAUUUUAAUUUGAACAUUCAAUAACCAUAAGAUUGUGUUAGGAUAGGUUGUCUAUACAACACCCCUUGAUAUGUGUGAAUGCAGGAUCCUUUGUACACUGAAUAGAGACUAACUUAAUUACCCCUGGACGUUGAGGCAAUUGAACUUGACACUGGCUUUCAAGAAAAAAAUAGUGCCCCACUUGAUGGCAGAGCAAAUAUUUCCCAAUUCUCCAGCAGAUUGGAACUACGAAAAUUUCUUUGGCACAUAGUUGUUCUUGACCCAAGGUUUCUAAGUACAAUAUGACCUAUAAAAAAUAUUCUGCCAAUAUAAAUUAACAAUCAAAAGAAUAAUAUAUUUUUAAACUCAAUAGCAUAUAUGUGGAUUUUAUAUAUCACAAUAAAGUGGGAAAUCACAUAACCAAAAGCUGAAGAAAACAACCAUUCCUUUCUAGCUAGCAACAAAUAAAUUGUUAAUUAGACAAACAAAUAUAAAACACAAUUGGCAGCAUAAACUCUUGCAUUAUAAACGCUAAAAUACAAUCAUAUUCUCAAUAUAACGAACCUAUAAAGAGGUCAUUAAGAAAAGUUCUUUAACAAUCUAAUAAAGAUAUAAUGUCAGAACUAAUAAAAUAUAAAUGUUGACAGAAAAUAAAUGAAUUGAACCCAUGUAAUUAAAGCAGAAUUUGUAUAAGAUAACUAAAAAGAAAGUGACAAAUUGCUUUACCUGUAAAUUUAGAAUAUUAAAAUGAUUAUAAACAACAUAACAAUCCACCUAGUUCUUAAUGAUAAAUCAUCAUCACUUCAAGCUUCUUUGAUACCCUGCAUCAAGUUAGUUUUAUUAGUAAGCGCACAACAUAAUAAAUCAUUAUCUUUGUAUCAUCUUUUUAAGGAUCAUCAGAAUUACAAGGAAAAGUCACCAGUUUGUAGGAUCAAAAUUGAAAGAAGAUAUGCAAGUUCACAAAUUAAAAGAUCGGUAGAAAAAAGAUUACAUUAUUAGGAUGAAAAAUCAAUGUUAAGCCCCCAAAUAUAUCUUCAAGAAAAUAACUUUAUCAAUAAUAGCGGCAAGAAGAAUUGUUCAAAUCACUCAUAUAACAAGACUUUUCGAAAAGGUAGACCAAAUAGAAUGCUUAUUUGGUAUUUUGUAUUCAUCAACAUAAUUAUACCUUAAGUAUCUUAAAUAAUGAGAAUAAGAACCGGAGAUUUUUUUUAGAAAACUAACUAUACAAACUCUAUUUCAAAAAUUAAUAUUACGGUGAUCAAACAAAAUUAAUCAAGUGCUAGCACUCAUUUUUGUAAAUUUGAAUUUUAUUAGUCCCCACAAUUUAAGGGAUAUUAAUCCCCAUUGGAAACAUGCAAGCUCUAACUUUCCACCAGAAAUCGGUUAAUAGACAAAGAAUUAGAAUUAAAAUUUUUAAUAGACUACAUUACCGCUUACAAUAUUAAAGAUCCAUCCACCAAAUAUAUAUUAUAAUUACAAAUUCAACAUUAAGUGAAAGCAACAAAGAAACUAAAUUUGUCUAUUGCAUGCAUAGAAAUACCAUUUCAAUUUUUCCCUUUGCUAACAAACAAAAUUUGAAGGAAAAAAAAGUGAAGAUAGAAACUUCCAUUUUGAUUUACCCAUUUGGUCACAAAGAGAAUUUGAAUGGGAAAAUCAAAUUUUAUCCAUUUAAAACUAAAUUUAUCUGUUGCAUGAAUAGAAACUCUCAUUUUUAUUUUUCCAUUUUGUUAGAAACAAAAUAAUCAGAGGUAUAAAUUGAAGAUAAGAACUGUCAUUUCUAUUUUCCCCUUUGAUCACAAAGAAAAUUGAAUAGAGAUGAACAAAGGGAGAAGAAAUAUCUUAAACUGCAGUAACACUUUCAGAAAAUGGAAGAUGAAGACAACUUUGAGUAAAUGAAGCUCUGGGUUCGAAACCAAAUACACGUGCGUUACAUGUAAAGUAUAUAACUAGGUGUCUUUAAGAAUGAUAGUCAUAGCUGAAGUAGAAUCAUCAAAGCUCUACCUUAAAGUACCUGCGACAUAGUAGAUGGUACAACUUUGUGAGCUAUAAUCAAAAUAUAAAUAUACAUAUAUAUAUAUAUAUAUAUAUAUUUAUAUUUAUAUUUAUAUAAAAGAGAACCCUAGACCCGCCUACAUGGCGCCACCACAAACAAGGAUUCCCUUUUAAUUUAUUUUAUUUCCAAAACUAAGCCUUCCCCUUUUAUGAAAAGUUGUGACUUUUAUGAAGAGUUGCAAUUUCUAUGAAGAGUUGCGACUUUUAUGAAAAGUUGCAAUUUUUAUGAAAAGUUCUGACUUUUUCUUCUGCACAAUUAAAUAUUUGUGUACUUUGCUCCUGUUGAAUGACUCACUGAAACCACGGUUUUUGUAUCAAUACACUAGUGAAUAGAACUGUUCUAUCCUGAGAGGAUCUAUUCCUUUAAACUUCGGAUACUAGAGGGGAAUAAUUUCCUUUAUGGGGCACUGUGCAUUCAAUGGGCUCAACUUUUUCUAUUAUGUUUCAUUCUAUUGUUACAGAUCCUGGUAUGUUUUUUACAGUCAUUAACUUAUGCUUAUAUUAAUAAAUUGUUAUUUUUGAUUACAUGCUUUAAACUUUGUUGUUUAAGUUUCUGCAAAAUUAUUGUUAUAAGUAUUUGUUAGUACAAAUUAAAUAAAAAAUGUUAAUUGAGUAUUCAAGCAAGUUUUCUCUAUUGGAAUUGUUAAAGGUACAAUAAAAAAGCCCUAACAAAUCUCUAAUUUCCUCAUCAACAACGUCAUUCCUUCACAUUCAAGGAUGAGAUUUUGUGUUCCAUUUUUACUAAAUUUUAUCGGUGGAUAUUAUGAGUACUUUAAGGAUUGAAAGUUGAUUGAAGUGUUAGUCAAGUUUUGAGGUAUGUUAUUUCAAAACAUGAGAACUUUUCUGGUUAGAAUGAUUUGUUAUCAUCAUUGGAUAUCUCAUAGUUUACUCCCUUUAAUGUAAGCUUAUUCUCGCUGUUUUGUUGUCUCCUUAAAAUUGUAUUGAUUAUUUUUCACUUGGUAUGUAUAUGAUCUCACUUGGACAAAGCUUUCGCCCUUUUAAUGUUUUUCUUUUUUUCCUUCUCAUUCGGCUAUUCAAAAUAUUUUUGGUGUGAGAUAUGACUAUUUCGGCAAGCUUAAUUUGAAGGAUAUGAAACAAAACCUACUCUAACUAAAAGUAAUAUCUUAAGCUACAAAAGAUAUGUCUAUUAACAUAGAUUUGUUGUCCUUCAUGUCCCAAGUCAUUGCUGAGCGUUUGAGUUAUCUAGGUUAGACUCAUUUUUAGUUUUUUUAAUGUUUGAAAUAUUUAUUUAACAUGAGUCUAGAAUCCAACAUUUAGAUCUACUUGUACUUUCACAAUGUAACAAUUAGACAUACAUAUUUCUGAAAAAGUGGUAAUGUUGCAUUGAUGAAGCAUCUAGAAGGGUAAAUUUUGGUCAUAGUAUAGGAAGGUACUUCUACCUUUUCCCAAAAAAAAAAUUAAAAAAUGACUAAUGUUAUAAAAUCAAGCUUAAAGAAAUAUAAGUAUAAAGAGAAGAAAACAAGGGAAGUAGAUGUAGGCGAAGACUUUUCUUCUUAUUCAAGUGUGUAUUCGAAAUAGUGAGUGAUAUCUCUAUUUAUAGUGUUGAGAUAUUACUUCCAAUGGUCACAAAACUAGUAGAUACAUAGUUAUCCCUUAACAUUCUUAUCACCUUGGAAGCAGCCAUACAUGAAUCCAAUUAGUUCUUGAAUAAAUCUAAUGGAUAAUCCACACAAUGCAAUGGAUUUAUAACACUUUCCCUUGGAUGUUCAUGGAUUAUGUACCUCGUUAAAACCUUACUAGAAAAAACCCUGUGGGAAAAAAUUCUAAUGAAUGAAAAAGAGUACACACAUCUUUUGAUACACAUUAUUUGUUGCCUCAUUAAAAUCCUUUCCAAGAAAACCCAGUGGGACAAAACAUCGAUCAAGGAAAAAAGAGAGCAACGCGUAUUAUACUCCCCCUAAUCAAAACAUCGCUUAAUUUCUUAUGAUGAUGUCAUCCAAUCUUAUAUACCAACUUCUCAAAUAUUGAUAGUGUCUUUGUGAUGAAAUCAUAUUCAUGAAGAUGUUGCAUGAUUGAACUCAUUUCUGAUAUAUCAUUUUCUGGUUUCAUGGAUAUGAUGAGGCUUUGAGCUUAACCGAAUACAUUCUUGAAAAUCACUUUGUUUGUAUCACUCUAUUCGUUACCUCGUUACUGCAAGUUGCUCAUUCAACAUGUUCAUUGCAUCAAACAUCUUGUGGACAGUUUCAUUUGCAGUUGAUUAUCUCGUACAUUGUGGUUGGUAUAUUCUUUUUCAAAGAAAAACCACACAUUUCCUGAAUAUGGUGUGUCAUUGAUCUCAACCAAACGCAGUCUCGACUUACUUCAUGGAGGGCUUUUAUUUAUGCAUGGUUUGAAGAAGCGGUUACCAACGUUUGCUUCAUUGAUCGCCAAGAUAUUAUUGUGACUCCACAUGUAAACCAAUAGUGUGUUUGAGACUGAGCUUUAUGCGAACCAGAUAAAUAUUUAGCAUCUACGUAACCAAACAGUUUUUACUUGUAUUCCUCGGAAUAGAAUAAACUCAUGUAUAUGGUCGUUCGAAGAUAUUCAAGUAUGUGCUUAACACUAUUUCAAUGUCCUUUUGUUGGGGAGAAACUGAAUCUUUCUAGUAAAUUUACUGCAAAACAUAUAUCUGGUCGAAUAUUGUUAGCAAGAUGCAUUAGUGCCCUAAUUGCACUAAGAUAUGGAGUUUCAUCACCAAGAAGCUCCUCAUCCUUCUUUUGAGAUCAAAGUGAAUCUUUAUUUAUGUCAAAAGAUCUCAUAAUCAUUGGGGUACUCAAUGAAUGUGAUUUAUCCAUAUAAAAUCGCAUCAAAACUUUUCUAUGUAUGUUGAUUGACGGACAAAUAUUUCAUUUGUGAAAUUCUCAAUCUAUAGGUCAAGGCAAAAUUUUGUCUUUCCAGGAUCUUUUCAUUUUAGAUUCCCUUCUCAAACACUCAAUAGCUUAUGAAAGCUCUUUAAGAGUGUUAAUAAUGUUCAAGUCAUCGACAUAUACAACUAUUAUAACAAAUUUAGAUCCUGACUUUUUCAUAAAAAUGCAAUGACAAUUAUAGCCAUUCUUUUUGUACCCUUUUCUUCCUUGAUUAUUUCAAUCCAUAUAAGGAUUCUUGAAAAAAUUCUUUCACACUUUUAUAUAUUUCCGACACCUUGAUUACUUCAAGGAUUUUCAUAUAACCUUCAGUAUUGUCUACCUAGACAUGAUAAUUAUUCAUUAUAUGCGUUCAAGUUUUCAUAUAUUGCCAGAUCAAAACAAAUCUCAUUGCAACCACCAUAGGAGAAAACAUCACCAAUAAUGUCAGGAUUUUUGCGACAAACCUUUAUACCCCAAGGCACAAGCCGUACUUGAUAUCUUAUGGUUAUACCAUCACAUAAUAAUUUAUAUGUACCCACCUGACAUUAUACCUUGAUUUAUGGACUAUCAAUCUAAAACUCCACUUUUCUAAGUCAAACAAAAUAUACUUGAUUAUGCAUUUUACUUGGCCAAUCAUUUAUCUGUCCACACUAUAUGACAGAUUUGAAUACAAAAUCCUCGUCACAAUUUAUAUCAUUGAGCGCUACUUCAUGUCAAAGAUACUGUCAAUGAUUAUUUGAAUAUGGAUUCCAAUAUGACAUAACUUAUCAAGAUCUCUUCAUAUUUCAUCAUUUUUCAGGUACCUGAACCUUUUCCAAGGUUUUACAAAGUGUUAUGUUGUGGUGCUCUCUUAUAGCACUUGCCUCAUUAUCAUGACCAUAUUGAUCAUUUGCUCAUCUCCUUCUUCAAGGAAUUUUACAUUUGGAACCGAUUGGUAUAUUACGCUUCAGAUGUAUCAUAGACUCUGUCCUUCAAGGACUUCUCAUUGGAGCAUUUGUAGCUGAAUUAUAUCAUAGGGAGACAGUAAAUUCAUCUGGCAAUCGAUUUGCAACAUUAUUCUAAUGAAUUAUCACUUGAACUUCAAGUUCACAUUUUCUUUUAACGAGGAUCUAUAUAAUUCAUAAUUAACCUCACACAUAAUUUUCAGUUGUCAAUCAUCUCUCCCACUAAUGUUAGAAAAUCUAACAUUCAUCCCAACCUUUUUUAGAAAUUAAUCUUUGUGCGUGGUGGAGCAAUUAAAAUCAUAACCGCACAUUCAACAUUUUAAAUGAAAAUUAUUUGGUUCCUAACCCUGAACCAAUUUUGAUAGGGGACCUUUGUUGGCUUUAUGAGUACAAGUGUUGCUACAUGUUAAAUAAAUUCAUCUCAUACCAAAUUUAUUUUUGGGAGAUUUGUUCUCAUAAUCAAUGGUUUAACUAUAAUUCAAGGCAUACAAUUUCUGCUAAACCAACCAUCAUUAUCAGUAUAAUUUCAUAGUUUGGAAAUGUGCUCUUAAUUUAACAAUUCUAGCAAACAACCUUACAAACACCAUUUUGUAAGUUGACAACAAAGCACAUGUGACCAUCGCAUAGAUGCAUCUAUCAUAUAGUUGCAAACUAUCCACAUGGCAGGUGAAUGGACCCAUAUUCACCUUUUUAUAUGUUCCAAAUGAUUUCAGGGAAUACAAUUCCAACGUUAGCUGGUACAAUGAUAAUUUUAUUAUGAGAAUAAGCAACACAAGAAAAUUCUUGAAGAAUAUUUUGUUUCUACACUAUAUAACAAUGUGAAUUCUCAAUUAUAUUUGCAUCAUAUUUUAAUCGGAAUAUCCAACCGAUCACGCCAACUGAUCUUUAUUCCAGUACACUUAUAGUUUACUUUUGCAUGUGAUUUCAUCAGCAUGUCCAUGUUUGUGCGCAACAAACAAGAGGAAAAAAUGGGUAAUUUUUUACAUAAAUAUUUAUAACCCUCUUCGGUUGUAGUAAUAUGAAGAUAUUAAAUGUUUUCAUUAUAUAUAGUCUCAAUAUUUCUUUUCAAAUCAUCUGAAACUUAAAAAGUUUCUUUUGAGACUUACUACAACCCCAAUAUUAUUCCUCACAACUCAUUAGAGCUUACAAUUAUUUUUGUGUACUAUCACAUAUUCCAAGACACUAUCUGUAUGGUGAGCAUCUCCUUCAAGGAGGAAAUUAUAUUAUUAUUAUCAUGGUCAAAAUGAUUAAAAGCAAGACAUGUGUCUUGCUUUACUUUUGUUGUACGAUAAGUACACAAUCAAUGACAAAUUUGCAUUGCCACACAAUAAUAUUAUUUUGAUCAUGGCCACAACCUUUAUAGGCAAGAAUUACUUCUUUCUUUUUCCCUUUCGGUAGUUCACAAUAAACAUACCAUAAUAUAUAUGACGUAUGAACAUACAAUACCAUUGGCCAUUUCUGCCAAAUAAAAUUUAUUUAUUUCUCUCGAACCUGCAGUAGAGGUGAGUUGUGGCAUUUUUCCAACCAUACAUGAAUAUGUUCUUAUUCAUAUUUUUUCCUUCAUAUUUUGACCCAUUCACUUUCAAGAAUUGGCAAACAUUCACAAUGCUUAUCACAAGUCACAAACUCUUUAAGGAAUGGACUAAUCAUUUGUAUGUGCUUCAUUAAUUUGCAUUGUAAGCUCAUUGUAAUGCCCUUAAAUUUUAUCAUUUUUGCAUGACACACCUCAACAUCACUUUGAAAGGUCAAGUGUACCACCACUUUAUCUUCCUUUCUUUUGAUUGAGGAUUUACAAAUAUAUCAUAUUAUUAGAUUACACAACAAUCUCGUGUCCAAUGACUUUUUAUACCUUUUGAUGAUAAAAAUUUCCUUCACAUUUUGAAGGAAUAUUUGGAGAACCACAGUGUUCUUAAUUUAACCACAAUGAUGAUUAUUACAAUUUUCUUUUUUCUCAUGCCCAUAUUCAUUUGUACAACCACAAUAAUCACUGUCAUAGUUCAGACGUAUCAUGUACUGCUACCACAUUUACAUAAGAGAAUGGAGAAAAUCAAUUGGGCUAAAUACAUGACUUCUCAUAAAAAAUACAAUUAGUUUUUCAUAGUCAUCAUUAUCGUGCAUUAGAAGUUAAUCCAACAUCUUAUCCAUAUAAAGUCGUCUUAGGUCAUAAAUUGAUGGGACAUGAACCCAACGUAUUAUUAUCGUGGUGCAUCAAAAUUUAAAUUGAUGUCUUACCUUCUUGGUGCGAUACAACUUGAAUCUACCGUCUUACCCUCAAACAUUUUUCAUUAUGGUGCAUCCAUAAUUUAACCUGAUGUCUUAUCCUUUUGGUGCGAUGGAACUUGAAUCUAUAAUCUUACCCUCAAUCAAUUAUAUAGUAGGUCAAGUGCAAUGGACUCAUCUCAGAGCCUCUUUGCUCUCAACAAAUAUCAAUUGAAUCCUUAUUUCCAUUUAUAUAAUUUCCUGCACCACCUCAAGUCCUCAACGAUACAAUUAGUGCAACUAAAUUUGGAAAUUUUAAUCUUUAAAAAGAGAAUUUAUUUAUUCAAAUAUAUGUACAAACAAAAUUAGUCAAGUCAUCUCACAUUAUUCGGAGGAACCGAAUAUUCAUAUUACCACUUCUCCAAUACUUAGUACAACCGACAAAUCAUAAUUAAAUGUAAGCAAUACUUUCUAAAGAUUACAUAUGAUUAGUUGAUUUAAUCAACUCAAAUUCUGGAUUAUAGAAGCAUGAAGAUAAAUAAUUUGGAUGCAACUUGGAACAAGCCAACUUUGUCGUUGAGUGUAUCAACUUUAUCGUCUCUUCCUUUCUUUCUUUAAUAGAAAUUUUGGGAAGGGAUAAGUAUACAAACUCUGCUAGCUAUAUUGCUAUAAAGCAUCAUAAUAUUAAUAUAGAGACGCGUGCUGAUAACUUGUUAUAAAAUCAAGCUUAAAGCAAUAUAAGUAUAACGAGAAGAAGACAAGGGAAGCAGAUGUAGGAGAAGACUUUUCUUCUUAUUCAAGUGUGUAUUCCAAAUGGUGAGUGAUAUCUCUAUUUAUAGUGUUGAGCUAUCAAGCAUCAUAAUAUUAAUAUAGAGACUCGUGCCGAUAACGUGUUAUAGAAUCAAGCUUAAAGCAAUAUAAGUAUAAAAAGAAGAAGACAAGGGAAGUAGAUGUAGAAGAAGACUUUUCUUCUUAUUCAAGUGUGUAUUCCAAAUGGUGAGUGAUAUCUCUAUUUAUCUUCAAGAUUAAAAAAUCUAUAGGAUGUACUCUUUGAAGCAUAACCAAGAAAAGCACAAGUAGUAACUUUCUUACCCAACUUUGUAAUCUUGGGAUCCAUUAGCCUCACAAAGGCUAGACAACCCCAAGCUCUUAGAUAUCCCAAACUUGGCUUGUGACCUUACCACAAUUUAAACGUGUCAAUUUAGACUUUUUAUGAGGCACACGAUUCAACACACAACACACAGUCAAAAUAGCUUCACCCCAUAAAUUUAAAGGUGCAUGUGACUCAAUAAGCAUGGCAUUAGUCAAUUCAACCAAAAUUCUAUUUUUCCUUUCCGGUACUCCAUUAGAUGAAGGAGAAUAAGGAGGAUUAAUUUUAUGAAUUAUUCCCAAUGAUCUAACAAAAGAAUUAAACUCAUUUGACUCAUAUUCACGGCCACUAUCACUUCUUGGGAUGGCGAUGGUGCGGGUUUGUUGCGGGUUCGGAGCAUACUCGCAUAAACCCGCAAUGACUUUACUCCGCCCCACAUAGCACAAAUUUAUUUAUUUUUUUCGCCCCACAUAUACCCGCUCCGCAUAUAACUUCCCCGCAAAACUUCAACAUAACAGUACGUGUGCUUGAUUUUGACACUUAACUUAAGUAAAACAAUGUUGUAAUUUAUUAAGGUUUUCAAACAGUUUAGUUACUCAUUUAAGAAUCUGUUACAUUACUUUCUAACACCAUGAUAAUGAAGGUAAAUAAUAAAAUAUAUAGCCUAGUCUGUAUACAAAUUAAUUAGAAUCAGAAUUCAUCACAAGUGAUGCAUCAUUUUACUUGAUCAAAUAUUGUAUAAAUACUAGAGACAAAAGAUAGUCAUAAUAAACUAAGAAAUUCAAUGUCAAUUGUCAACUGAUUUGCAUCUGCUAUUCGCCCAAUUUAGUUUAACUUCAAAGGAAAAAGAAACCUAACCCGUGCCCGCCCUGCCCCACAUGUUUUACUAAAAAAUAUUUUGUAACCCCCCCCCCCCCACCCUUCGUCCACCACCACCCACAACCUCACACACACCCCGCAAACACUAUAAUCCGCCCCGCUUUGCAACCGCCCCUCUCCAUUGCCAUCCCUAAUGACUUCUAAUUUUUUUUAUUUUUCUUCCAAAUUGAUUUUCAACUUCAUGGAGAUAAGUUUUAAAAUUUUCAAAAGCAUCACUUUUAUUUUUCAUCAAGUAAACAUACGUAAACUUAGAAAAAUAAAAUAUCUAUUACCUCCACGAGUUAAAAUUCCACCAAGUUCACAAAUAUCAGUAUGAACUAAUUCUAACAAAUCAGUGUUUCUUUGAACUUGAAAAUGAGGUCUUUUAGUGAUUUUGGAUUUACUACAAGCCUCACACUUUUCAAAAUUCUUCUUCACCAUUGUGAUUAAUCCUAAACUACUCAUGAUUCUAGCAUAACGAUCAUUAAUAUGACACACAUGAGCAUGCCAAAAAUUGGUAAAAGAAAGCAUAUAAACAGAAGUAGUAGUUUUAUGUAUUUCAACAUUCAGUUUGAACACCCCAUCACAAGCAUACCCCUUUCCCACAAAAAUAUCCUUUUUCACAAUUACAUAUUGAUCAGAUUCAAUAAUUUGUUUAAAGCCUGCUUUGUUAAGAAGAAAACUAGACAUCAAUUUUUUUCUCAUGGAAGGAGUAUAAAGUACAUCUUUCAAAGUUAAUACCCUUUCAGAAGUAAAACACAAUUCGGCAUCUCCCGUUCCAAGCACUUAAGUUGUGUGAGAACCACCAAGCAUGAUGGUUUUGGACUCCUCAAAAUGAGUAUGUUUUUUAAACCAGUCUUUGUCAUAACAGACAUGAAGGUUUGCACCAUAAUCAGCCCACCAUCCAUCAAAAACUCUCAACCAUGUUUAUGUCAGUAAUCACCGCCACAAAAGGUUCUUUGGUAAUGUUUGCCUGAGGAUUAGGACCACGUUUCUAGAAUCUGCAAAAUCAAACAAUAUGCCCACUCUUGCCACAAACAAAGCACGGUCCCUUAUCUUAAACUUGUUGAUUUUGUGCUUGGUUAUUUUCAACAUUAUUUUUCUUGGCAGGUGUACCAUUAUUUUUCUUGAAUUUUUUCUUCUUAGGACUCAAAGAAGUAUUUGUGUGAGUUUCAGGAGUAGCAUUAUUUGAAGUAAUUAAAUUUACCUUCAUUGUGAUGUUGCUCUCUUCUGUUUGUAAAAGUGCAUCUUGGCCCUUGCCUCUUCUUCCAUGCGGAUUUUCAUUAUCAAGGUUUAAAGAGAGGUUUCCUUUUGUUUGUGGCACAUAGUUUUUUGAAAUUUCUUCCAAGAAGGUGGAAGUUAUCUACUAUACCAUAAACAAUAAGGUUGUCUCCAGUUUUUACCUUCUCGGAUCUAAGCUCUCCAAAAAUUAUUAUAAAAUCUUGAGCUUGGUCUACCACUAAUUUGUUUUCCACCAUUUGGAAACGAAAAAAUCUACUAGCCACAUAUUUUUUCACUCCAGCCUCUUCGGUAUCAUACUUACUCUGCAAUGCUUUCCAAAUUUUCUGUGCACUAGAGUAAGUUCUAUCAUAAUAAUCAUAAAAAUUAUCAGACAAACAAUUAAAAAUAUAAUAUCAACACUUAUAGGAAUCACCAUCGUACUUUUCCACUUUCUCUAGAUGAGAAAUAAUUUCAUCAUCAUUCAUAGAGGUGAUGUUAACUUUAUUAGGAUUCUUCUCUGUUAACACAAAAGAAACAUUGAGAAGACUUAAGUAGAAAAGUACUUUACCCUUCCAUCUCUUGAAAUGGUUACCAAUGAACAGAAAUGGCUUGUUAAGAUCUCCCAUCUUGACAUCCGCGGUUUUUUCAAUUGUAGCCAUUUUGAAUCUCCUUAAAAUUGUUUGUGAAAAAUUACAAAAUAACAAAAUUACAAGAUUACAAUUAAAAGAAAAUGAAGAAAUAAUAACCUCUUCAGGCUGAGGCGCGGAUAUCUCACUCUCUUUAAGGAGAUUCAAGCACAGUGCAACAAAUGUUUUUCACCGGUCCAGCAGUAGUCCUUCUUGACUUGUCCCCUCCAGGAUACAACAGUCUAAUCACAAAAGUGUAACUCAACAACUCUGGACAAGAGUUAAGUCCAAAGCUCCACAAAAAGAACACCUCCCUUCAACUAAUAAAAACUCUCAUUUUUUACUAACUUUUUUCACUCUAUAUUUUUCUAGUGUCUUAAGCCAAAUGAAGACCACCACUAGUUAUAGUAGAAGAAGUCUUCCUAGCAAUGAAUAGAAAGAUAAUGGGGUAGUAAAUAGUGAAGAUAAAUGGCCUAGAGGUUACAUAUGUUACAUAGGUUACAAAGAAUAAUGGAGGAAUAAAGAGUGAGAUAAUGGAGAUUGAAUGGGGGAGAAGUGGGGGACACUAACGGCUAAAACAUGUUACCAAUGCUGCCAGAAAAGGAGCAGUAACAUAUAUGCACUAACUCUAGGAGUAAUAUGCAGGAAUCAAUAUUAUCAUUAACAUUAGCACAUGAUGAGAAGUCAACCAACGGCAACAUUUUAGAAUAUUAAAAUGUCACUCACACUAACACCAGAGAAAAGUACAAUUUAGGAAAUUACUAUUGUUGGGAUGGAGGAUGACUUCAACGCCAUACUUGAACACCUUACUGCCCAAGCAGACGAUUUAGUUGUCGUACCAAUUUUUGGUAUGUGCAGUAUAGGUAAGACAACUCUUGCCAAAAAAGUUUAUGAUGAUUCAUAUUCGUUCUCUAUUUGAUAAACAUGCAUGCGUUACUAUCUUCGAAUGAUACAAUGAGAGACAAAUGCUUCUUGAAGUUGUCUCUACAAUUACUGGAAGAAAUCAAGAAAUGGGCAAUGAUCAACUAAUGAAGAUUGUCUAAAGAAUACUGAGGCAUGGGACCAUAUGCAAAGAAUAUUUCCAAAUGAUGACAAUAGAAGCCGAAUUCUAUUAACCACUUGGCUCUUGUAUGUUGUUGAUUAUGUCAGUUGUCCUGAUUUUCCAUAGAAAGUCUUUUAUAAGUCUUGAUGACAGUUUGAAGUUCAACAAAAAAUCAUUCAAAAAAAUAUUGUUUCCUCCUCUACUUGUAGAACUAGGGAAGCAUAUUGUACUACAAUGUCGAGGAUUACCUCUCUCGAUUGUUGUUGUUGCAAGACUUCUUGGUCAAAUGGACCCAGCACAUGAUAAUUGGAAGAAUGUUGAGGAAAAUCUUAACUGAUUGUUUGGUACUGUAUCCAAACAGUUUCAAUCAAUUCUUUCUUUGGAGGUUUUCCUAAAGAUAAAGAUAUUAAUGUUUCCAAGUUGAUUAGAAACAAUAAAAGUUUAGAAGUGGUGGCACUGAGGGAAUAAAAUCUUGGCUGCAACUAAUUUGGCAGCCAUAUUUGUUGAAAUUUAAUUGCAACAAAUGUGAAAGUUGGCAAGCCACAAAUGUGAAAGUUGGUAGCCACAUUUGUGGAAUAGUCAAAGUUUGGUAGAGUUUUGGUAGAGUUUGACGGCCAAAUUUUGUGGAAUUUGGCUACCACAUUUAUGUCACUAAUGAUGUAAUGAAGAGGCAAAACUCUAUAAAUAGAGUAGUAAAAUAACACUUUAAGACACAUAAAAAAAAUAGAGAAGCAAUACAGAGUAGAGAGAGUAAUCCACAAACUACUUCUUAGAUUGUGAGAAAAUAGUGUGAAAGUAAUAUAAUUGUGAGUUGUAAGAAAUGAAAGAGUGUUGAGUAGUAGUCUUUUGACACUACCAAGUUUUUCAUCAAUAUUAUUGUAUUACUUCUUCCAGUAUCAUAUUUACACCAUUUUAAUAUUUGGUGUUGUUGUUACUCUCUUCCUGUUGCUAUUAAGUUUGGACAUUAUCCUGGGUGUGAUUAUCAUUUUGUCCAACAACGUGGUAUUAGAUCCAUGGAAAAUAAUAGUCUGUUGUCCUUUCAAUACCCUCGUCUCACAAGAGAAAAUUAUGAAAAAAUGGUAUCUACGAAUGAAAGCCAUUCUUCGCUCUUAAGAUGUUUGGGACAUUGUAGACAAAGGGUAUACAAAGCCCGCUAAUGAGGAAAAUUUGCCCUCAAAUGAAAAUGAGGUCUUGUUAAAGACAACAAAGAAAGAUCAACAUGCCCUCAAUCUUAUCCAUCAAUGUUUGGAUGAUGGCAUGUUUGAUAAGUUGGUUGAUGCAACCACCUCAAAAGAAGCUUGGGAGAUUUUACAAAAUUCUCUCCAAGGAGUUGAUAAAGUAAAGAAGAUAAAACUUCAAACUCUAAGGGUUAGCUUUGAAGUUUUAAAAAUGAAUGAAUCUAAAUCGAUUUUGGAUUUCUCUUCAAGAUUUAUGGUUGUGGUAAAUCAACUAAAAAGAUACAGGGAGGAAGUAGAUGAUGUGCGUGCGGUAGAAAAGAUCCUUCGUUCUUUAACACCUAAAUUUGAUUAUGUGGUAUGUGCUAUUGAGUAGUCUAAAGAUUUAGACUCUAUGACGGUAGAACAAUUGGAAGGUUCUUUACUAGCCCUCAAAGAGAAAAUGAAAAGGAGAAAAUAAGAGCCACCAGAGCAACUUCAUAAAACCCAUGCAUCCUUCAAAUGAUUUAAAGGUGAGAAAAUCUACAAAGGAAAUGGACAAUGGCGAGGCCGUGGAGGUCGUGGAGGCCGUGGAAGAGGAACAAGUUAUACCAAUAAAUUGAACAAUGAAGAUAAGAGUCACCAGUCAUUGAGAGGUCGUGGUCGUGGUCAACGAGGAGGUAGAGGACGUGGAGCAUAUCAAGGUUCAAAUGAAAUGCGGUAUGAAAAAUCUAAAAUUGAUUGUUAUAACUGUCAUAAAAUUGGACAUUACUCUUGGGAAUGUCGUAGGAAUGUUGAAGAGACAGUUAAUCUUGUUGACAACAACAAAGACGAAGAUGAGUCAACGUUGUUAUUAGCACUCAAAGAAGAAAAUACAAAUGAUUGUAAUUUAUGGUAUCUUAACAAUGGAGCAAGCAAUCAUAUGUGUGGCCACAAAGAUAACUUUGUGGAGAUAACGAAGACGGUGAAAGGUAAUGUGUCUUUUGGAGAUACCUCAAAAAUCCAAAUUGAAGGGAUAGGUACGAUUUUGAUAUCUUGUAAAGAUGUGGCCAUAAAUUGAUUAACAAUGUUUAUUAUGUCCCAAAAUUGAAAAGUAAUAUUUUGAUUUUGGGUCAACUUCUUGAAAAAGAAUACGAUAUUCAUAUGAAUAAUAUGCAUCCUUGUCUUAGAGAUUCAAGUAAAAACUUGAUUGCUAAAGUUCAUAUGACAAAAAAUAGGUUGUUCCCUUUGAAUCUUAAAACCAUCUAUGCAAAGUGUUUGAAGGAUAAUGUGCAAGAUGACUCAUGGUGUUGGCAUAUGCGAUUUGGGCACUUGAGCUUUGAUCACUCAAAUCAAUGGGAGACAAGAACAUGGUUGAUGGGAUUCCGUUAAUCACCCAUCCAAAUCAGUUGUGUGAAGCUUGUCUACUUGGAAAACAUGCAAUGAGGAGUUUUCCAAAGGAGACUAAAUCAAGAAAAAGUAAGCCACUUCAACUUGUACACACCGAUGUGUGUGGUCCAAUUGAUCCACCUUCUUUUGGUAAAAGAAAAUACUUCUUGCUCUUUUUUGAAGAUUUUAGUAGAAAGACUUGGUAUACUUCUUGAAGCAAAGAUCUGAAGUUUUUGUUGCCUUUAAAAAUUUCAAUGCACUUGUAUAAAAAGAAAGUGGCUAUGAAAUAUAAGCAUUAAGGUCCGAUAGAGGAGGCGAAUUCACUUCAAAAGAAUUUAAUGACUUUUGUCAAUCUCAUGGAAUUUGUCACCCUAUAACGAUACCUUACUCUCUCCAACAAAGUGGAGGUGCAGAAUGAAAGAAUAGAACAAUUCUUAAUAUGGCUAGAUGUAUGUUGCAAGCUAAACAUCUACCGAAAGAAUAUUGGGCCGAGGCUGUUUCUUGUGCAGUUUAUUUGAGCAACAAGUCUCCAACAAAAAAUGUAUGAGAUCAAACAUCUCAAGAAGAAUGGAGAGGAAGAAAUCCAAAUGUCAAGAACUUGAGAAUCUUUGGGAGCAUAGAAUAUGAUCAUGUUCCACAUCAAGGGAGAGAUAAACUUGAUGAUCGGAGUGUCAAGUAUGUGUUUGUUGGCUAUGACGCGAGUUCAAAAGGCUACAAAUUGUACAAUCCAAGCAAUAACAAGGUGGUGGUGAGUCGUGAUGUUGAAUUUGAUGAAGAAGAAUCAUGGAAUUGGGAGACUCCGGAAGAAAGAACAUCUGAUUUUCUUCCAUACUUUGGAGAUGAAGAAGAACAGGAGGCCGUGGCACCUGCACAUGAUGCAGCCCCACCUCCUUCACCAGCAAAUGUUGCAUCUCCAUCUUCUCUAGAGAGUUCAAGUGAAAGACCACAUAGGAUGAGGAGCAUUCAAGAACUCUAUGAUGACAUAGAAGAAAUUAUAAUUUUGAUUUUUUGUGUUGUCUCUUUCGUUGAUAAUGAACCAAUGAGUUUUGAUGAAGUUGUUACUAACAAAAGUUUGAGACAAGCCGUGGAGGAGGAGAUCCAGUCAAUAGAGAAGAACAACACUUGGGAGUUAACGACUCUUCCCAAGGAUCAGUGAGCAAUUGGACUAAAAUGGAUAUACAAGGUGAAGAAAAACUCCCACGGAGAGGCAGAGAGAUACAAAGCAAGACUUGUGGCUAAAGGCUACAAACAAAGGCAUGGCAUCGACUAUGAGGAAGUCUAUGCGCAUGUUGCCCGCAUGGAAACAAUCUGUUUAUUGAUCUCUUUAGCGGCCCAAAUGAAGUGGAAAACCCAUCAACUAGAUGUCAAAUCGACAUUCUUAAAUGGAUAUCUUGAAGAAGAAGUCUAUGUUUAGCAACCAUUGUGUUUUGUGGUUAAAAAUCAUGAAGCUAAGGUGUUGAGGUUGAAUAAAGCCUUAUAUGGGUUGAAGCAAGCUCUACAAGCUUGGAAUAGUCACAUUGACAAAUACUUUCAAGACAAUGGGUUUACUCGUUGUCUCCAUGAAUAUGCUCUUUACAUUAAAAUUCAUACUAAUGGCGAUAUUCUGCUUGUUUGUCAUUAUGUUGAUGAUUUCAUUCUAACAGGUAACAACCCAGUUUUAUUUGAAACUUUCAAGAAUGCUAUGUCCUUUGAGUUUGAGAUGACAGACAUAGGGCCCAUGUCAUAUUAAUUACUUGGGCCUAGAAGUGAAGCAAAUGGAGGAAGGCAUCUUCAUAUCUCAAGAAAGCUAUACAAAGAAGAUUUUGAAGAAGUUUAACAUGUUUGAUUGCAACCCUGUGAAUACCCCAAAUGGAAUGUGGAACAAAAUUGUCAAAGUUUGAUGAUGGAUAAAAGGUGGACCCUACUCUAUUCAAAAGUCUCGUCGGAAGUCUAAGGUACUUGACAUGUACGAGACCAUAUAUACUCUUUGCGGUUGGAGUAGUAAGUUGCUUCAUGGAAGCUGCUACCUCCACUCACUUGAAGGUCGCUAAAAGAAUUCUUCGCUACCAAAAAGUUACAAUCGACCUUGGACUAUUUUAUUCUUCUUCUAAUGAUUUUAAUUUUGUAGGAUACUGUGAUAGUGAUUAUGCAGGAGAUGUUGAUGAUAGAAAAAGCACAUCGGGUUUUGUGUUUUUCUUGGGUGAUUGUGUUAUUUCUUAGAGUUCAAAGAAACAAUCAAUUGUUACUCUCUCGACUUGUGAAGCUGAAUACGUGCCAGAGACAUCAUGUACUUGUCAUGCUAUUUGGUUGAGGAGAUUGUUGAGGGAACUCAACUUGCCACAAAUUGAAGCCACUGUGAUUUGUGUUGAUAACAAAUCUGUGCAAGAAGUUGCAAAGAAUCCAGUGUAUCAUGAUCGGAGCAAGAAACAUAGACACAAGGUAUCACUUCAUCCGAGAAUGCAUUGCCAAGAAAGAGGUAGGGCUCAAGUAUGUGAAAUCUCAUGAUCAAGUUUAUAUCUUUACAAAGCCUCUCAAGUUUGAAGAUUUUCAGAGAUUGAGAUCAAGCCUUGGAGUAAAGAAGAAAAAUCAAAAUUAAGGGAGAGAUUUGUGGGAAUAAAAUCUUGGCAGCAACUAAUUUGGCAGCCACAUUUGUUUAAAUUUAAUUGCCACAAAUGUGAAAGUUGGCAAGCCACAAAUGUGAAAGUUGGUAGCCACAUUUGUGGAAGUUGGUAGUCAAGGUUUGGUAGAGUUUUGGUAGAAUUUGGCAGCCAAAUUUUAUGGAAUUUGGCUACCGCAUUUAUGUCACUAAUGAUGUAAUCAAGAGGUUCAAAAACUCUAUAAAUAGAGUAGUAAUUGAACCCUAGAAGACACACCAAAAAAAAAAUAGAGAAGCAAUAGAGAGUAGAGAGAGUAAUCCACAAACUACUUCUUAUUUUGUGAAAAAAUAGUGUGAAAGUAAUAUAAUUGCGAGUUGUAAGAAAUAAAAGAGUGUUGAGUAGUAGUCUUUUUGACACUAUCAAGUUUUCAUCAAUAUUAUUGUAUUACUUAUUCGGGUAUCAUAUUUACCCCAUUUUAAUAUUUGGUGUUGUUGUUACUCUCUUCCUAUUGCUAUUUAGUUUGGACAUUAUCCUAGGUGUGAUUAUCAUUUUGUCCAACAGGCAUAGGAGUAUCUAGAAGAGUUAACUGAUAGAAGUCUAAUUUUGGCUUGUACACGAAGGACUAAUGGAAGGAUAAGAAUUUGAAAAUUCAUGAUCUUCUUCGCCAACUAUGCCUAAGUAAAUCCAUAUAUGAUCAACGGAGAGUGAUCCUUCUAUCUACACUUGAAGAGAAACAUAAUUAUCGUAUAAGACAUAGCAAUGGUAUAAUUCGCACCUUUAUUUCAAUGCAAGUAGAUAUUCCAAAACAGAUGUUUUACAAUUGAAGUUGCUUAAGGUAUUGGACGUAUUUUCAAUUGAAUAUUAUUUCACUUGUGUAAUACCUCAGCUUGUACAUUUGAGAUAUGUUUCUGCAAGAAUUGAAUAACUUUGCUAAUAUAUAUAUAUAUAUAUAUAUAUAUAUAAUCCUCUUGAGGCAGAAAAUCAUGAUAUUGAAGAAAAGACUUUGCUUUUCAAUAACUUGAACAUACUUUAUCUUCAUUAUUCUCCUUUUGCUGCGGAAUUCAUAAGAAGAACUCUAAAUCUAAAAGAGCUAAAGAUUUUACAAUCCAUUGAUCCGAUCAUGAUUUUCUCUAGGGAUAUUUUCCUUAAAAGGUACUUGUAUACCAUGGGAAGUCAUGACUUUACUGGCUAAUUUACCCAAUCUCGAACGGUUUUAUGCAUUCGCUGGAACAGAUUGGACACUAAAUGAAGAUGUUGUGUUUCACAAAUUUAAAUAUCUACGAAUUGUAGAAGCAUAUCUGCAAAGGAGGGAAGCAGGUAAUGAUAAUAUUUUGAUGCUUGUGUAACUAAUACUGCAUGGGUUGCGUAAUCUGGAGGAUAUUCUCGAGAGUAUUGGAGAAAUAAAUUCUAGCGCGAUAUAUGAUAAUACAGGCAUAUCAUGUUUUUUUCUACAAGUUUGUAAUAUCUUGAUAUAUGUUGAUAAAUAAGAGAUUAUAUGUUAUGCAAUUCAAAAGGUAAAAUCAAUAUGACAAUGGACUAAUAACAUAACAUAUAUAAUUAAAAUUACUAACUUCGACUGAAUCAUAACUGAUGAACAUUAUCUAAUGAACACAACACUUAGUACUGACUUUGACUGAAUCAUAACUCAUGAACAUUUCAUGAUGAACACCUGAAAUGACAAAUGAACCUAGACACUUAAUAUAAUACUUAAGUUUUUAAUUUUACUUUCGGCAAUUCCAUAACACGCACACUAGUAAUUGGGAAUUAUGGAAGAAGUAGAUCCACUAACCCUAUUAGCAAAAGGUCCACCAACAUUGAGUCCAUAUGAAGAACUUUAGCUAGCACAAUUUGGAGGAGUCCAGGCACUUCCCAAUGUCUGAAAUGGGAAUGCAUUAUUAUUCACCAUUUGUGCCUCUUUUUUAACCUUUUGCUUUAGAAUUUCUAAUGCCUUCUUCAAGUGUUGAAGUUGGAAUAAGUUAAGUUCUUCGAUAGGAGAUUCCCACCAUAGACCAUCAACUCUAUUCCUAAUUUCUCGAAGGGAUUCUCCGCGAUUUUUCUCCAUCUGGAGAACCCCCUCGAGGUUCAUGAGCAUGUAUUAAGCUCAUGAUUACCAGCUUCUCUACGAGCCACGAUUUGUUGAUUGUGGACAUCGUUAUUUGGUGGAGGGAGGUUCCUGCCAAGGAACCUCUCCACCAACGUGUCCACGCUAGGGUGACCAAAGGAGAACACAUUUUUGCCGUCAGAGGAAAAUAUCACAAUGACAAUUUCAGCACCACAUAGCGUACAAAGUUCACUAGCCUUUUUGAAAAGACCAGCACGACACUUAGAAAACAUAAGUCCUAAGUUACUCGCCUUCAUAAUUUUCACCAUUUCGACCCUUUGACGACCCUUGCUGAUUUUUCUUGUCAUGUCUAAACUAUCACUAAGAAAUUGUGAAAGUAAAAUUGUGAUUUUUGGUCUUAACACCAAAAGCUUUAUAUAGGAAAUUGUGUUUUAAAAUAACUUGGGGAGCCUAGAAAUUUAUGUUCUUUCCUUUUUUGCAUUGAAGAAAAGUAUUGAAAAUGAAAUACAUUAGAUUCACUUGCCUUUCAUUCUUUGUCUCGGUAGAUAUAGAUCUUAUUAUCAUUAUUAGAUGAUAAAUUUUUUUCCUAAUUAGAAUUAUAUUAUUGGAUUGCACUUGACUACCAUUUUAUUUGAGAAAAUUUUUUUUUUAAAAUAUAUUAAAUGAUUAAUAAAACCCUUAUGGGUCGUUUGGUUUGAAGACAAUUUAUGUUGGGAUUAAAUAUGAUGGGAUAAGUAAUGAUAGUAUUAGUUAUGUUAAGAUUAUUUCUUAUUGGUUGUUUGGUUUGUCAAAUAUGCAUGACAUAAUUUCUAAGAGUAAGUUGUGUGUUUACAUAAAUACCCUCUAAGAAUAAAUUGUUUGUUUAUAAAAGAGGGUUUAAGGGGGUAAUUUUGUUAUUUUACAUUUUUAUCCUGGGAUAAAUUAUUUCGGGAUUAGUACACCACCCACAAGUAGGGAUAACUUAUCCCAGUCAUAAUUAUUAAUCCUGGGAUAAGUUAUCCCACACUUUGGAACCAAACAAAGAAUUGAUGGGUACUAAAAAAUUAUCCCAUGAUUAUUUGUCUUUAUCCAUCAUACCAAACGAUCCCUUAAUGUUUUAAUAGUAACACGAAUUUUGCAUUUACCAUUGAAUUUUCCUAGUCAAUCAUCAUUUAUAGACCUACAAUGUAUCACAUCAAGCAUAUGCGGGUGUUUGGAUUUAUAAAUAUUAUUAUUAUUUAUACUGCGGUUUAGUGCUCGAAUUGUAAAGGUUUUCGCUUAAUCACUUCAUGAUUUUAAUAUACCGUGUUGUUCCGACAAAAAUCUCAUAUUGUAUAUAAUGUCCUAAUGGAAAUUUUGCAGAUUUCUAGUAGACAUUUUCACAUUUAUUUAAGGCUUAUGAUAGAAGGGUAUUAGUUUAUGACAAAUAUAGGAAUAGUUUUAAAUAUAUACAAUAAAGUAAUUAGUUUACAGCGAAUAUAACAAAGUUUUAUUUACAUAAAAAAUAGCCAAAAGUCAUAGAAAGUAUACAUUGACUAUACAAUAUAGCUCGUUUUAAGUUAUAGAAAAUAGACAUUAACUAUACAAUAUAGUUCAUCUAUACAUGAGCUAUACUUUAGAUAUACAUUAUAUACACUCAAAAAGUUGAUCCAAGAAAAAACAAGUAUGAAUAAAAUGACAACAUUCAUAAUUUCACAAGUUAAAUAUAUCCCUCUUCACUCUCAGCAAGACAAAAACACUAAUUAUUUAUUUAGAACUUAAUAUAUAUCUAUCAACAAUUGUACGUUCAAUAAAGAUCACAAACUCCAUGUAGUGAUAUAUUUGCCUUUUUAAUUAGUAAAUGUUAAACAACUCACAUUUCAAAUAUUAUGUUGAUUUGUAUUGGAUUUAUUUAAAAACAAACAACUCUCUCUAAAUAAUAAAAUUUGUAAGCUAAUUUAUUUAAAUAAAUUUAUUAGUACAAAUAUAAAACAUAAAAUACAGAAAAUAAACAAAACCGUUAAAAGAAUUUUGAGGGAUAUUUUUUUUGCUUUACAUAGAUUUAUACCGUGGUAUUAAAUUCUAUGUAUUCCUAAUAUCACCAAAUGUAAGGUAUUAGUUAUACAUCAUAUAGCAUGUUGGGUGAGUAACUAAUCCAUGAAUUAGCUAUACAUAGGCCUUAAAUUCCUACCAAACACAGUACUAAAUAAUACUAUACAAAUACAUGGACUAUUUCUCCUAACAUUCCCUUCCAAACGACUCAUUAGUAUUUUUCAGUCUUUUGAUGUUUCUACAACCUAUAUAAACUUUGUCCUAAUUAAACUUUCUUUUGCUUGUCUCUGCCCAACCUGUGUUACCAUAAUCUGGUAUUCCAUUAGUGAUGAGCUACCAAAGGAAUUCGUACCAAAACCCUAAAUUUUUAUCAGAUUAACUUCGCUGGUAGGUGUCAUUGUCAACGCCAGCGAUAGAUGGCCUACGCUCCAUGCUGAUGAACCACCACCAAAACCACCGUUGAACUAUGCAACAAAUUUUAAUAAAGUAGAAGACAAAAUCACAAUGCCUAUCCCUAUCAAAGAUAUUACUUCCAUCCAUGGAGACCCAACUGUAUUAUGGGAGGAAGAAGAGGUUCAAAUCAUGAUCAUUAAAAAAGAUUUAUAGUAUGCCAUAACUGAAAUUUUUUCUUAGGGCUGGUCAAACCUAGAAAAGAUUCGUAAAUUGAUCCUUUACGGUGUGAGAUUCAAGCCUGAAUGUAAGGAAGGAUUCUUGAGUGAUAGACACAUACUAAUUCGGCUUACCAAUAUGAAAGAUUACGUACAUGUCAUGUCAAAAUUGACAUAUUUUUUGAAGGCUAAAGACCGAUAUAAUAUCAUAUGUGACCUCUAAAGUGGGAACCCUAGUUCAACCCAAAGGAGGAAACUACUAUUGUCUUAGUGUGGAUCUCUUUUUUAUCCCUAUCACCUACCUUUUUCGUUAAAGAAUUCUUGUUUACGAUGGACAAAGCAGUGGGAAACCGUUACAUGUUGUCAUGGCUACAAUAAGCAAAUCUAGACCUAGUUUUGUCAUGGUAAAGGUUGAGUUCGACUUAUUGAAAGAAUUUCUCAAACGAAUCAAUGUUGGAGUUAAGAAGACAUAUUCUGGGGAAAUCAUCUCAACAUAGAUAAAAUUCUUAUACGAUUACAUGCCAAAGUAUUGCAAAUAUUGUGAACUUCAAGGCAGAGACAUGAUUUUCGUCGAGGCGGGUUAAAAAGAUACGUAAGCAUACUAAAAGUAUUCACAAAUGAUUGGAUCGAGGCGGGUCAAAUAUAAAUAGGUCGGAUUCGACAUAAGCAACUAAAUAAAAUUCAACUCUACCUCAACACAAACAAUAAAAUCGAGGAAUUAUAUGUUUGACAUAAUAUUAAAAUGAGUAUGAGAGAAUGUAUUUUUUAAAAAAUUAAUUACGGUCUUGUCUCCAUCAUUUUUUAUAUAUAUGUUACUAGUAUACGUACCCGCGUAAUGCGUAUAUAAUAUUAAAAUAUUAUUUUCAAUUUUUUUUAUUGUGAUAUCUUGUUCGAGUAUAUUAAAUCAUACAAAAGUUCAACUAUCAUAUUGUUUCUCAUUAAUGAAAUGUAAUCCCUCCCCCUCCCCCCUCCCCCACCCACCCUCACCCCAUAACUAAUUUAUUACUAUUAUAUUGUUCACAAUUUAAAAUCAUUAAAUUGUUGGUACUGGUUUUUAUUAGCAUAUCAUUUAGCUUAAUAUAAUCAUUAAAUAAUUUUUCUAAUUAAUAUAAAACAUAUAUAUUUAUUGUGUUUACUCGUGAUUUUUUAAUUUUAUUUUAGUGUUCACACCUCUCUAAUUUAAAGUUUUAUGGACAAUAAUAUGUAUAUUAUUGAACUAUUUUAUUGUACUCUCAAAAUUAUUCAAAAUAUUCUCCCCACCCCUCUUCCCCCUUCUUUUUUUACUGUAUUUUUAUUACUUUUCGCUAAUCUAAUUUGAAUGAUUUUUUUAUGUUACACGUCAGAAGCACUUGAGUGUUUUUUUAUUUCAAUAUAUAGAAUACUAAGCUUAAAUUUGUUACUUAAAUUCUAUAUUUUAAUGUUUCAUUAUUCAUUGAGAUUUUAGUGAUAUGAUAUAUAGAUUUUAAGUCUUUUCUCGUUAUAAUUGAAAAAAUAUUUUCUCAUCUAAAAGCCCUUCAACUUUUUUUACAUUAUAAUUUAUAAUUUGUUUCCUAGUUUUGUCCUAACUUAAUAGUUAUUGUAUUAUUCAUAAAUUAGUAUCCUUACAUUAGUAUGUAAGAUUUUAAUAGCUUGUAACUUUAUCUAAUAUUCUUAUGGUGCGUAAGAUAUUAAUAAGAAUAUCAGUUAGUUAUAUCUAUUUACAUUUUAUAAUGGAUAAAUUUUUACAACAUGAAAUUAAAAUUGAUAAAAUUCACUAAUAAAGUUAGUGAUCAAUAACUUUAAAAAAAAUAGAGGAGUAAUCUUAACAUUAUAAAUCAUUGUAGAAGUAUAUGUAAGAGGAGCAAAGAAAGUAAAACUCCAUUACAAAUCAAAUUGUACUUAAGUUUGAAUUCAAAUAUCAUUUUAAUUUUUUUUUUAAAUCUUUUUAUCGCUUAUCUCUAUCCUUGAUUUUAUUAAUACAAUAAUAUUUUUUAUAAGCUAUAUAUUUGAAUGGAGAGAAAUAUUUGGAAUUAAUAAGAUAGUUGAUGAUUAAAUUGACUAAAGGGUCACUUGGUGUAGUUAUACCAAAGAAUUAUUUGAAGAAGAAAAAACAGAUAUGACUAAAAUGACAGCAUUCAUAAUUUCACAAGUUAAAAAUAUACCUUUGCACUCUCAGCAAGACAAAAACACUAAUUAUUUAUAUAGAACUUAAUAUAUAUAUAUAUAUAAACUUAAAAGUGGAAAUUCCUAUCUUGAAAGUUGGAUUAUAAUUGUGCUCCUACAUCAUAUUAAAAUAUAAUGAGAAUAUCUAUAAUCAUAUCACUAGUAUGAUACAAUAAAUUUAUUUCAAAUUAACUGUUCAUGAUAAACACAUUUAUUUUAUAGCUUUACUCUAUUUUAAUACCUAAAAAAAUUGUUAUAAACAUGAGUAAAUGUGUAUCGUUCAGAUCUUGGUCAUAGUUCAAGGGUACUAUAUAAAAUGCGCAAAAUACAAUAUAUAUAUCAACAAUACGACAUUCAAUAAAGAUCACAAACGUCAUGUAGUGAUAUAUUUGUCUUUUCAAUUAGAAAAUGUUAAACAACUCACAUUUCAAAUAUUAUAUUUAUUUGUAUUGAAUUUAUUUAACAAAUUGUUACGACCUGAUUUCGAAAACUAAGGUCUCGAAGCCAAUUUCACAACUUUGGCAAUUUUGUUGAGUUUUUGAAAAAUUUAUAAUUUGGAAGUCGCCACUUAGUUUUUUAGGAAAAAUUAAGAAAACCAUUUAAAACAGGAAUAUUUGAAAGAAAACAUAUUAAAUAAAAUCAGAGUCGGGUAAGGGUUCAAAUAAUUCUCUAAGGAAGGGUUUAGGCAUCUUAGAGAAUCCGCUGAUUCGCGGUUGACCGACGGAUUUAAAAGUUGGCUAAUUUUAAAAGAAAACUUAAAUUACUUGAAAAAAUCUUAUUUGAAACUUAGAAAAUCUUUUGAUAUUUCUAAAAAAUCUCAAGAAUAAUCUUAACUUAGCUAGCGUUUGGCCAUAGAUUUCCAAAUAUAUUUGGCAAAUAUUAUUUGGGUGAAGAUUUGGGUGAAAUUUCACCAUGUGUUUGGCCAUAGUAUUUGGGAAAUAUAUUUCAAUUUUUUAAGAAAUAUGACUUAUGCCCAUAAGUUUUUAAAACUAUCAAAACUAACCAUAAAUUUGUAUUACAUAGCAAAAUAGAAAUGUCGCGUAACAAGAUUCAUGACUUCCGCAACAAAUCAAAAAGCAUCAUUACAGUAAAUAGUCGCAUCGUUAAAAAAGACUAGUACAAAUCAUGAUAAUGAAAAUACAACUAAUAUGAAUUUGAAAAAGAAGAAGAAAACAGAAGGAAAUAAAUAUUGCAAUGUAUGCUCUUGUACAUGUAUGCUCUUUAUAAUAGAAAAAUUUAUUAAUUGAGUUAGUUAGCAAAUGGAGAUUUGAUUGAGUUGGUUGGUGUUAAUAAAUAAAGUGUUUUUGUAAAAGAUAAAAGUUUGGUGUUAAAUUUGAAUUUUUAAAACUUUCCAAAUAAUGAGAUUUGGCCCAAAUACUAGAAAAAACUAGUAUUUGGGAAUUUGGGUUAUUUGCCAAAAAAAAUUGCCAAAUAAUGAGAAAGUGUAUGGACAAACAAUAUUUGCCAAAUUUUUUCCCAAGUUUUACUUGGGAAAUCUAUGGCCAAACGGGCCCUUAAAACUUCUAUCCAUUGUCAAGUUUUGAAUCAUACAAUUAAUUCAAACUUAUAAACAUGGAUUAAAAGACUUUGUUUAAUAACUACGAAAGGAUAUAGAAAAUCCUUAAGUCAUUCUUAUAAAGUCCUAAGUUAACUUUAAAGACAACUAAUUUAGUUUUAAAAAAAACUUAGCAAUUUUAUCCUAUUCAAAAAUUUGAACUAAAUAGUUAGUUCAAACUCAUAAACAUGGAUUCAAAGCUUUUCAAUAACUAUGAAAGAACAUGAAAAGUUCUUAAGUUAUUCUAAGGGAUAAGGAUCUAAAAAAUACCUCAACUUUGGUCGAAUUUGCUGUUGCAAUACUAAACUUUCAUGAGGACCUAUUACCUCCCUAGACUAUUUAAUACUGUAUUUUAAACAUACAUAUUUGCCCACGUGGACAUAAAAAAUAAUGCAAAAUUAUAAAUAGUAAUGUGUCCACGUGUGCACAUAUAUACCUUUAAAAUACACUAUUAAAUAGUUCAGGGGGUAAAAAAUACACUAUUAAAUAGUCUAGGGAGGUAAUAGGUCCUCAUGAAAGUUUAGUAUCGCAACAGCAAAUUUGACCAAAGUUGAGGAUUGGGUUGUUUGGUAUAAAAAUGCUAUAUUGAGCUUGUUGGAGUCUUUGGAUUUUAAAAAUUGCUUCUUUCAAAUAUAUAUUUGUCCUCCUAGUUUAAGAUAUAAGAUGCAUAUGCUUGACAUGAAAAUUGCAUUUUAGAUUGGAUUAAUAAGUUAGGUUUUCUGGAAAAGACAUAUUUUCAAGUCUCAAUUAGAUUAAUUGUUGUGGUCUGUUUACUGCCUCUCUUAGAUACUUUCCAUUUCUUUGAAAUGUUGGAAUUUGUUAAGCUUUCCCAGCAACUCAUGUUGUGUGAACUCAUGUUUCAAAUUACAUUUCCUCUCACUUUCUAUGUGUUAAAUAUAUUAAGAUAGAUAGAUAUAUGUAUGUUUAGUGUUCUUGCUCUUCUUAGAUGGUUACCUUAACUUUUUUUUAGGUACUCUUAAGUGUUAUGGUAAAAAUUCAAUUGUCCUUUUCCUUAUCUAAUAUUUUGAUAUUCUUAUCGCUUAAGUAUGUGUUUGGAAUUUAUGAUUGUGUUGUUUCUUGGUUUGAAUGUGGAAGAAUUGUGUUAGGUUUGGAAAUUAAUUGUCUUUGUUUGUUUCUGUUGGUUUCUUCCAUUGUUUGACUUAUGUAAAUUGCAUUAUUAUGUAUUGUUUGAGUUUGUUUAUGUUAAUUUGCUAAUCUUUUAUUCCUUUAUUUCUUGGUGCAUGAACACUCUCUCGUUGAGUCCAAUUUGGACUCCCAUCUCAUGCAUUUUCCUCUCUUCGAGUCCUCCUCCAAGUCGUGAAAGAGAAGUUAUUUUUAUUGGGUUAAAAAUUCAAUAAAUGAGGCAGAUUGCAGCGGUCCUAAAGGGCUGAAACUUGAGUAUUUUGGACUUAAAAGCUUGGUAAAAUGACCAGCAGCAGUAGAGACCUCAAAAAGGCCGAAAAAGGAGAAACAAAAUUGGGUUAAAACCCCUAAAGGAUCAAGAGGCAACACAACAAUUUCAGCCCCGAAAUGAUCGAAUGUGGGCUGGAAUUUCCAGUUUUUGACUCACUGUUCAUGUUACUUCCUCUUAUUAUUUUAUUUGUGAUGGCUAACAUUUUCUUAAUCUAGAUGAAAUUCCCAUGGAUCUCUUCGAGUUUAUUUUUAUCAAAGUUUUCUUUAUUAUAAUUGGUAGCAUUUCAAAUUUUCAAAUUCCCAAAACUCAUUUUAAGUUAUGCAAUUUAAGCUUAUUAGAAUAAGGGAUAAGGGUAUGAAAAAUACCUUAACUUUGGUCGAAUUUGCUGUUGCGAUACUAAACUUUCAUGAGGACCUAUUACCUCCCUAGACUAUUUAAUACUGUAUUUUAAACAUACAUAUUUGCCCACGUGGACAUAAAAAAUAAUGCAAAAUUAUAAAUAGUAAUGUGUCCACGUGUGCACAUAUAUACCUUUAAAAUACACUAUUAAAUAGUUCAGGGGGUAAAAAAUACACUAUUAAAUAGUCUAGGGAGGUAAUAGGUCCUCAUGAAAGUUUAGUAUCGCAACAGCAAAUUCGACCAAAGUUAAGGUAUUUUUCAUACCCUUAUCCCUUAUUCUAAUAAGCUUAAAUUGCAUAACUUAAAAUGAGUUUUGGGAAUUUGAAAAUUUGAAAUGCUACCAAUUAUAAUAAAGAAAACUUUGAUAAAAAUAAACUCGAAGAGAUCCAUGGGAAUUUCAUCUAGAUUAAGAAAAUGUUAGCCAUCACAAAUAAAAUAAUAAGAGGAAGUAACAUGAACAGUGAGUCAAAAACUGGAAAUUCCAGCCCACAUUCGAUCAUUUCGGGGCUGAAAUUGUUGUGUUGCCUCUUGAUCCUUUAGGGGUUUUAACCCAAUUUUGUUUCUCCUUUUUCGGCCUUUUUGAGGUCUCUACUGCUGCUGGUCAUUUUACCAAGCUUUUAAGUCCAAAAUACUCAAGUUUCAGCCCUUUAGGACCGCUGCAAUCUGCCUCAUUUAUUGAAUUUUUAACCCAAUAAAAAUAACUUCUCUUUCACGACUUGGAGGAGGACUCGAAGAGAGGAAAAUGCAUGAGAUGGGAGUCCAAAUUGGACUCAACGAGAGAGUGUUCAUGCACCAAGAAAUAAAGGAAUAAAAGAUUAGCAAAUUAACAUAAACAAACUCAAACAAUACAUAAUAAUGCAAUUUACAUAAGUCAAACAAUGGAAGAAACCAACAGAAACAAACAAAGACAAUUAAUUUCCAAACCUAACACAAUUCUUCCACAUUCAAACCAAGAAACAACACAAUCAUAAAUUCCAAACACAUACUUAAGCGAUAAGAAUAUCAAAAUAUUAGAUAAGGAAAAGGACAAUUGAAUUUUUACCAUAACACUUAAGAGUACCUAAAAAAAAGUUAAGGUAACCAUCUAAGAAGAGCAAGAACACUAAACAUACAUAUAUCUAUCUAUCUUAAUAUAUUUAACACAUAGAAAGUGAGAGGAAAUGUAAUUUGAAACAUGAGUUCACACAACAUGAGUUGCUGGGAAAGCUUAACAAAUUCCAACAUUUCAAAGAAAUGGAAAGUAUCUAAGAGAGGCAGUAAACAGACCACAACAAUUAAUCUAAUUGAGACUUGAAAAUAUGUCUUUUCCAGAAAACCUAACUUAUUAAUCCAAUCUAAAAUGCAAUUUUCAUGUCAAGCAUAUGCAUCUUAUAUCUUAAACUAGGAGGACAAAUAUAUAUUUGAAAGAAGCAAUUUUUAAAAUCCAAAGACUCCAACAAGCUCAAUAUAGCAUUUUUAUACCAAACAACCCAAUGGCGAAGAGUAUACAACUUAUAUUUCUAAUUAUAUGCAUUCAAAAGAGGGUAAAUGGAAGGAAGGAAACCAUCCGUAAUUAUAUCGAUCAGCAACUAUAUAACAUGGAUUUCAAAGUUGAAUAAGAAUUAAGUUAACUAGAAGCACAUAUUUCACAUAGAUUUACGAACUCGGCUAAGCGAAGGAAUCAUCUACACAUUUUCUCAAGUAUAUGGAAAUAACCAUGAAGGAAAUAUAAAAUAGGCGAGUUCAAAUAAGUAACUUGAACAAGAUCAUACUUCAUAAGAAAACAGAAAAUAAACUAGCACACCAUAUAUGAUACUCGAAAAAAAUAAAAAAACAUACCUAGCCAUCAAGACACAUAAUAGAAAUAAGCAAUGGCCAUAAUGAAACGCCCUAAACAAAUUUACUUGCUGAACAAAUAAGAGCUAAACUUGGCUAAUCUACAAGAUUAAACUUGGCUAAUCUACAAGAUUAUAGGAAAUACCCAAAACUGAAAAUGACAGGAUAUUAGGAAGAGAAAACUAACUAAGCCAAAAUUAAUUUUUGCUCGGAAUAAACAACAACAACAACAACAAAAGAACACUUCAGAUAAUGAGGAAAAUAACAAUUUAUUUUUCUAUGCUAAAGCAGCUAAUACCAAACAUGAUUACAACGAGCAAAACAUAAUUGAGAGCGCACGAAACAUUGAAAUAAAGAGAAGAUUACCUGGUUCUGGGCAGCGAACCGGACGUCAAGUUUGACGGAGACGACCACCACCUCCUUCAACUCAAACAACCACAAAAGCUACAAAAUUUGAACUAUUGAACCAAGAAUUCCCAAAACAUUUAGGGUACUCUUUGGUCUCCAAAAAAAAUCCUCCUGAACAGUGAAGAGAGAAGGGCUUAUAUAGGACAAUUUCUGAGUCGAAAUUGAGGGGGAAAAUGAUGUGGGACUACUGUAAAUUUUGAAAUUCUUAGAGGAUAAGGUGUGAGCUGUAAUGUACCAUUCUCAACGGAAAAACUGACGAGGGCCGCUUGAUUUUGAACAAGGACGAGCGAGGCGUCAAGAUGCAAACACCUGGCUUCGUACGAGGAUAUUUCUGUACGAGAGGAUAAGGAGAGAGCACGCACUGCUGCUGGGUUCGCUAUUUGCUGUUGGUUCGCGUUUGGUACACGUUUUCUGGGUUUGGGUCGCAAUUCAGGAGAAGAAGACGCGUGAAGGUGUCGUUCUGGGUAUUGUACGCGUAUGUACUGCUGUACUGUUCUUUUGCUGAAAUAAAA
This 97662-nucleotide long non-coding RNA is filed under the name Solanum tuberosum (potato). RNAcentral describes it as "long non-coding RNA (STUB_LNC004680)". Lineage: Eukaryota; Viridiplantae; Streptophyta; Magnoliopsida; Solanales; Solanaceae. The record is from RNAcentral.